AAAAAAACUCCUAGAUUGCGAGAAGUGACGUAUUGGGUCUCCGUAUCUGCUUGGUGCAGCGGCGGAGGUGUACGAGGAUGGCUCCCGUGUGGUACUUAUUAGAGGUCGUAAAGGAACCCUAACCAAGAGGGGUGGACGGCUCAGAUCGAGAUGCGCUGAGUUGGGCCUUAACUCUUUGGCCCAUAUGUAUUUGUAAGAGAUGAUGACCAGAAUACUUGGGAGCAACUUUCCUUGGGCCACAGGGGCCUGUAUGGGACUACUUCGCUCCUUAAAAUUUAGCCCCGCUUUCGAAAACGCAAGCCAAAUGGAUAGCUCCAUGAUAUACCGCUCCGUAAAAAAAACUAGAAUUUGAGAGUGUGUCGUGCAUCCAACCGCCGCCACGUGUCGCGUGUUGUGCGCAUAUUUGGGAUUUUAUUUUUUAUUUUUGCACAUGUUUUUGGAUUUUAUAUGGUUUUUUGGGCUUUUGCUUGGCUUCCUCUUUAUUUUGGCAUUUUUUUCCAGAAAGCAACGCAUUUGGGCGAGGAGCACAACAUGUGCUUCUCCGAGAAGCGCAGUUGUGCUUCCUAGAAAAUAAACACGGUCAUGAAAAGUGCAGCCUUGCUUCCGCGAGAAGAAUAUUUAUGCUUCCAAAAAAUGAAAAUUAGAGUAAUGCUUCCUUGAAAAAGGGAAAAGCACAGUUUGUGCUUCUGUGUGAGAACCACACAUUAUGCUUCUCCGAAAAAAGGGAAAAGCACAGAUUGUCCUUUUGCGUGAGAAGCACACAUUGCGCUUCUCCGAAAAAAGGGAAAAGAAAAGCCCGUGCUUCCUAAAAAAGGCUAAACUGAAACUAUGCUUCUGGGCUUCGGUUUUUAUUCCUUUUUGGGUUUUUAUUACCGUUUUUCUUUCAGUUUCCUACUUUUUCUUGGUUUUCUUUUUUUCGAAAAAAAGGUUUGUUGAAACAUUGACAUGGGAUCUAGUUUUGAAUCUGGAGGCAAGAAAUUCAACGGUGAAAACGGUUUGGGUUUGGAUGCAUGGUUCAAAAGAUGAACUAUUUUGAAAAAACAAAUCUAUAAAAAAAACUCCUAGAUUGUGAGAAGUGACAUACAUGGACUGCGGCUCUAGUUAGCAUCAUAGAAGGUAGAGAAUGACCUUUGAAAUGGGUACCUUUUAAUUAGUGAUUUUGAGAAUUUUGUAUCCUAUUGUUCAUACCUUCGUUUUGUUUACCCUGCAUUUGGUCCAUGUUCAUUUUAUAAGUCGUAUUUUGGCUUAUCAUAGAAAUUGUUUUUAAGAUACUUUUUUGAGUUUUUUUCAAGAUAUUAGUGAUCAUGCAAUUACGGGUGGACAUAUUAGAGCACCUAUAACCAUAACGCCACUUCCCCCUGAUGUCCAGACGAACAACUUGGACAUUGCCCGGAUCCAAAAACGCUACCCGACCGGGCCCCCCAAAGCCAACUUGUACGUUCGGGCUGUCUGGCAUCCCUCAUAUCCAACCUAUGUGUGACGGAUUUGAGCCUGCCUAGACGCACUCGCAUGUUGGACCAACAUGCAGGACCCCGUGCAGAAAUGCGUCGGUCUGCCCCGAGGCUUAAUAGUUUGUUGUUCGCAUUCAUGGCACCACUUCGGCGUGUCGUGUGAGAGGUCAAGCUCUGUCUAUUAAGUGAGACAAACCCUAGGCACCCUCACACCACCUCCCCCGGUCUGGGUAUUCACACCGUGUGCACGGCCACAUCCCGUCCGUGCCCGAGCUUGUCAUGUGAAAGGGUGUGCACAAAGAUCACAUACUACAAGCUUUUGCCGUCAGAUCGUCGCCCUCAGAUCGUGGCAGUGGUUCGUCUGCAUUGGCCAGGCAUGUAGCCUGCAUAGCGGACGCCCUUUCUCUGACCUCGGAUGAGGACGGGGAUUUAUGCUCGAAUGUGGCUAGGUGAUACAUCACCGUCGUAUCUAUAAUUUUUUAUUGUUUCAUGACAAUGUUUUACAACUUUCAUAUACUUUUGGCAACAUUUUAUAUCAUUUUUUGGAACUAACAUACUGAUCCAAUGCCAGUUCCUAUUUGUUGCAUGUUUUUUGUUUCGCAGAAAAUCCAUAUCAAACGGAGUCCAAACGCGAUAAAAAUUUAUGGAGAUUUUUUUUCGAAUAUAUGUGAUUUUUAGGAAGCGGAAUCAAAGCAAGACGAUGCCAGAGGGGCCCACAAGCCCUUGAGGCGCGCCCCCCUAACCAGGGCGCGGCCAAUGGACUUGUGGCCACCCCGAAGGUCGGUUGGAGGUGUCCUUUGGUCGCAUGGAAGCUUAUAUCCGGAUAAAAAAAACGUGUUAAUAUUUCAGCCCAAUCGGAGUUACGGAUCUCUGGAUAUUUAAGAAACGGUGAAAGGCCAGAAUCUGGGUCACGAAACAGAAGGGAGAGAGAGAGAGAGAGAGAGAGAGAGAGAGAGAGAGAUCCAAUUUCGGAGGGGCUCUCGCCCCUCCACCGCCCGCCGCCAUGGAGGCCAUGAACCAGAGGGGAAACCCUCCUCCCAUCUAGGGGAGAGGUCAAGGAAGAAGAAGGAGGAGGGGGCUCUCUCCCCUCACUCCCGGUGGCACCGGAACGCCGUCGGGGCAAUCAUCGUGUGACGGCAAUCUACACCAACACAUGUGUCAUCUUCCCCAACAUCUUCAUCACCUUCCCCCAUCUAUACAUUCAGCGGUCUAAUACGUCUCCAACGUAUCUAUAAUUUUUUACUGUUUCAUGCUAUUAUAUUAUCUGUUUUGGAUGUUUUAUAUGCAUUAAUAUGUUAUUUCAUAUUAUUUUUGGGACUAACCUAUUAACCUGGACCCCAAUGCCAGUUUCUGUUUUUUCCUUGUUUUCGAGCUUCGCACAAAAGGAAUACUAAACGGAGUCCAAACGGAAGAAAACUUCACGAUGAUUUUUCUUGGACUAGAAGACACCCAGGAAGACCCACGAGGCGACGACAAGGGUGGAGGGCGCGCCCAGGGGGUAGGGCGCGCCCCCUACCUUGUGGGACCCUCGGUGAUCCCCUGACCUAGAUCUUCCUUCUAUAUAUUUGUAAAUAUUCCCAAACCACCAGAAGCAUCCAUGAAAACACUUUUUCACCGCCACAACCUUUGAAGGAAAUAUGCCCUAGAGGCAAUAAUAAAGUUAUCAUUUAUUUCCUUAUUUCAUGAUAAUGUCUAUUAUUCAUGCUAGAAUUGUAUUAACCGGAAACAUAAUACAUGUGUGAAUACAUAGACAAACUGAGUGUCACUAGUAUGCCUCUACUUGACUAGCUCAUUAAUCAAAGAUGGUUAUGUUUCCUAGCCAUGGACAAAGAGUUGUCAUUUGAUUAACGGGAUCACAUCAUUGGAGAAUGAUGUGAUUGACUUGACCCAUUCCGUUAGCUUAGCCCUUGAUCAUUUAGUAUGUUGCUAUUGCUUUCUUCAUGACUUAUGCAUGUUCCUAUGACUAUGAGAUUAUGCAACUCCCGUUUACCGGAGGAACACUUUGUGUGCUACCAAACAUCACAACAUAACUGGGUGAUUAUAAAGGUGCUCUACAGGUGUCUCCAAAGGUACUUGUUGGGUUGGCGUAUUUCGAGAUUAGGAUUUGUCACUCCGAUUGUCGGAGAGGUAUCUCUGGGCCCACUCGGUAAUGCACAUCACUAUAAGCCUUGCAAGCAUUGUAACUAAUGAGUUAGUUGUGGGAUGGUGUAUUACGGAACGAGUAAAGAGACUUGCCGGUAACGAGAUUGAACUAGGUAUUAAGAUAUCGACGAUCGAAUCUCGGGCAAGUAACAUACCGAUGAUAAAGGGAACAACGUAUGUUGUUAUGUGGUUUGACCGAUAAAGAUCUUCGUAGAAUAUGUGGGAGCCAAUAUGAGCAUCCAGAUUCCGCUAUUGGUUAUUGACCAGAGACGUGUCUCGGUCAUGUCUACAUAGUUCUCGAACCCGUAGGGUCCGCACGCUUAAAGUUCGAUGACGGUUAUAUUAUGAGUUUAUGCGUUUUGAUGUACAGAAGGUAGUCCAGAGUCGCGGAUGAGAUCGGGGACAUGACUAGGAGUCUCGAAAUGGUCGAUAGGUAAAGAUCGCUAUAUUGGACGACUAUAUUCGGACUUCGGAAAGGUUCCGAGUGAUUCGGGUAUUUUGCGGAGUACCGUAGAGUUACGGGAAUUCGUAGUGGGCCUUAAUGGGCCAUACGGGAAAGGAGAGAAAGGCAUCAAAGGGUGGCCGCACCCCUCCCCAUGGACUGGUCCGAAUUGGACUAGGGAGGGGGCACCCCCUUCCUUCCUUCUCCUUCUCCCUUCCCUUUCUCCUACUCCAACUUGGAAGGGGGGAAUCCUACUCCCGGUGGGAGUAGGACUCCCCUAUGGCGCGCCCAAGAGAGGGCCGGCCCUCCCCUCCUCUACUCCUUUAUAUACGGGGGAGGGAGCACCCCAUGGAGACACAAAAAUCGAUCCCUUGGAUCUCUUAGCCGUGUGCGGUGCCCCCUCCACCAUAAUCCACCUCGAUAAUAUCGUAGCGGUGCUUAGGCGAAGCCCUGCAUCGGUAGAACAUCAUCAUCGUCACCAUGCCGUCGUGCUGACGGAACUCUCCCUCAAAGCUCGGCUGGAUCAGAGUUCGAGGGACGUCAUCGAGUUGAACGUGUGCUGAACUCGGAGGUGCCGUGCGUUCGGUACUUGAUCGGUCAGAUCAUGAAGACGUACGACUACAUCAAACGCGUUGUGCUAAUGCUUCCGCUUUCGGUCUACAAGGGUACGUGGACACACUCUCCCCUCUCGUUGCUAUGCAUCACCAUGAUCCUGUGUGUGCGUAGGAUUUUUUUUUGAAAUUACUACGUUACCCAACAGUGGCAUCAGAGCCUGGUUUUAUGCGUAGAUGUUAUAUGCAUGAGUAGAACACAAGUGAGUUGUGGGCGAUACAAGUCAUACUGCUUACCAUCAUGUCAUACUUUGGUUCGGCGGUAUUGUUGGAUGAAGCGGUCCGGACCGACCUUACGCGUACGCUUACGCGAGACUGGUUCUACCAACGUGCUUUGCGCAUAGGUGGCUGGCGGGUGUCAGUUUCUCCAAACUUUAGUUGAACUGAGUGUGGCUACGCCUGGUCCUUGAGAAGGUUAAAACAUCACUAACUUGACAAACUAUCGUCGUGGUUUUGAUGCGUAGGUAAGAACGAUUCUUGCUCAGCCCAUAGCAGCCACGUAAAACUUGCAACAACAAAGUAGAGGACGUCUAACUUGUUUUUGCAGGGCAUGUUGUGAUGUGAUAUGGUCAAGACGUGAUGCUAUAUUUUAUUGUAUGAGAUGAUCAUGUUUUGUAACCAAGUUAUCGGCAACUGGCAGGAGCCAUAUGGUUGUCGCUUUAUUGUAUGCAAUGCAAUCGCCCUGUAAUUGCUUUACUUUAUCACUGAGCGGUAGCGAUAGUCGUAGAAGCAAUAGUCGGCAAGACAGCAACGAUGCUACGAUGGAGAUAAGGGUGUCGCACCGGUGACAAUGGUGGUCAUGACGAUGCUUCGGAGAUGGAGAUCACAAGCACAAGAUGAUGAUGGCCAUAUCAUAUCACUUAUAUUGAUUGCAUGUGAUGCUUAUCCUUUAUGCAUCUUAUUUUGCUUGAUUGACGGUAGCAUUAUAAGAUGAUCUCUCACUAAAUUUCAAGGUAUAAGUGUUCUCCCUGAGUAUGCACCGUUGCCAAAGUUCGUCGUGCCCAGACACCAUGUGAUGAUCGAGUGUGAUAAGCUCUACGUCCAUCUACAACGGGUGCAAGCCAGUUUUGCACACGCAGAAUACUCAGGUUAAACUUGACGAGCCUAGCAUAUGCAGAUAUGGCCUCGGAACACUGAGACCGAAAGGUCGAGCGUGAAUCAUAUAGUAGAUAUGAUCAACAUUGUGAUGUUCACCAUUGAAAACUAAUCCAUUUCACGUGAUGAUCGGUUAUGGUUUAGUUGAUUUGGAUCACGUGAUCACUUAGAUGAUUAGAGGGAUGUCUAUCUAAGUGGGAGUUCUUAAAGUAAUAUGAUUAAUUGAACUUUAAUUUAUCAUGAACUUAGUCCUGAUAGUAUUUUGCAUGUCUAUGUUGUUGUAGAUCAAUAGCUUGCAUUAUUGCUUCCCUAUAUUUUUAUAUAUGUUCCUAGAGAAAACUAUGUUGAAAAAUGAUAGUGGCAAUGAUACAGACUAGGUCCAUGAUCUGAGGUGUAUCCUCAUUGCUGCACAGAAGAAUUAUGUCCUUGAUGCACCGCUAGGUGACAGACCUAUUGCAGGAGCAGAUGCAGACGUUAUGAAUGUUUGGCUAGCUCAAUAUGAUGACUACCUGAUAGUUUAGUGCACCAUGCUUAACGGCUUAGAAUAGGGACUUCAAAGACGUUUUGAACGUCAUGGACCAUAUGAGAUGUUCCAGGAGUUGAAGUUAAUAUUUCAAGCAAAUACCCGAGUUGGGAGAUAUGAAGUCUCCAACAAGUUCUAUAGCUAAAAGAUGGAGUAGAGUUGCUCAACUAGUGAGCAAGUGCUUAGAUUGUCUAAGUACUACAAUCGCUUGAAUCAUGUGGGCGUUAAUCUUCCAGAUAAGAUAGUGAUUGGUAGAGUUCUCUAGUCACCAUCACCAAGUUACUGGAACUUCAUGAUGAACUAUAAUGCAAGGGAUGACAAAAAUGAUUCCCGAGCUCUUCGUGAUGCUGAAAUCGACGAUGGUAGAAAUCAAGAAAAGAGCAUCAAGUGUUGAUGAUUGAUAAGACCACUAGUUUCAAGAAAAGGGCAAAGGAAAAGAAAGGGAACUUCAAGUAGAAUGGCAAGCAAGUUGUCACUCCCGUGAAGAAGCCCAAAGCUGGACCAAAGCCUGAAACUAAGUGCUUCUACUGCAAAGGAAAUGGUCACUGGAAGCAGAAAUGCCCUGAAUAUUUGGUGGAUAAGAAGGAUGGCAAAGUGAACAAGGGUAUAUUUGAUAUACAAGUUAUUUAUGUGUACCUUACUAGUGUUUAUAGUAGGCCCUGAGUAUUUGAUACUUGUUCGGUUGCUAAGAUUAGUAACUCGAAAUAGGAGUUAUAGAAUAAACAGAGACUAGUUGAGGGUGAAGUAACGAUGUGUGUUGGAAGUGGUUCCAAGAUUGAUAUGAUCAUCAUCGUACACUCCCUAUAAUUUCGAGAUUAGUGUUGAACCUAAAUAAAUGUUAUUUGGUGUUUGCGUUGAGCAUAAAUAUGAUUAGAUCAUGUUUAUUGCGACACGAUUAUUCAUCUAAGACAGAGAAUAAAUUUUUAUUUUGUUUACACGAAUAAAACCUUCUAUGGUCAUACACCCAAUGUUGAUGGUUUAUUGAAUCUUGAUCAUGGUGAUACACAUAUAAUAUUGAUGCCAAAAGAUGCAAAGUUGAUAAUGAUAGUGCAACAUAUUUGUGGCACUGCCGUUUGGGUCAUAUCAGUGUAAAGCGCAUGAAGAAACUCCAUAAAGAUGGAUUCUUUGAAUCAUUUGAUUAUGAAUCAUUUGAUGCUUGCGAACCGUGCCUUAUGGGCAAGAUGACUAAAACUCCGUUCUCCGGAACAAUGGAACAAGCUAGUGACUUAUCAGAAAUAAUACAUAUUGAUGUAUGCGAUCCAAUGAGUAUUGAUGCUCGUGGCGGGUAUCGUUAUUUUCUGACCUUCACAAGAUGAUUUGAGCAGAUAUGAGUAUAUCUACUUAAUGAAACACAAGUCUGAAACAUUUGAAAAGUUCAAAGAAUUUCAGAGUGAAGUGGAGAAUCAUCGUAACAAGGAAAUAAAGUUUCUACGAUCUGAUCAUGGAGGAGAAUAUUUGAGUUACGAGUUUGGCCUUCAUAUAAAACAAUGCGGAAUAGUUUCACAGUUCACACCACCUGGAACACCACAACAUUAUGGUGUGUCCGAAUGUCAUAACCGCACUUUAUUGGAUAUUGUGCGACGUAUGAUGUCUCUUAUCGGUUUACCACUAUCGUUCUGGGGUUAUGCAUUAGAGACAGUUGCAUUCACUUUAAAUAGGGCACCAUCGAAAUCCAUUGAGAUGACGGCUUAUGAACUAUGGUCUGGCAAGAAACUAAAGUUGUCGUUUCUUAAGGUUUGGGGCUGCGAUGCUUAUGUGAAAAAGUUUCAACCUGAUAAGCUCGAACCUAAAUCGGAGAAGUGCGUCUUCAUAGAAUACCCAAAGGAAACUGUUGGGUAGACCUAUUCGAAGGCAAGAUAUUCGUUGCUAAGAUGGAUCCUUUCUAGAGAAGGAGUUUCUAUUGAAAGAAGUGAGUGGGAGGAAAGUAGAACUUGAUGAGGUAAUUGUACCUUCUCCCUUAUUGGAAAGUAGUUCAUCACAGAAGACAGUUCCAGUGAUUCCUACACCAAUUAGUGAGGAAGUUAAUGAUGAUGAUCAUGAAACUUCAGAUCAAGUUGCUACCGAACCUCGUAGGUCUUCCAGAAUAAGAUCCGCACCAGAGUGGUACGGUAAUCUUGUUCUGGAAGUCAUGUUACUAGACCAUGAUGAACCUACGAACUAUGAGGAAGCGAUGAUGAGCCUAGAUUCCGCGAAAUGGCUUGAGGCCAUGAAAUCUGAGAUGGGAUCCAUGUAUGAGAACAAAGUGUGGAAUUUGGUUGACUUGCUCGAUGAUCAGCAAGCCAAGUUAAAUAAAUGGAUCUUCAAGAGGAAGAUGGACACUGAUAGUAGUGUUACUAUCUACAAAGCUCGACUUGUUGCGAAAGGAUUUUGACAAGUUCAAAGUGUUGAAUACGAUGAGAUUUUCUCACUCGUAAUGAUGCUUAAGUCUGUCUGAAUCAUGUUAGCAAUUGCCACAUUUUAUGAAAUCUGGCAAAUGGAUGUCAAAAUUGCAUUCCUUAAAUAGAUAUUUCUUAAAGAAGUGUUGUAUAUGAUACAACCAAAAGGUUUUGUCAAUCCUAAAGGUGCUAACAAAAUGUGCAAGCUCCAGCGAUCCAUCAAUGGACUGGUGCAAGCAUCUCGGAGUUGGAAUAUACGCUUUGAUGAAUUGAUCAAAGCAUAUGGUUUUAUACAGACUUUUGGAAAGACCUGUAUUUACAAGAAAGUGAGUGGGAGCACUACAGCCUUUCUGAUAAGUAUAUGUGAAUGACAUAUUGUUGAUCAGAAAUAAUGUAGAACUUUCUAGAAAGCAUAAAGGAGUGUUUGAAAGGAGUUUUUUAAAAGAAAGACCUCGGUGAAGCUGCUUGCAUAUUGAGCAUCAAGAUCUAUUGAGAUAGAUCAAGACGCUUGAUAAGAUUUUUCAAUGAGUACAUACCUUGAUAAGAUUUUGAAGUAGUUCAAAAUGGAACAGUCAAAGAAAGAGUUCUUGCCUGUGAUGCAAAGGUGUGAAGUUGAGUAAGACUUAAAACCCAACCAAGGCAGAAAAUAGAAAGAGAAUGAAAAGGUCAUUCUCUAUGCCUCAGUCAUAGGUUCUAUAAAGUAUGCUAUGUUGUGUACCAAAAUUGUUGUAUACCUUGCUCUGAGUUUGGCAAAGGAAUACAAUUUUGAUCUAAGAGUAGAUCACUGGACAGCGGUCAUGAAUAUCCUUAGUAAGGACCAAGGAGAUGUUUCUCGAUUAUGGAGGUGAUAAAAGAGUUCGUCGUAAAGAGUUACAUCGAUGCAAGCUUUUACACCGAUCCAGAUGACUCUAAGUCUCAAUCUGGAUACAUAUUGAAAGUGGGAGCAAUUAGCUAGAGUAGCUCCGUGCAGAGCAUUAUAGACAUAGAAUAUUUGCAAAAUACAUACGACUCUGAAUGUGACAGACCCGUUGACUAAACUUCUCUCACAAGCAAAACAUGAUCAUACCUUAGUACUCUUUGGGUGUUAAUCACAUAGCGAUGUGAACUAGAUUAUUGACUCUAGUGAACCCUUCGAGUGUUGGUCACAUGACGAUGUGAACUAUGGGUGUUAAUCACAUACUGAUGUGAAUAUUGGUGUUGAAUCACAUGAUGAUGUGAACUAGAUUAUUGACUCUAGUGCAAGUGGGAGACUGAAGGAAAUAUGCCCUAGAGGCAAUAAUAAAGUUAUUAUUUAUUUCCUUAUUUCAUGAUAAAUGUUUAUUAUUCAUGCUAGAAUUGUAUUAACCGGAAACAUGAUACAUGUGUGAAUACAUAGACAAACUGAGUGUCACUAGUAUGCCUCUACUUGACUAGCUCAUUAAUCAGAUAUGGUUAUGUUUCCUAGCCAUGGACAAAGAGUUGUCAUUUGAUUAAGGGAUCACUUCAUUGGAGAAUGAUGUGAUUGACUUGACCCAUUCCGUUAGCUUACCACUUGAUCGCUUAGUAUGUUGAUAUUGCUUCCUUCAUGACUUAUACAUGUUCCUAUGACUAUGAGAUUAUGCAACUCCCGUUUACCAGAGGAACACUUUGUGUGCUACCAAAUGUCACAACGUAACUGGGUGAUUAUAAAGGUGCUCUACAGGUGUCUCUGAAGGUACUUGUUGGGUUGGCGUAUUUCGAGAUUAGGAUUUGUCACUCCGAUUGUCAGAGAGGUAUCUCUGGGCAAACUCGGUAAUGCACAUCACUAUAAGACUUACAAGCAUUGUAACUAAUGAGUUAGUUGUGGGAUGGUGUAUUACGGAACGAGUAAAGAGACUUGCCGGUAACAAGAUUGAACUAGGUAUUGAGAUACCGACGAUCGAAUCUCGGGCAAGUAACAUACCGAUGACAAAGGGAACAACGUAUGUUGUUAUGUGGUUUGACCGAUAAAGAUCUUCGUAGAAUAUGUGGGAGCCAAUAUGAGCAUCCAGAUUCCGCUAUUGGUUAUUGACUAGAGACGUGUCUCGGUCAUGUCUACAUAGUUCUCGAACCCAUAGGGUCUGCACGCUUAAAGUUCGAUGAUGGUUAUAUUAUGAGUUUAUGUGUUUUGAUGUACCGAAGGUAGUCCAGAGUCCCGAAUGAGAUCGGGGACAUGACUAGGAGUCUCGAAAUGGUCAAAACGUAAAGAUCGAUAUAUUGUACGACUAUAUUCGGACUUCGGAAAGGUUCCGAGUGAUUCGGGUAUUUUGCGGAGUACCAGAGAGUUACGGGAAUUCGUAGUGGGCCUUAAUGGGCCAUACGAGAAAGGAGAAAAAGGCCUCAAAAGGUGGCCGCACCCCUCCCCAUGGACUGGUCCGAAUUGGACUAGGGAGGGGGGCGUCCCCUUCCUUCCUUCUCCUUCUGCCUUCCCUUUCUCCUACUCCAACUUGGAAGGGGGGGGGGAAUCCUACUCCCGGUGGGAGUAGGACUCACCUAUGGUGCGCCCAAGAGAGGGCCGUCCCUCCCCUCCUCUACUCCUUUAUAUACGGGGGAGGGGGCACCCCAUGGAGACACAACAAUUGAUCCCUUGGGUCUCUUAGCCGUGUGCGGUGCCCCCUCCACCAUAAUCCACCUCGAUAAUAUCGUAGCAGUGCUUAUGUGAAGCCCUGCGAUGGUAAAACAUCAUCAUCGUCACCACACCGUCGUGCUAACGGAACUCUCCCUCAAAGCUCGGCUGGAUCGGAGUUCGAGGGACGUCAUCGAGUUGAACGUGUGCUGAACUCAGAGGUGUCGUGCGUUCGGUACUUGAUCAGUCAGAUCGUGAAGACGUACGACUACAUCAACCGCGGUGUGCUAAUGCUUCUGCUUUCGGUCUACGAGGAUACGUGGACACACUCUCCCCUCUCAUUGCUAUGCAUCACCAUGAUCCUGUGUGUGCGUAGGAUUUUUUUUGAAAUUACUAUGUUACCCAACAACCUUCUGUUCCCGUGAGAUCCCAUCUUGGGGCCUUUUCCAGCACCCUGCUAGAGGGGUUUUGAUCAUGGAGGGCAUCUACAUUAACUGUAUUGCCCUUCCGAUGAAGCGUGAGUAGUCCACCACAGACCUAUGGGUCCAUAGCUAGUACCUAGAUGGCUUCUUCUAUCUCUUUAAUUCUCAAUACCAUGUUCUCCUCGAUGUUCUUGAAGAUCUCUCUGAUGUAAUCUUAUUUUGUAGUGUGUUUGUCGAGAUCUGAUGGAUUGCGGAUUUAUGAUCAGCGUAUCUAUGAAUAUUAUUUGAAUCUCCUCUGAAUUCUUAUAUGCAUGAUUUGGUAUAUUUGUAUUUCUCUUCAAAUUAUCGAUUUGGUUUGGCCAACUAGAUUGGUUUUUCUUGCAAUGGGAGAGGUGCUUAGCUUUGGGUUCAAUCUUGUGUGAUUUCACCCAGUGACAAAGUAGGGGUAGCGAGACACGUAUUGCAUUGUUGCCAUCGAGGAUAAAAGCAUGGGGUUUACAUUAUUGCUUGAGUUUAUUCCUCUACAUCAUGUCAUCUUACUUAAUGUGUUACUCUGUUAUUUAUGAACUUAAUACUCUAGAUGCAUGCAGGAGUCGGUCGAUGUGUGGAAUAAUAGUAGUAGAUGCAGGCAGGAGUCGGUCUACUUGAUACGGGCGUGAUGUCUAUAUUGCAUAAUCAUUGCCUUGGAUAUCAUCAUAACUUUUCCCUUUUCUAUCGAUUGCUCGACAGUAAUUUGUUCACCCACCAUAUUAUUUGCCUUCAAGAGAGCAGCCUCUAGUGAAACCUAUGGGCCCCGGGUCUAUUUUCCAUCAUAUUAGUUUCCGAUCUACUAUUUUGCAAUCUUUUACUUUCAGAUCUAUAAAUCAAAAACCCAAAAAUAUUUUAUCUUUUGUUUAUCUAUCUCUAUGAGAUCUCGCUUUUGCAAGUGACCGUGAAGGGAUUGACACCCCAUUUCUCGCGUUGGGUCCAAGUGUUUGAUUGUUUGUGCAGGUAUUGGUGAUUUGCGCGUUCUUCUCCUACUGGAUUGAUACCUUGGUUCUCAAACUGAGGGAAAUACUUAUCUCUACCUUGCUGCAUCACCCUUUCCUCUUCAAGGGAAAAACAACGGAAGCUCAAGAAUUAGCACGACCCACUCUCCUGUAGCCCGUUGUACUCUCUACCUGAUCAUGGUGCUUUAUGCUUCAUACUAUUAUCCAAUGAUAUGUUGCCAUCCUAUCAUGCUUGAGUAGAUUUUUGUUGUCCUAUCAGUGAUUGGUGAAUUGCCAUGAUUGGUUUAAUUUGCUUGUGGUUAUUAUGAUGUACUUUAGUGCCCAUCAUACGAGCGCGCGUGUGGAUCACACCAUAGGGUUAAUUCUAUGUUGAUAGGACUAUGUAUUCGAGGGCAAGGGUGACAGCAGCUUCAGCCUAGCAUAGAAAUUGAUGCAUACGAGAUUGAAGGGGGACCAAUAUAUCUUAAUGAUAUGGUUGGGUUUUACCUUAAUGAACAUUAUUAGUUGCGGAUGCUUGCUAAUAAUUCCAAUCAUAAGUGCAUAGAAUUCCAUGUAAAGGAUGACAUGCUAGCAGUGGCCUCUCCCACAUAAAAACUUGCUAUCGGUCUAGUAACAUAGUCAAUUGCUUAGGGACAAUUCCGCAACUCCUACCACCACUUUUCCAGACUUGCUAUACUAACUUAAUUGUUUAUUUAUCUAAAUAGUCCCUAGUUCUUACCUACAUGCUCUUUAUUAUCUUGCAAAACUAUCCCACAACACCUACAAAGUACUUCUAGUUUCAUACUUGUUCUAGGUAAAGCGAACGUCAAACGUGUGUAGAGUUGUAUCAGUGGUUGAUAAAACUUGAGGGAAUAUUUGUUCUACCUUUUAGCUUCUCAUUGGGUUUGACACUCUUACUUAUCGAAAGAGGCUACAACUGAUCCCCUAUACUUAAGGGUUAUCACUAGGCUAUCUCGUUGGUCCCAAUGGUUGACCACACCUGCCCUAGGUUUGCGGUAGUCGUUCCGCCUCAUCAUGGAUGAGAAGCACCUCAUGGUAGAGGUGGAGCUUGAGGCAGAACGAGCAGGCACUAUCGCUCUCACCAAGCUCUGCGUCGACCCGGUCUUCAUUGCUGAAAAUCGCGCCAUCUCGAGUCCAUUAAGGAUGAACAGGUGGUGUCAGGCUAUCAAUGAACCGUUGCACGAUCUUCAUCCAUGAUGGAGAGCAAUAAGAGACCUUUGUGGAUGAGGAUGAGGACGAUGAGGGCGAGCAGGUGCCUCCCACCACUGAGAAAUUAUGUAGGGCCUACUUUCUCUGCAUGUUCCAUAGUCCCUAUCCUCCCCCACUGCCCAAGUACAACAUGCUAGCCCAUGAAUCUUGUUUGACGCCUUACAUGUUUCAAAAAAAGAUUGUCAUGGCAUGCACAAUGAGUGAAUAAUGUCAAUAAACAUGAUGACAUGCCCCAUCUCUUGCCAAGUUGUUGUUGUGCCAAUGGUAGCAUCAAUAAAUGCAUCAAAAGAAAAAGGCAGUUGCCCCCGCUUUGCCCCCAGGGGCGACACGGGCGGAUCCUCAGUCUCGCCGCCACUAAUACCACUCCAACGUAUCUAUAAUUUUUAAUUGUUCCAUGCUAUUAUAUUAUCCAUAUUGGAUGUUUUAUAUGCAUUUAUAUGCUAUUUUAUAUUAUUUUUGGGACUAACCUAUUAACCUAGAGCCCAGUACCAGUUUCUGUUUUCCCCUUGUUUUUGAGUUUUGCAGAAAAGGAAUAUCAAACGGAGUCCAAAGGAGCUAAAAAUUUAUGGUGAUUUUUUAUGGACCAAAAGAAGCCCCCGAAGCAAAAUAGUUGGGCCAGAAGAGUCCCGAGUCAACGACAAGGGUGGAGGGCGCGCCCACCUCCCUAGGGCACCCCCUGCCUUGUCGCUGACUCAUGGACCCCCCUAACGUGAAACCGGCGCAAAAAAUUCCUAUAAAUCCAUAAACCCCCAGAAAGAAAACUAGUUUGGGAGUUCCGCCUCCGCAAGCCUCUGUAGCCACGGAAAACCAAUCAGGCGCCCGUUCCGGCACCCUGCCGGAGGGGGAAUCCAUCACCGGCGGCCAUCUUCAUCAUCCUAGUGCUCUCCGUGACGAGGAGGGAGUAGUUCACCCUCAGGGCUGAGUGUAUGUACCAGUAGAUAUGUGUUUGAUCUCUCUCUCUCUCUCUCUCUCUCUCUCUCUCGUGUUCUUGAUUUGGCACGAUCUUGACGUACCGCGAGCUUUGUUAUUAUAGUUGGAUCUUAUGGUGUUCUUCCCUCUCUACCUUGUGAUGAAUUGAAUCUCUUCCUUUGAGGUUUUGUUAUGUCGGAUUGAAUCUUUGGAUGUGAGAGCACUUGGUGUAUGUCUUGCGAUGGGAUAUCCGUGUUGACAAUGGGAUGUUCUAUUGAUCCACUUCAUGUAUAUUUUGGUUAUCAAAUUGCGGAUUCCUGUGGUGACAUUGGGGUAAUAUAUGCAUAGGGGUUGGUACACGUUUUCAUAUUCCUUUCUCCGAUAGAAAUCUUGGGAUACUUUUGAAGUUCUUUGUGUUGGAUUGAAUAUUAUGAAUCUGAAGUUGUUUGAUGCAUAUCAUAUAAUUGACCCACGAAUACGUGUGGUGACAUUGGAGUAUCUAGAUGACAUUAGGGUUGAUUGAUGUGUGUCAUGUGGUGUUAUUUUAGUAUGAACUCUAGGGCUGUUUGUGGCACUUAUAAGAAUAGCCCAAAGAUCGACCAGAAAGAAUAACUUUGAGGUGGUUUCGUACCCUACAAGCAAUUUCAUCUUAUGUUCUCCGUGAUAGGAGCUUUGGAGUGAUUCUUCGUUGCACGUUGAGGGAUUGUCAUAUGAUCUAAUUAUGUUAUCAUUGUUGAGAGAACUUGCACUAGUGAAAGUAUGAACCCUAGGCCUUGUUUCCAAGCAUUGCAAUACCGUUUUUGCUCACUUUUAUUACUAACCUUGCGGUUUUUUAUUUUCAUAUUACAAAGACCUAUAUCUACCAUCCAUAUUGCACUAGUAUCACCAUCUCUUCUCCGAACUAGUGCACAUAUACAAUUUACCAUUGUAUUGGGUGUGUUGGGACACAAGAGACUCUCUGUUAUUUGAUUGCAGGGUUGUUUGAGAGAGACCAUAUUCAUAAUAUGCCUCCCACGGAUUGAUAAACCUUAGGUAAUCCUCUUGAGGGAAAUUUGCUACUGUCCUACAAAACUCUGUGCUUGGAGGCCCAACACGAGUCUACAAGAAGUAGGUUGCGUAGUACUCCCUCCGUUCCUAAAUAUAAGUCUUUGGAGAGAUUCCACUAUGAACCACAUACGAAUGUAUAUAGAUGCAUUUUAGAGUGUAGAUUCACUCAUUUUGCUUCGUAUGUAGUCCAUAGUGAAAUCUCUACAAAGACUUAUAUUUAGGAACGGAGGGAAUAGACACCAAGCUCUUUUCUAGCGCCAUUGCUAGGGAGGUGAGUGCUUGAAGGUAUAUCUUGAGAUCUUGUAAUCGAAUCUUUUCGUUUCUUGUUUUAUCACUAGUUUAAUCUAUAAAAGAAAACUAAAAAAUUGAAUUAAGGUUGCCUCACAUGCUUCAUCUUUUUAAUGUCUUUCAUGAAAAUGAUGGAAUGGAAAAUUGUGCUCAAGUGUUAGAGGAAGAAGUCAAUAGAUUGUUUGGCACUAAAUCUUUGUAUGAUGAGCAUGAUUGCAAUGUUGUUAGUAUGAGUUCCUUGAAUAUCCAUGAUGCUAACGAUAUGCAAAGCUACAAGCUUGGGGAUGCUAUGUUUGAUGAAUAUGAUAUUUUUAGUCCCCCAAGUUUUGAUGAGAAUAUUUAUUAUGAUGAAAGCAUGACUCCUAUUUAUGAUGAUUAUAUUGAUGAAAGUGGGUUUGGAAGAGUGUCAACUUUAGUAAGUAAUGAUCCCACUAUUUUGGAGGGUGUUGAAUCUUAUUAUAAUGAUAAAAGUGGAUUUGGAGAGGCCAUGACUUUAUUUAGUGAUGAAUCCACUAUUUCGGAAGAGGUUCCAAUUGAUUAUGAGAACAAAAGUUGCUAUAUAUGAUGAUUAUUGUGAUGACAUGUAUGCUAUAAAGAAUGAUGAUAAUCAUGAAACUUGUCAUCUUGAUUUUAAUUUUCAAUUGGAUUAUGCCUCACAUGAUAGUUAUUUUGUUGAGUUUGCUCCCACUACUAUUGAUGAGAAGAAAUUUGCUUAUGUGGAGAGUAAUAAAAUAUCUAUGCUUGUAGAUCAUGAAAAGAAUGAUCUGUGUGGUGGUUAUAUUGUUGAGUUCAUUCAUGAUGCCACUAAAAAUUAUUAUGAGGGAGGAAUAUAUGCUUGUAAGAAUUGCGGUAAUAUCAACUUUCCUCUCUAUGUGUUGAAAUUCUUAAAGUUAUGCUUGUUUUGCCUUCCUAUGCUAGUUGAUUCUUGCUCCCAUAAAUUGUUUGCUCACAAAAUCCCUAUGCAUAGGAAGUGGGUGGGACUUAAAUGUGCUAGUCAUAUGCUUCACGAUGCUCCUGUUAUGUUUCAAUUCUUAUCUUUCAUGUGAGCAUCAUUGAAAUAAUCAUGCCUAGCUAGAAAGGCAUUAACAAAAAGCGCUUGUUGGGAGGCAACCCAAUAUUUACCCCUACUGUUUUUGUGUGUUCGUAUGAUUAUGUUACUGUAUUAAUCAUGUUUUAUAGCUUUUGUUUCAAUAAAGGGCCAAGUAAAGCCUUUGGGAUAGUGUGGAUGAUAGUUGACUUGAUUCUGUGCAAAAACAGAAACUUUUGCUCUCAGUCCAGGAAUUUUGAAAAUUCACUAGAAUGUGCUUUUGAUAUGAAUUUUCUACACAUUAAUGAUAUACAAAUUUUCUAUGUUGUUCUAAUUUUUCAGAAUCUUUGGAGAUACAGAAGUAUACGAAGUUUCCUGAUUACUACAGACUGUUCUGUUUUAAACAGAUUCUGUUUUCUAUGUGUUGUUUGCUUAUUUUGAUGAAUCUAUGAGUAGUAUCAGAGGGUAUGAACCAUGGAUAAGUUGGAAUACAGUAUAUAUAACACCAAUACGAAUUUAGAAUGAGUUCACAACAGUACCUAAGUGGUGAUUUAUUUUCUUAUACUAACGGAGCUCAUAAGAUUUUCUGUUGAGUUUUGUGUUGUGAAGUUUUCAAGUUUUGGGUAAAGUUUCAAUGGACUACGGAAUAAGGAGUGGCAAGAGCCUAAGCUUGGGGAUGUCCAAGGCACCCCAAGGUAAUAUUCAAGGAAGAUCCAAGCAACUAAGCUUGGGGAUGCCCCGGAUGGCAUCCCCUCUUUCGUCUUCGUUCAUCGGUAACCUUACUUGAGGCUAUAUUUUUAUCCACCACAUGAUAUGUGUUUUGCUUGGAGCAUCAUUUUCUUUUGUUUAUUUGCUUGUUGUUAUUCAGAGACAUGUUUUAUAUCUUUUAGUUCAAUAAAAAGGUCAAGUAUAGCCUUUACCAUGCUUAUUUUACAAGUCUAUAUGUUGCUGUUUGAAAAUAGAAAGUUUGAUGUUAUGUUUUGAAUAUUGGUGAAUAGUCAGAACAUGAUAAAAUCUUGAAAUUUUUACACAAUAAGGUACAACAAAUUUUCUAAAUUGUGGUAAUUUUUCAGAAUUUUUUGGAGUUCGGGAAGUAUGAUUCCUCUUGCAUUAUUUAUAGACUGUUCUGUUUAGACAGAUUGAUGUUAUGUUUGCAUUGUUUGCAUAUGUUUGCUUGUUAAUUAUUCUAUUUGAGGAUAGGAGUGUUGAAUAUGACGAGGCAUUUAGUAUGCAAUGUCAAAUUAUAAUUUUAGUGAUUCUCUACAGUAGAAAAUGAUAAGGUUUUGCAUUGAUUUAUACUAACUUAUCUCACGAGUUCUUGUUGAGUUUUGUGUGUAUGAAGUUUUUAAGAUUUAGGAAAACCGUGAUACAAGAGGAAUUAAGGAGGCACAAGAGCUCAAGCUUGGGGAUGCCCAAGGAAUCCCUAGUUAAUAUUUCAAGAAGUCUCAAGCAUCUAAGCUUGGGGAUGCCCCGGUUGGCAUCCCACCUUUCUUCUUCAACAAUGAUCGGUCAGUUUUGGUUGAGCCUAAGUUUUUGCUUCUUCACAUGAUAUGUGCUAUCCUUGCAAUGUCAUUUUAUUUUGUUUUGCUUGAUUUUUAAAUAAAAUACUUAAGAUCUAAAUUUUCUAAAUGGGAGAGAGUCUUCACAUAGCUAAAUAAUUGUUUGACUACUCAUUGAUCUUCACUUAUAUCUUUUUGGAGUAGUUUGUCAUUUACUCUUGUGCUUCACCUAUAUCCUAUGAGUAAAUGGUUGAAUGAAUUAGAUACCAUAAAUCUUAAUUUAUAUAUGUUUCAUAUGCUUAUACCGUGGGGAGUAAUGACUUCACUUAUAAGAAGUAGAGGUGGUAAAUUUAUUGAAAGUUAGCAAACAUAGUAUUGGUCAAUUGAACAAUUCAUCAAAGAAUAUUGAAGGAAGAGAGAUUUCACAUAUAAAUAUACUAUCUUGGACAUCUUCUAUGAUUGUGAGCCCCAUUAAUUAUUUUCAAACUUGAUCAAAUUAGUUGAAGUUGGACAAGGAAGACAACUUAAUGAGUUAUGUUUGGGUAUUUUUGUAUAGAAGUUAUAUUGCUAUGGAUCCUCCAACACGUGGUGCUUGAUUUUUAGAAUCUUUUGCUAGCCAAAUUUUUUGUACUAAGUAGAGUUACUACUUGUGCAUCCAAAAACCCUUAAACCAAGUUUCUUCCAUGAGUGUCCACCAUAUCUACUUAUAUGCGGUAUUUACCUACCGUUCCAAGUAAAUUUGCAUGUGCCAAUCUCUAAACCUUCAAAUAAUAAUAUGUUUUGUAUGCCCGAAUUGCUCAUGUAUCGACUAGGGGCUGUCAGUAUCUUCCAUGAUAGGUGGGUUAUUCUCACGAUGAGUGGACUCCGCUCAUCAUUCACAAGAAAAUGGUUGGUAACUGGGAUGCCCAGUUCCAUGCUCAAAUCAAAUCAAAUAUAAUUGCAAACAAAACUCCCCCAGUAUUGUUGAUAGUUGGACGAUACCCAUUGUUUUGGACCAGCCGUGGAAUGUGCUUGUUGGUGGUGGGGGAGUAAAAACUUUACCAUUCUGUUUGGGAACCGCCUAUAAUGUGUCUAGCAUGGAAGAUAACUCUUGGUCGUUAUGUUGACAAUGAAAGCAUACCUCUCAAAAUUGUUUUCAUCUCUGUUUUAAAAGCUUCAAGCUCUGGCACCUCUACAAGUUCAUGCUUCCCUCUAUGAAGGGCCUAUCUUUUACUUUUAUGCAAGAGUUAGUGGUAUUCCUUCUCAUUCCAACCUACUCUUUAGUUGGCAAGCACCAUGUGAUGGGGAAAGAUCUAAGCAUAUAUGGCCAUUCAAAUAUAUUUGAUCAUGAAUUAUUAUUGUUGACAAUUAUCUAUAUGAUAAAUAAGUUGGGAGGCGAAACAUUAAGCCCCUAUCUUUCUCUAUGUUCAAUGGAUGCUAUUUGUUCUAAAAAUAUGCUUUGAGUGGUAGCAACCAUGGAAGACUAUAUAGUUGAGUAUGUGGGAUUUGCUAAAUCAAAGCUCUUACAUAGACCCUUCCUGAAAAUAAGAUGAAUUGCAAUUGUUUGAUGACUGAGAGCAUAAUUUGUUAGUUUUCAAGAAAGUUUAUGGUCUAUGCUUUAACAUGUGAAUAGCUUGUUACUUGAUCAUGGGAAGCUUUAUGCUAUGAGCUACUGUUACGAUAUACAAUGAUGCUAGAAAAAGUGAUUAAAAUUAUCUUUGAUCAAACUUGUGCACUUGCUAGCAUUCCAUAUGAAAAAUUCUUUUUUUACCAUUUACCUACUCGAGGACGAGCAGGAAUUAAGCUUGGGGAUGCUUGAUACGUCUCCAACGUAUCUAUAAUUUUUUAUUGUUCCAUGCUAUUAUAUUAUCCAUCUUGGAUGUUUUAUAUGCAUUUAUAUGCUAUUUUAUAUUAUUUUCAAGACUAACCUAUUAACCUAGAGCCUUGUGCCAGUUUAUAUUUUUUCCUUAUUUUUGAGUUUUGCAGAAAAGGAAUAUCAAACGGAGUCCAAACGAGCUGAAAAUUUAUGGUAAUUUUUUAUGGACCAGAAGAAGCCCCCGAAGCAAAAGAGUUCGACCAGAAGUGUCCCGAGUCAAUGACAAGGGUGGAGGGCAUGCCCACCCCCCCCCUAGGGCACGCCCCCUUCCUUGUCGCUGACUCGUGGAGCCCCCCNNNNNNNNNNNNNNNNNNNNNNNNNNNNNNNNNNNNNNNNNNNNNNNNNNNNNNNNNNNNNNNNNNNNNNNNNNNNNNNNNNNNNNNNNNNNNNNNNNNNNNNNNNNNNNNNNNNNNNNNNNNNNNNNNNNNNNNNNNNNNNNNNNNNNNNNNNNNNNNNNNNNNNNNNNNNNNNNNNNNNNNNNNNNNNNNNNNNNNNNNNNNNNNNNNNNNNNNNNNNNNNNNNNNNNNNNNNNNNNNNNNNNNNNNNNNNNNNNNNNNNNNNNNNNNNNNNNNNNNNNNNNNNNNNNNNNNNNNNNNNNNNNNNNNNNNNNNNNNNNNNNNNGGGGGGGGAUCCAGCACCGAUGGCCAUCUUCAUCAUCCCGGUGCUCUCCAUGACAAGGAGGGAGUAGCUCACCCUCGGGGCUGAGGGUAUGUGCCAAUAGCUAUGUGUUUGAUCUCUCUCUCUCUCUCGUGUUCUUGAUUUGGCACGAUCUUGAUGUACCGCGAGCUUUGUUAUUAUAGUUGGAUCUUAUGGUGUUCUUCCCUCUCUACCUUGUGAUGAAUUGAAUCUUUUCCUUUGAGGUUUUUUUAUGUCGGAUUGAAUCUUUGGAUGUGAGAGCACUUGAUGUAUGUCUUGCGAUGGGAUAUCUGUGGUGACAAUGGGAUGUUCUGUUGAUCCACUUGAUGAAUGUUUGGGUUAGCAACUUGUGGAUUCCGAUGGUGACAUUGGGGUAAUCUAUGCAUAGGGGUUGGUGAUAUGUCUCCAAUGUAUCUAUAGUUUUUGAUUGUUCCAUGUUGUUAUAUUAUCAUUCUUGGAUGUUUUACAAUCAUUUUAUAGUAAUUUUAUAUCUUUUUUUGGGUACUAACCCAUUGACAUAGUGCCCAGUGCCAGUUGAUGUUUUCUUCUUGUUUUUACAUCGCAGGAAAUCAAUACCAAAGGGAGUCCAAACACAGCGAAAUUUUUGUGGAUUUUUUCUGGACCAGAAGACACCGCAUGGGCCAAGAAAGUACCUGAGGGGAGCUAUGAGGGGAGCACAACCCACUAGGGCACGCCUGGGGUCCAGGCGCGCCCAGGUGGGUUGUGCCCACCUCGGUGGCCUCCCGCACCGCCUCUUUGCUCUAUAAAUACCCCAAUAUUCCAGAAACCCUAGGGGAGUCGAUGAAAGUAAAUUCCAGCCGCCGCAAGUUCUAGAAACACCAGAUCCAAUCUAAACACCAUCAUGGAGGGGUUCAUCAUGUCCAUUGGUGCCUCUCCAAUGAUGCGUGAGUAGUUUUUUUGUAGACCUACGGGUCCGUAGUUAUUAGCUAGAUGGCUUCCUCUCUCUCUCUCCCUCUCUCUCUCUCUCUCUCUCUCUCUUGAUUCUCAAUAUAAUGGUCUCUUGGAGAUCCAUAUGAUGUAAGUCUUUUUGCGGUGUGUUUGUUGGGAUCCGAUGAACUUUGAGUUUAUGAUCAGAUCUAUGUUUUUAUCCAUGAAAGUUAUUUCAGUCUUCUUUGAUCUCUUAUAUGCAUGAUUGAUUAUAGCCUCAUAUUCCUUCUCUGAUAUUUGGGUUUUGUUUGGCAAACUUGAUCUAUUUAUCUUGCAAUGGGAAGAGGUGCUUUGUGAUGGGUUCGAUCUUACGGUGCUUGAUCCCAGUGACAGAAGGGGAAACGACACGGAUGUAUCGUUGUUAUUAAGGAUAACAAGAUGGGGUCUAUUUCUACAUAAAUAGAUCUUGUCUACAUCAUGUCAUCAUUCUUAUUGCAUUACUCUGUUUUUCCAUGAACCUAAUACAUUAGAUGCAUGUUGGAUAGUGGUCGAUGUGUGGAGCAAUAGUAGUAGAUGCAGGUCGGUCUACUAAUCUUGGACAUGAUGCCUAUAUAAUGAUCAUUGCCUGGAUAUCGUCAUGAUUAUUUGAAGUUCUACCAAUUUCUCAAUAGUAAUUGUUUUCCCAACGUUUGCUAUUUUUCUUGAGAGAAGCCAAUAGUGAAACCUACGGCCCCCGGAUCUCUUCUUUAUCAUGAUUGCCUUUGCGAUCUAUUUUCCUUUGCUUUUAUUUUCAGAUCUAUUAAACCAAAAAUACAAAAAUAACUUGAUGCACUUUAUUUUAUCUGCGAUCUAUUUAUCCUAUCUAUCACAACUUUAUCACGUCUUCUCGCCAAUUUAUGGCACCGUUACCCGAAAGGGAUUGACAACCCCUUUAACACGUCGGGUUGUGAGUAUUUAUUAUUUGUGUGCAGGGGCUGUUUACGUUGUGUUGCUUGGUUCUCCUACUGGUUCAAUAACUUUGGUCUCAUCACUGAGGGAAAUACCUACCAUCAUUGUGCUGCAUCAUCCCUUCCUCUUUGGGGAAAGAUCGACGUAGUUCAAGCAGGCAUCAAAAGGAAUUUCUGGCGCCGUUGUCGGGGAGGAUCAUCAACAUCAACCAGGUUCCUAAUCAAAAAAUCUCAUCUCCUCACAAUUUACAUUAUUUGCCAUUUGCCUCUCGUUUUUCUCUCCCCCACUUCACAAAAAUUUACCGUUUUAUUCUCCCUCUUUUUCGUUCGCCGUUUUCUCCUCAUAUCUGUUUUUGUGUGCAAUCUUGUUAACCACUUUUUGUCAUUAAGGAUAGUUCUUCCUCUAUUGCAUACACUCCCGAGAACGAGGUUCUUAACUUUAAACAAAGAGGAGGGGAGAAUUUAAAAGAUGCUUGGUAUAGGAUUUGCAAUGCUCAUAAUAUAUCUAUCCGUAAGCAAUCUACCGUUGUUCUUCUUCGUUGUUUUUAUGUGGGCGUCACCACUUGGUAUAGAUUCUUCCUUGAUACGAUUACCGGUGGAAAUUUCUUGACGUGUCCUUCUCUUGGUGCUUUUAAUGCUUUGGGAAAUUUAGUGGGUUCACCACCUCUCAUGAUCAAUGAAACAAUUGUGACCCUCGAGCAUGUUAUGGAAAGACUAGAUGCUAUUGAAAAGAAAAUGCUUACCAAAGAACAUAUUGAAAACUUGGAUAGAAAAAUGCAAAACUACGCUACUAAAAUUGGGUCAAAAGCGUGAGAAAUUUUAAAGUUGUUAGAAGAAAAGGGGACUGUAAUUCAUGAAAGAAUUGAAGAAAGCCCGUCUAGGAUUGAUAAGUUGGAAGAAAUCUUUAGUAAUCUAAUGAAUUCCUCAACUUUAUGCCGAGAAGUUUCGCUAUUUUACUUGCCAAUUCUCCAAAUAAAUCUGGUUGUGUGCUUGAAGAGUUGGGAACUAAAGAUGACAAAACUUAGAUCCUACGCAUUAUGCCUAGCUAGGGGCGUAAAAUGAUAGCGCUCGUUGGAAGGCAACCCAACUUGUAUCUUUUUGAUUUUUGGUUUUCUUGCUGUUCUAAAUAAAAUUCCAAUUAUGCCUCUCAUUAAAUGUCCUUUUGUGGUUUAAAUAAGUGUUUCUGCCAAGCACGGCCUUUGGGAUGAUUUGGGUGUGAGUUGAUUUGAUCUUGCUGAAAAACAGAAACUUUUGCGCUCACAAAAUUAUUUUUCAUUUUUAUCAGAAGAGUUAUUUUGGGUUGUUUCUUUUUGCAAAAGAUUAAUAAACAAAUUAUUCACGUCUUCCUAAUUUUUUAGAACUUUUGGAGUUACAGAAGUAUUCGAAAUAGUCUAAUUGCUACAGACUGUUCUGUUUUUGACAGAUUCUGUUUUCCUUGCAUUGUGUGCUUGUUUUGAUGAUUCGAUGGUUUUCUUUGAAGAGUUUUUGCCAUAGAAAAGUUGGAAUAUAGUAGAUAUAAUGCAAAAAUAAAAUAUGAAUGGGUUGCAACAGUACUUAUAGUAGUGGUUUGCUUUCUUAUACUAACGGAUCUCAUGAAGGUUUUGUUGAGUUUUGUGUGAUUGAAGUUUUCAAGUUUUGCGUGAUCUUGCUGAAGGAAAUAUUCCCUAGAGGCAAUAAUAAAGUUAUUAUUUAUUUCCUUAAUUCAUGAUGAAUGUUUAUUAUUCAUGCUAUAAUUGUAUUAACCGGAAACUUAGUACAUGUGUGAAUACAUAGACAAAACAUAUAGUCCCCAGUAUGACUCUACUUGACUAGCUCGUUAAUCAAAGAUGGUUAUGUUUCCUAAGCAUAGACAUGUGUUGUAAUUUGAUGAACGGGGUCACAUCAUUAGGAGAAUGAUGUGAUGGAUAUGACCCAUCCGUUAGCUUAGCAUUAUGAUUAUGUUAGUUUCAUUGCUACUGCUUUCUUCAUGACUUCAAGUUCCUCAGACUGUGAGAUUAUGCAACUCCUGAAUACCGGAGGAACACUUUGUGUGCUACCAAAUGUCACAACGUAAAUGGGUGAUUAUAAAGGUGCUCUACAGGUGUCUCCGAAGGUGUUUGUUGGGUUGGCAUAGAUCGUUGGCAUAGAUCGAUAUUAGGAUUUGUCACUCCGUGUUUCAGAGAGGUAUCUCUGGGCCCACUCGGUAAUACUCAUCACUAUAAGCCUUGCAAGCAUUGUGACUAGUGAGUUAAUUGCGAAAACCUUUCAGGAUGACGUUACUUAUGUCCAACGGAAACCUUUCAGGAUACCGUUCACACUAGGACACAAUGUACAACCCCAGAAUCUAUUUGUGGAAGCAGUGCGCCAUCCAUGUUACUAGAUGGUAGCAGUUCAGAGGCAACACCACCGGAGAGCAGUCUGGGCACAUAUAUUAUAGUGCUUGAGGCUCUACUAGAGGCAGAAAGAGAUGGUGUGGCUGCCAUGAAUGAGGUAAUCUUUAUCUUGACGCUGGAAAUUACGGAAUUAGCGGCACGCAUUAUGCAAGCAACCCAAGAAUUGGAGGAAGUAAGAAUGUUGCAUUUGAGAACGGAGGAGGUCCUGCUGUUUCUACUAUUUGAAGCCCAAGGUAAUCCCGGUUCUUAUUUAGAUACUAGUUGAAAUUGUCAUUAGAUUAUUGUACUUGCAUGUUGUGUCAUGUCUCCGAAUGGAUUAUGUUGCAAGACCCCCUAUGUUGUCCAUGUGUUGUAAUGAUCCGGAUUUUUUAGGUGAGGUAAUCCUCAAUACUUGUAUGAUUGAAAUAAGGUGAACUGUUUUUCGUGUGAGCAUAUUGUAUUGGAUGAAAUAAUUGUUUGACUCAGAGUGUAUCCAACCUACUGAAUUCGAAGAUCACGGCAUUUCUAAAUCAUAAUCAUAUAUAAAGGUGGAAUAAAUCUUUGUUGUGGUUUUGAAUAAAUAAAUACAAAACGUAUAAUUAUCUAUGGAUAUACGUAAUCGAAUACAAAUUGGAUUUGAAUUUAGUUUGCCAGGGCCCAGGGCAAAUGUGAAUGCUAAUUCUCCCAAGUUUUUAACGAAGCGGCUAAACACCCACUAUAACUUGUGGGCUGCCCGAAGCAAGUGUUUGCGAGAUGGAAAUUACUGUCUACCCCUGACACCUGACAUCCUUAUCGACCGGAUUUACACUACUGUCGAUAGGGGUAGACUAGUAACUUCAAUCAGACGCGACAUGACGGCCUCUGAGCCCAUUCAGACAUGGUGGGCGCCAAACGUGGGCGGCAAAACACAUUUGAUUCAAGCUCGUCUGAAAGACAUGUGUCUCUUCCUCCAUUUCCCCAUUCAUACACGGUGGGCGGCAAAACAAACUCUCCUCGUCCGAAAUUGAUGUAGGCUAAUAUUUUAAAUAGGGGCAGAUGUGUAACUAACAUCAGACGUGACACAACCGCCCUACCUGUCAGCCCCAUUCAUACACCGUGGGCGCCAACCGUGGGUGGCAAAACACCCUCUCCUCGCUCGAAAUAGUUACCGGAAAACAUUUGGGAGAUGCGAGAUUACCGUCCUAUCCCCAACCGACGCGAUGUCCGAAAUUUUAAAUGGGGGAUAAGCUCGUAACUUUCCCCCAUUUCAGAGAAGCGCGUCCCAAAGUUUGAGAUCCCCCCUCCCCCCAUUUCCCCAUUCAUACACCGUCGGAGGCACGACAACCUCCACACUGCGACCAACCUCCUCCGUCCACCACCCCAUCCUCCACCUUGCCGGAGCCGCUACCCCUACCCCGUCGUCCACUGCAAGAGAUGGACGUCUCUCAUCCAUGGCGCUGGACCAGGAUCCUUUCAUCGCCUCCUCUCGCUUCAUCAGCGCCGUCGUCCACCUUGCCGUUGGCGCUCCUACGACCGCCUCGUCCACGGCAACAGGAUAUAUCCCCCGACCCGGCUGUCUGCCGUCUAAAGUCUUCUUCCCCGCCACCGACAGCCAUCGCACCCGCAACACCCUCAACGUAUCAGCAUAGGCCUACACAACAUCGCAAGAGAGGUGGUACUCUUCCAUAUGUGCUUAAGUUAUUGAUCUCACCUGCAAAAUAGAUCGUAAUUUGUUUACUGUACUUUCCUUGUCCGUAUCAAAUCGUAGUGGCUAGUUGAAAGCAAACAUUGGUUGCGAAGUAGCUUUGCCCGGUUUGCACCUUUAGAUCCGCCAUAGCACGGGCACUAUACUCGUAAAGCUUAUGGUUUCCCCCCUUUAUAUUCACUACCAUCAUCGUAGGUGAUUCGUGUCGUGCUAGCACGGCUCCUCAAGACCUCAACCCAAAGCUUACGUGUUGAAAUACGAAUCUGAUAUGAUGCUCAUAUCACUAAAACAGAGAACGUUUAAUUGGUCACCUAAUGUUCCUAUAUUCGUUUCGAAAAGCAUGUGCGCCACCCACUGGUCCAGCUAGUUCCACUUUCCUGAUUUUCUCUUGAUGCUUAGGGUUUUCCCCUUUUAUCUACUAUACUAUGAUCUGCGUAGGUGCUUUCUGUCAUACUAGCAUUACUCCACCCUUCAAGCUAAACAACACGCACUCAGAAUUCGAAAGCUUAGUUGUUCAAAUAUGAUUGUGAUAUGAUACUGAUAUUAGUUAACCAACACAUUUAAUUGGUUAGCUAAAGGUCCCACUUGAGUUUCCAAAUGCAUGUCACGACAUAUAGAGAGACAACAUAAUUGCAUUUCUGUCACUUGUUGACCGUACUUUCUUGUCCAUACCAAAUCUUAGUUGUUAUUUCAAAGCAAACAUUGGUUGCUAACUACCCUUUGCGCGGUUUGCAGCUUCAGAUCUGCCAUCCCACUGCCACGGUCAACACUGUACUCAUCAUGCUUAUGUUUUCCCCAUUUUAUGAUGACCACAAUCAGCCUACGUGGUUCGUGUCGUAAUAGCACUGCUCCACCCAUCGAGCUAAACAAGCUUAGUUGUACAAAUUCAUAUAUGAUAUUAUUGCUGAUAUUAGUAAAACUGAGAGAUGUUUAAUUGGUUAGAUAAAUGUUCCUACUUUAGUUUCUAAAUGCAUGUGAGCCACAUAUGGAGAGACCGGAAAGAAUAGUAUUUCUCUGUGCGCUCUGGUUCAUCAUGGGUGGCCAACCGACAUUGUAUUGAAAGACUUGUAAUAUCUUCAAUCUGCUUGCUCUUCUACUCUUCUUUAAGAUGAUACUCUUCUCUUGCGGUCUACUGGUCAGGUCGAGUUGUUCUCCCUUAGUAUAUUUUGAAUCUUUCAGGUCAGGUCGACUUGUUCUUCUUUACUAUAUGUUGAAGCUGUCAUCUGCGAAGUGUCAUCAUUUCUGGAGCUCUGAUAUUUUGAGUAGUAGGCCACAUUAUAUUAAUGCACACAACAAAUUACAGCAUGCAUGUCAUCUUUUAAAAGAAUUGCAGAGAUAGCAGAAAGGGGUUUACAGGGAGGCAGUAUUGGAUUAGAAUCACUUCUGCAUUACAAAGAAAACCUCACUUGUUUUUAUGUUUUCAUGCAUGUCAGAUAUUGAACAUUAUCAAAAUGAAUAUGAGAAUGGGCGCAUGAGAGGAAUAUUGCGGAACAAUCCAUUGGCUAACAAACUUGGCAUGGUGGAGGAUGGCCUAUCUUAUUCACCCAUCAAGGUGCUUGCUCUAACUUUGCAAAGUUGUAUUGGUCGCACAUAUUUUGCAUCUGACCUCUUGCAUUACUUCCACUUUGUUACACCAUCUGCUUAGUUUAAGCAUCAUAUAUGAGUAUAUGCCAUACCUAUCCAUUUUCUGUACCUUUUCCAUGUGUCGUCACGCUAUGUUUUUCCAGUCAAAUCUUGUUCUUUCGUAAUAGAUGUCCAAAAGGAAGAGGGUGAGUGUAGAUCCUCAAGGAGUACAAACUAGGUAUUUGGAGAAGGUAGUGAUACCUGGUAAAUCAGAUAGAUCAGCAGCCACAGAAAACACAGGCCCAACUGUACCACACUUUACCCCUACUCCAGUGGCCAAACCCCUAUUAGAACUGCUGGGAGCCCAGCGUCAGGUACUGUCUAUGAUAUCAAUUCAAAAUUUGUACUCUUAAAUUUUUGCUUGUGCCUUACCUUCUCUCUUGUAUGAAAACUAAUUUCAGAUGAAUCUCCUUGCUCAAAGGAUCAUACAAUCUCAAAACAAUAAUGGGCUCUGCAUUGCUCUUGUGAGUACCUCUCUCCCUUUUGCCUUGUAAUGUUGUACUUAAUUAAUUGCUAUUUGAUUACGUAUCAUCAGUCUGCACCUGAGCCUCAUUAUCCUCUGUUUCUUCCAAUAUUAUUUGAUCUAUAUUUACUCUUUGCAAAAUGUAGAAUAAUGGCAACGCUUAUAAAGAAUUUUCUUUGGGGAAUUUAUUGAAUUAUCCUUCCACCAACAUGGAGAAGGGCUUUGUCCAGCCCGUGUUAACAUGUAAUGUAAGUUCAUCCUUCUCAGGCCUUCAAACUUUGUUCUAGUAUAUAUUUGGAUAGGCAUCAUUUCCUCCACUGCUGUUUGCUUUGUUGUUUACAUCUGGUUGGAUGUUUGCAACAACUACCAGUUUCAAAUUGUAGUUGUAAAAACAUGUUCCUUAUGCAGAACAGAUCCAUUUAUUUGCUUAUAUAAUUGUGAAACCUGUUACGUGUCUCCUUGUUUCUCUUUUAGAUUCGUAUCUCUUACGCCAGGCAGAAAUUUAGGGAAGAUAGUGAGCCAAACCAUCUUGAGGACAGCGAGAUGACCCCAAGGUCCUGUCUUGAUGAAGACAGUGAGUUGAAGCUACUCACCAGCAGGUGUGAGACAACCUCUGUGCAGUUGCUGCCUCAAUCAGUUCGACUUUUUCAGUCUCAACUUAAAGCGGAAAGGCUUGCUUCAACUCAGCUCCGACUUGAAGUCAAAGAUGCAAUGAAGAUGUCAGAGGACUGCCAUGCACACCAUCAUGCCUUAAAUCUAGUGUUGAUGCAUCUAUCGUUGACACAACUGAGGUCUACUCAGCUUCUUCAGCUGUUUGGGGGGGCCGACCUGGCCAGGCCUAGUGCCUUCUGAAGUGCUCUCAGUUUUGUAUAUUCUUUUGUCGGCGCAUUUAUUUGCACUGGUGGUGAAUUUUGAUGCCCAGUGGAUGUAAUAUGUGUGAUAGCCGUGAUAGCCUAGCAUAAGUUGCUUGCUUAUUUAUUUCCUUGUUGUCUUGUUUAUUUGUUUGCUUGUAGUCAUAGCAGUUCUUUUUCUGCGGUUUGCUAGUGGCUGCAAUAACAGUGGGCCUUCUACAGGCCAUAGAAACAGUGGGCCUUCUACGGGGCAUAGAAAUAAUGGGCCUUCUAUGGGCCAUAGAAACAAUGGGCCUUCUACGGGUCGUAUCAUCAAUGGGCCUUCUACGGGCCGUAUGAUCGGUUGGCCAAACAUGGGCCAAUAACAGGCCGCAAUAUGUUCGUAAACGGGCUAGAGUUGGAAUCAUCCGUUCAUGGGCCGACCAUAACGGGCCAUCGUUAAUAGGCCGUAUUUGAUGACGAUAUGAAAACGGCCCAACAUAUUAACGGACCACAAACGGGCCGAUUGUAACCACGGGCUGAAUUUGGCCCACAAGCAGAAAUUGAUAGUAACGGGCCGUAAGUAAACGAAUGCUGGAAAUGAGCCCAAGAAUAAAUGGGCUCUAAGAAGGCCGAAAGAUAACAUGGACUAGAAACGACCCAAUGGAAUAAUGGGCCGUUAAUGGGUAUAAAGUGAUACAUUGUUCAUUACGGGCCAGUUUCACCAUGGGCCGUUAAUGGGUGUAAAGUGAUACACUAUUCAUUACGGGCCAGUUUCACCACGGGCCGUUAAUAGGUCAAGAGUUACAUAGGGCCUCAUAUGGGCCGAAAGACGUCAUGGGCCAUACAUGGGCCAUAAGUGAAAACGGGCUGGAAUCAUAUUGGAUGGCCCAGAUGACGCUACUGGGCCUAAUUCGAAUAGGGCGUAACGGGCCUUGGGUUAGCGGGCUGUAAAUGGGCUAUAUGCGAACAUGCCGUUAACAGGCUUUACAUGGGCUGGCCCGCCAUCUUUUGACCAAGUCAAAUGGGCCGGCCUUUUCAUAGGAAUGGGCCUCUGUUGGGCCGUGCCACUUGUCGAUGUAUCAUAGGCGCCUUUUGUCCAAUGAGUGGAUGACAUCUGUCCCGAUGAUGAGCCGACACGUGUUUCCUCCAGCCAAUGAUGAUUUUACAUGUGGAAAAUCCCCAUUGGUCGGGGCUAUUAACGGGUUAUCGGAUCCAAAACCCAACCCGAUAGCUUAACAGUGUUCCAUUACGGUGGAUGCCACGUGUCGGUCACCCUUGACGAAAGCACUUCUGUGACGCGUGAUUUAUCGUCAUGGAAGUGGACACUUCCGUGAUGAUAAUUUUGGUAAUGUCAUGGAACACUUCUACGACAGCACAGGUAUGACUAUCUUGAUUCUGUCAUAAAUUUGUCAUGGAUGUACAUGCAUGACAAAGAACCCGACCUACUGUGACAAACACGUAUCAUCACGGAAGUGUAUUUUUUUGUAGUGUCUCCCUCUUCCUUCUUCUCCUACUCCAACUAGGGAAGGGGGAGACCUACUCCUACUGGGAGUAGGACUCCCCCCCUUGGGGGCGCCAUAGAGGGCCGGCCCUCCCCCUCCUCCACUCCUUUAUAUACGGGGGAGGGGGCACCCCAAAGGACACACAAGUUGACAAUUGUUUUAGCCAUGUGCGGUGCCCCCUCCAUAGAUUUCCACCUCGGUCAUAUCGUCGUAGUGCUUAGGCGAAGCCCUGCGCCGGUAACUUCACCAUCACCGUCACCACGUCGUCGUGCUAACGAAACUAUCCCUCGACCUCAGCUGGAUCUAGAGUUCAUGGGACGUCAUCAAGCUGAACGUGUGCAGAUCACGGAGGUGCCGUACCUUCAGUGGUAGGAUCGGUCGGAUCAUGAAGACGUACGACUACAUCAACCGCGUUGUCAUAACGCUUCCGCUUUCGAUCUACGAGAGUACGUAGACAACACUCUUCCCUCUCAUUGCUAUGCAUCACCUAGAGAUAGAUCUUGCGUGAUCAUAGGAUUUUUUUUGAAAUUACCGUGUUCCCCAAUAGUGGCAUCCGAGCCAGGUCUAUGCGUAGAUGUUAUAUUUACGAGUAGAACACAAAGAAUUGUGGGCGAUAAUAGUCAUACUGCUUACUAGCAUGUCAUACUUUGAUUCGGCGGUAUUGUUGGAUGAACCGGCUCAGACCGACAUUACGCGUACGCUUACGUGAGACUGGUUCUACCGACGUGCUUUGCACAUAGGUGGUUGGUGAGUGUCUGUUUCUCCAACUUUAGUUGAAUCGAGUGUGGCUACGCCUGGUCCUUGUUGAAGGUUAAGACGACACACUUGACGAAAAAUCAUUGUGGUUUUGAUGCGUAGGUAAGAACCGUUCUUGCUAGAAUCCCGUAGCAGCCACGUAAAACUUGCAACAACAAAGUAGAGGACGCCUAACUUGUUUUUGCAGGGCUUGCUGUGAUGUGAUAUGGUCAAGGCAUGAUGUGAUAUAAAUUGGUGUAUGAGAUGAUCAUGUUUUGUAACAAAGUUAUCGGCAACUGGCAGGAAUCAUAUGGUUGUUGCUUUAUUGUAUGCAAUGCAAUCGCCAUGUAAUUGUUUUACUUUAUCACUAAGCGGUAGCGAUAGUCGUAGUAACAAUAGUUGCCGAGACGACAACGGUGCUACGAUGGAGAUCAAGGUGUCGCGUGAUACGUCUCCAAUGUAUCUAUAAUUUUUGAUUGUUCCAUGCUAUUAUAUUACCCAUUUUGGAUGUUUAUGGGCUUUACUAUACACUUUUAUAUCAUUUUUGGGACUAACCUACUAAUCGGAGGCCCAACCCGAAUUGCUGUUUUUUUGCCUAUUUCAGUGUUUCGCAGAAAAGGAAUAUCAAAUGGAGUCCAAACGGAAUGAAACCUUCGGGAGUGAUCUUUUUGGAACAAACGCAAUCCAGGAGACUUGGAGUGGACGUCAAGUAGCAAACGAGGCGGCCACGAGGGUGCCCGGCGCACCCUAGAGGGGUGGGCACGCCCCCAACCCUCGUGGGCCCUUCAUGGCUCAACCGACCUACUUCUUCCUCCUAUAUAUAUCCACAUACCCUGAAACCAUCCGGGAGCACCACGAAAAACUAUUUCCACCGCCGCAACCUUCUGUAUCCGCGAGAUCCCAUCUUGGAGCCUUCGCCGGCGCUCCGCUGGAGGGGAAAUCGACCAUAGAGGGCCUCUCCAUCAUCACCAAGGCCUCUCCAAUGAGUUGCGAGUAGUUUACCACACACCUUCUCCAUAGUUAUUAGCUAGAUGGCUUCUUCUCUCUCUUUGAAUCUCAAUACAAAGUUCUCCUCGAUCUUCUUGGAGAUCUAUCUGAUGUAACUCUUUUUGCGGUGUGUUUGUCGAGAUCCGAUGAAUUGUGUGUUUAUGAUCAAGUUUAUCUAUGAGAAAUAUUUGAAUCUCCUCUGAAUUCUUUUAUGUAUGAUUGGUUAUCUUUGCAAGUCUCUUUGAAUUAUCAGUUUGGUUUACCUACUAGAUUGAUCUUUCUUGCAAUGGGAGAAGUGCUUAGCUUUGGGUUCAACCUUGCGGUGUCCUUUCCUAAUGACAACAGGGGCAGCAAGGCACGUAUUGUAUUGUUGCCAUCGAGGAUAAAAAGAUGGGGUUUAUAUUACAUUGCUUGAGUUUAUCCCUCUACAUCAUGUCAUCUUUCUUAAUGCAUUACUCUAUUCUUAUGAACUUAAUACUCUAGAUGCAGGCAGGAGUCGGUCGAUGUGUGGAGUAAUAGUAGUAGAUGCAGGCAGGAGUCGGUCUACUUGUUGCGGACGUGAUGCAUAUAUACAUGGUCAUGCCUAGAUAUUCUCAUAACUAAGCACUUUUCUAUCAAUUGCUCGACAGUAAUUUGUUCACCCACCGUAAUACUUAUGCUAUCUUGAGAGAAGCCACUAGUGAAACCUAUGGCCCCCGGAUCUAUUCUCUAUCAUAUAAGUUUCGAAUCUACUUUAUUUUGCAAUCUUUACUUUUCAAUCUAUAUCAUAAAAAUACCAAAAAUAUUUAUCUUAUCAUAUUAUCUCUAUCAGAUCUCACUUUUGCAAAUGGCCGUGAAUGGAUUGACAACCCCUUUAUCGCGUUGGUUGCGAGGUUCUUGUUUGUUUGUGUAGGUACGAGGGACUUGCAUGGAGUCUCCUACUGGAUUGAUACCUUGGUUCUCAAAAACUGAGGGAAAUACUUAUGCUACUUUGCUGCAUCACCCUUUCCUCUUCAAGGGAAAAACCAACGCAUGCUCAAGAGGUAGCAAGAAGGAUUUAUGGCGCCAUUGCCGGGGAGAUCUUCGCUCAAGUCAAGAGAUACCAAGUACCCAUCACAAACUCAUCUCCCUCGCAUUACAAUUUUUGUCAUUUGCCUCUCGUUUUCCUCUCCCCACUUCACCCUUACCGGUUUAUUCGCCCUCUCUUUUCCAUUAGCCUCUUUUUCGCUUGCCUCUUGUGUGCUUGUGUGUUGGAUUGCUUGUCACGGUGGCUCAAGAUAAUACUAAAUUGUGUGAUUUUUCUAAUACCAAUAAUAAUGAUUUCCUUAGCACUCUGAUUGCUCCUCUUAAUGAUGUUGAAUCUUGUGAAAUCAAUGCUGCCUUGUUGAAUCUUGUUAUGAAAGAUCAAUUCUCUGGCCUUCCUAGUGAAGAUGCCGCUACUCAUCUAAACAAUUUUGUCUAGUUGUGCGAUAUGCAAAAGAAGAAAGACAUGGAUAAUGAUAUUGUUAAAUUGAAGUUAUUUCCAUUUUUGCUUAGAGAUCAUGCUAAAACUUGGUUUUCUUCUUUGCCUAAAAAUAGUAUUGACUCAUGGAAUAAGUGUAAAGAUGCUUUUCUCUCUAAGUAUUUUCCUCCCGCUAAAAUCAUCUCUCUUAGAAACGAUAUUAUGAAUUUUAAGCAACCUGAGCAUGAGCAUGUUGCACAAUCUUGGGAGAGGAUGAAAUUAAUUAUUCGUAAUUGCCCUACACAUGGUUUGAAUUUAUGGAUGAUUAUACAAAAAAUUUAUGCCGGAUUGAAUUUUGCUUCUAGAAAUCUUUUAGAUUCGACCGCGGGAGGCACUUUUAUGGAAAUCACUUUAGGAGAAUCUACUAAAAUCCUAGAUAAUAUUAUGGUUAAUUAUUCUCAAUGGCAUACCGAAAGAUCUACUAGUAAAAAGUGCAUGCGAUAGAAGAGAUUAAUGUUUUGGGUGGAAAGAUGGAUGAACUUAUGAAGUUUUUUGCUACUAAGAGUGCUCCCAUUGAUCCUAAUGAUAUGCCUUUGUCUACUUUGAUUGAGAAUACUAAUGAAUCUAUGGAUGUGAAUUUUGUUGGUAGGAAUAAAUUUGGUAACAAUGCUUAUAGAGGAAGCUUUAAUCCUAGGCCAUUUCCUAGUAAUUCCUCUAAUAAUUAUGGUAAUUCCUACAACAAUUCUUAUGGAAAUUUUAAUAAGAUGCCCUCUAAUUUUGAGAAUAGUGUUAAAGAAUUUAUGAUCUCUCAAAAGAAUUUUAAUGCUUUGCUUGAAGAAAAAUUGCUUAAAGUUGAUGAAUUGGCUAGGAACAUGGAUAGAAUUUUUCUUGAUGUUGAUUCUUUGAAACUUAGAUCUAUUCCACUUAAGCAUGAUAUCAAUGAGUCUCUCAAAGCCAUGAGAAUUUCCAUUGAUGAGUGCAAAGAAAGAACCGCUAGAAUGCGUGCUAAGAAAGAUUGCUUUGUAAGAGUGUGUUCUUCUAAUUUUCAUGAUAAUAACGAUGAAGAUCUAAAAGUUAUUGAUGUGUCUCCUAUUAAAUCCUUGUUUUGCAAUAUGAACCUUAAUAAUGAUGGGAUUGGAGAUGAGUCAACUUUAGUUAAAAAGCGUCCCAAUGAUUUGGAGUCUUUUGAUCUUGAUGCUAAAAUUGGUAAAAGUGGGAUUGGAGAGAUUAAAACUUUACAUAGCAAUGAACCUACUACUUUGGAUUUCAAGGAAUUUAAUUAUUAUAAUUGUUCUUUAAUAGAUUGUAUUUCCUUGUUGCAAUCCGUGUUGAAUUCUCCUCAUGCUUAUAGUCAAAAUAAAGCUUUUACUAAACAUAUCGUUGAUGCUUUAAUGAAAUCUUAUGAGGGAAAACUUGAAUUAGAGGUUUCUAUCCCUAGAAUACUUUAUGAUGAGUGGGAACCUACUACUAAAAUUAAAAUAAAAUAUCAUGAAUGCUAUGCUUUGUGUGAUUUGGGUGCUAGUGUUUCUACGAUUCCAAAAAUUUAUGUGAUGUGCUAGGUUUCCGUAAAUUUGAUGAUUGCUCAUUCAACUUGCACCUUGCGGAUUCCACUAUUAAGAAACCUAUGGGAAGGAUUAAUUAUGUUCUUAUUGUUGCAAAUAGGAAUUAUGUGCCCGUGGAUUUUAUCGUUCUUGAUAUAGAUUGCAAUCUUUCUUGUCCUAUUAUUCUUGGUAGACCUUUCCUUAGAAUGAUUGGUGCAAUUAUUGAUAUGAAGGAAGGAGAUAUUAGAUUCCAAUUUCCAUUAAGGAAAGGCAUGGAACACUUUCCUAGAAAGAAAAUUAAAUUACCUUAUGAAUCUAUUGUGAGAGCCACUUAUGAAUUGAAUGCCAAAAUGGCAACACUUAGAUCUAUCUUUGCUUUUAUGCCUAGCUAAGGGCGUUAAACGAUAGCGCUUGUUGGGAGGCAACCCAAUUUUAUUUUUGUUCCUUGCUUUUUGCUCCUGUUUAGUAAUAAAUAAUUCAUAUAACCUCUGGUUAGAUGUGGUUUUAUGUUUUAAUUAGUGUUUGUGCCAAGUAAAACCUAUAGGAUCAUCUUGGGUGAAAGUUAAUUUGAUUCUGCUGAAAAACAGAAAGUUUUGCGCUCACGAGAAAAAAUCUAAUAAAUCACGGAAACACGAUUUUGAGUUGAUUAUUUUUUCAAUAGAUCAAUAUACAAAUUACCUAGGACUUCCUAUUUUGGUAGGAUUUUUAGGGUUCCAGAAGUAUUCGAAAGUUACAGAUUGCUAUAGACUGUUCUGUUUUUGACAUAUUCUGUUUUUCGUGUGUUGUUUGCUUAUUUUGAUGCAUCUAUGGUUAGUAUCAGGAGGUAUGAAGCAUAGAGAAGUUGGAAUACAGUAGGUUUAACACCAAUAUAAAUAAAUAAUGAGUUCAUUACAGUACCUUAAGUGGUGGUUUUUCUUUCUUGCACUAACGGAGCUCAUGAGAUCUCAUGUUGAGUUUUGUGUUGUGAAGUUUUCAAGUUUUGGGUAAAGAUUUGAUGGACUAUGGAAUAAGAAGUGGCAAGAACCUAAUCUUGGGGAUGCCCAUGGCACCCCAAGAUAAUUCAAGUACAACAAAAAGCCUAACCUUGGGGAUGCCCCGAAGGCAUCCCCUCUUUCGUCUUCGUCUAUCGAUAACUUUACUUGGAGCUAUAUUUUUAUUUACCGCAUGAUAUGUGUUCUGCUGGGAGCGUAUUGUAUGAUAUGAGUCUUUGCCUUUUAGUUUACGACAAUCAUACUUGCUGUACACACCUUUUGGGAGAGACACACAUGAUUCGGAAUUUAUUAGAAUACUCUAUGUGCUUCACUUAUAUCUUUUGAGCUAGACAGUUUUGCUCUAGUGCUUCACUUAUACCUUUUUAGAGCACGGCGGUGGUUUUAUUUUGUAGAAACUAUUGAUCUCUCAUGAUUCACUUGUAUUAUUUUGAGAGUCUUUUAAGAACAGCAUGGUAUUUGCUAUGGCUAAAAAUUGGUCCUAAUGUGACGAGCAUCCAAGUUGGGAAUAAUAAAAACUAUCAUAGGAAGUGAAUUGGAUGCUAUGAUCAAUUUAAUGCUUGAUAAUUGUUUUGAGAUAUAAAGGUGGUAAUAUUAGAGUCAUGCUGGUUGGGUAAUUAUGAAAUUGAGGAAUACUUGUGUUGAAGUUGGCAAAUCCCGUAGCAUGCAUGUAUGGUAAAAGUUGUGUAACAAAUUUAUUGCAUGGGGUGCUCUUUUGAUUGCCUUCCUUAUGUGUGGAGGUCGGGGGUGCGCGGUGGUUAACUCCUACCAACCUCCCCCCCUAGGAUCAUGCGUAGUAGUACUUUGCUUCGAGGGCUAAGAAAACUUUUGCAAUAAGUAUAUGAGUUCUUUAUGACUAAUGUGAGUCCAUGGAUUAUACGCACUCUUACCCUUCCAUCAUUGCUAGCCUCUUCAAUACCGUGCAUUGCCCUUUCUCACCUUGAGAUUUGGUGCAAACUUCACUGGUGCAUCCAAACCCUGUGAUAUGAUACGCUCUAUCACACAUAAACCUCUUUAUAUCUUCCUCAAAACAGCCACCAUACCUACCUAUUAUGGCAUUUCCAUAGCCAUUCCGAGAUAUAUUGCCAUGCAACUUUCCACCGUUCCAUUUAUCAUGACACGUAUCAUCAUUGUCAUAUUGCCUUGCAUGAUCAUGUAGUUGACAUCGUAUUUGUGGCAAAACCACCGUGCAUAAUUUUUCAUACAUGUCACUCUUGAGUCAUUGCCCAUCCCGGUACACCGCCGAAGGCAUUCAUAUAGAGUCAUAUCUUGUUCUAGUUUCGAGUUGUAAUUCAUGUGUUGUAAAUAAAUAGAAGUGUGAUGAUCAUCAUUAUUAGAGCAUUGUCCCUUACAAAAAAGAAAAAAAAGAAGGGCCAAAAAAGGAAAAAAAAGGGGGACAAUGUUACUAUCCUUUUCCACACUGGUGCUUCAAAGUAGCACCAUGUUCUUCAUAUAGAGAGUCUCUUAUGUUGUCACUUUCAUAUACUAGUGGGAAUUUUUCAUUAUAGAACUUUUGGCUUGUAUAUUCCAACGAUGGGCUUCCUCAAAAUGCCCUAGGUCUUCAUGAGCAAGCAAGUUGGAUGCACACCCACUUAGUUUCUUUUGUUGAGCUUUCAUACAUUUAUAGCUCUAGUGCAUCUGUUGCAUGGCAAUCUCUACUCCUCAUGUUGACAUCAAUUGAUGGACAUCUCCAUAGCCCAUUGAUUAGCCUCGUCAAUGUGAGACUUUCUCUUUUUUGUCUUCUCCACACAACCUCCAUCAUCAUAUUCCAUUCCACCCAUAGUGCUAUAUCCAUGGCUCACGCUCAUGUAUUGCGUGAGAGUUGAAAAAGGCUGAAGCGCGUUAAAAAGUAUGAACCAAUUGCUUGGCUGAAAUCGGGGUUGUUCUUGAUGGGAGUAUUUUGUGUGAUGAAAAUGAAACAUAGCCUAACGAUAUGAUUUUGUAGGGAUGAACUUUCUUUAGCCAUGUUAUUUCGAGAAGACAUGAUUGCUUAGUUAGUAUGCUUGAAGUAUUACUAUUUCUUAUGUCAAUACGAACUGUUAUUUUGAAUCAUUUGGAUCUGAACAUUCAUGCCACAAUUAAGAAAAUUACAUUAAGAAAUGUGCUAGGUAGCAUUCCACAUCAAAAAUUCUGUUUUGAUCAUUUACCUACUCAAGGAGGAGUAGGAAUUAAGCUUGGGGAUGCUUGAUACGUCUCCAACGUAUCUAUAAUUUUUGAUUGUUCCAUGCUAUUAUAUUACCUAUUUUGGAUGUUUAUGAUACACUUUUAUAUCAUUUUUGGGACUAACCUACUAACCGGAGGCCCAGCCCGAAUUGCUGUUUUUUUGCCUAUUUCAGUGUUUCGUAGAAAAGGAAUAUCAAUCGGAGUCCAAACAGAAUGAAACUUUCGGGAGUGAUCUUUUUGGAACAAACACAAUCCAGGAGACUUGGAGUGGACGUCAAGCAGCAAACGAGGCAGACACGAGGGUGCCCGGUGCGCCUUAGGGGGGUGGGCGUGCCCCCACCCUCGUGGGCCCCUCGUGGCUCAGCCGACCUACUUCUUCCUCCUAUAUAUAUCCACGUACCCUGAAACCAUCCGGGAGCACCACGAAAAACUAUUUCCACCACCACAACCUUCUAUAUCCGCGAGAUCCCAUCUUGGAGCUUUCGACGGUGUUCCGUCGGAGGGGGAAUCAACCACAGAGGGCCUCUCCAUCAUCACCAAGGCCUCUCCGAUGAGUUGUGAGUAGUUUACCAUAGACCUUCGGGUCCAUAGUUAUUAGCUAGAUGGCUUCUUCUCUCUAUUUGAAUCUCAAUACAAAUUUCUCCUCGACCUUCUUAGAGAUCUAUUCGAUGUAACUCUUUUUGCGGUGUAUUUGUCGAGAUCCGAUAAAUUGUGGGUUUACUAUCAAGUUUAUCUAUGAGAAAUAUUUGAAUCUCCUCUGAAUUCUUUUAUGCAUGAUUGGUUAUCUUUGCAAGUCUCUUCGAAUUAUCAGUUUGGUUUACCUACUAGAUUGAUCUUUCUUGCAACGGGAGAAGUGCUUAGCUUUGGGUUCAAUCUUGCGGUGUCUGAGGGAGUCCCGGAUUAGGGGGUGUCUGGAUUGUCGGACUAUGACCUUUGGCUAGACUCCUGGACUAUGAAGAUACAAGAUUGAAGACUUCGUCCCGUGUCCGGAUGGGACUUUCCUUGGCGUGGAAGGCAAGCUUGGCGAUACGGAUAUGUAGAUAUCCUCCCAUUGUAACCGACUCUGUGUAACCCUAGCCCUCUCCGGUGUCUAUAUAAACCGGAGGGUUUUAGUCCGUGGGACGAACAACAAUCAUACCAUAGGCUAGCUUCUAGGGUUUAGCCUCUCUGAUCUCGUAGUAGAUCUACUCUUGUACUACCCAUAUCAUCAAUAUUAAUCAAGCAGGAGUAGGGUUUUACCUCCACCGAGCGGGCCCGAACCUGGGUAAAAACAUCAUGUCCCUUGUCUCCUGUUACCAUCCGCCUAGACGCAUAGUUCGGGACCCCCUACCCGAGAUCCGCCGGUUUUGACAUCGACAUUGGUGCUUUCAUUGAGAGUUCUGUUGUGCCGUCUCCAUCAGGAAGGAUGCCUCAUCCCGUCUUUAAAGACGGCGCUGUCGCUAAAGGAGCUUUGGCUAUCGGCCAAACUCUCCGGCUAGGCGGUUUUCUUAUGACCGCCUGUUCGGCCGCCGCGCCGACAUGACUUCUCGGGUCAUCGAAAGCAAUCUCCACGUCAACUCGGAACUCGCCGAGCAGUUAGAUCCGAUGGAGCUCUUUUCCUUAAACGAGCUCUUGGAUCGCAUCGCCGCCCUGGGAGUCGCUACAGACUACGAUCAGAUUGGGCUUAAACCCGAUCUAAGAGAGAUUAACUCUCCCCAGGUCACCCACCAUGUCGCAGUGGUGGAGGAACAACGCGUCAAGUCUUCAUCUAUCUUAAGGACUAGUUAUGUCCGGAUUCCCGACCCCUCCAAGCCGGAUACCCGCGGAGGGGAGGACGUCACUCAAGCCCUGAACCUAAAGUCAGGCAGCGGGCUAGAUUCAUUGGACAACAUCCAAGAACCCAAGCUUCCGAGUUCGGAAACUCCUUGGCCCCUGAGUCUCAGAUUGGGCGAGGUUCCGGAUUUAAUUCCACCCGCCCACCCAAAUAUAAGGGAUCUAUCCCAAAUUCGGCAAGCGCCCGCAGAAAUAGUACACCAUUACUGGGCCAGAUUCCUCCUGGUUAUGAACAUGAUAAAGGACUUCCGCGAGGAGGAUGCAAUUUCAUUCUUCUGCAAUAAUUGCACGGACAACGGAAUCCUCAACGCCGUAAGUCGCCGUGAAAUUACACGCUUCGCCGACUUGGCAUCCAUAGUAUGAAAGUACUGUGCGAUGGAAAGCGCCUGGAAAACCGAAAUAAAAUUUUGGGACAAUCCGGCCCUGAAUACAACCCCAGUCCGAAAUAAAAGGGUGCAUUAUCACCAGGCACCUGGGUUAAACACCAAAAAGCAAAAACCCUCUAUAGGGCAUGGAACCGUACUGGAGGGAUGGCUCAAUGGACCUUGUAAAAUUCAUAGUACAUAGGGCACCACACAAACUCAUAGCCUUAGAGCAUGUUGGAUACUCCGGCAGGUGGCCAGGAGUGGCGAGGAGCUUCUAACUCCAAAAUUCACAGAGCACCGGCCCAGGGAUACCAGUACAGUAUUAACAGUCUUUGAGACUUUCGCAUCAAAUAAUAUGCGGAAACGAACACUCCGCAACCUUGCCGAAGUCUACCAAGUAGCAAUAAUAAACCCAUGGAGUGACACAGAUAUUACCUUUAAUGCCAGUGAUGAACCUAAAUUCCGAACAGCCCGAGCACCACGCAUUGGUCCUCAGUCCAAUAGUGGACGGCUUUCGCCUUACCAAGGUACUCAUGGACGGUGGCAGCGGAUUGAACCUCAUUUAUGAGGAAACCCUUCAAAAAAUGGAAAUAGACUGGAGCCGCAUUGAGCGAAGCAACACAACCUUUAGAGGAAUAAUCCCCGGUCGGGAAGCGUGCUGUACAGGAAAAAAUCACACUGGAUGUGGUGUUCGGCAUGCCGGAUAAUUACCGGUCCGAGGAGGUCACGUUUCAAGUGGCCCCGUUCAGCAGCGGGUACCACGCUCUAUUAGGGCGAGAGGUUCACAAUUUUUCAAGCUAUACCCCAUUACGGGUACAUGAAACUCAAAAUGCCCGGACCCAACGGAAUCAUCACUCUUGCUAGCGACCCGGACAUAGCACUCCACGUCAAAAAUAAGACAGCCGCACUGGCCCUUGAGGCACUAUCCGAAGCCCUGGCGGCCGAGGAACUGACUGCGCUGCGCUCCAUGGUGAACAGGGAUGAUGUGAUACUCGAUAAGAGAUCCAAGUCCACCUUCUUUAAACCGGCGGACGAAAUAGUAAAAUUCCAAGUCCAUCCAAUGGACCCUACAAAAACGGCCUCCAUCGGGGCACACUUAAACCCUGAUGUAGACACCGCACUACGAGAAUUCCUACGCGAAAAUUGGGACAUUUUUGCAGGCUCUUCGGCGUUUCUCCGAACCUAAGAGACAAGCCAUGGGAGAGGAGCUAGACAAACUACUGGAGGCCAGAUUCAUCAGAGAUAUAAAACAUCCGGACUAGCUAGCAAACCUGGUGAUGGUACCAAAGAAGGACAAAUCCUGGCGCCUCUGCGUCGAUUUCAAGGACCUCAACAAGACUUGCCCAAAGGAUCCCUUCACCCUCCCCCGCAUCGAUCAAAUUAUCAACGCUACCGCAGGACAGAUUCAUUGUUUCCUCGACGCAUACUCCGGCUACCAUCAAAUUAAGAUGGCAGAGCCAGACCAAGCCGCAACGGCAUUCAUCACCCCAUACGGCCCAUUCUACUUCAACAAAAUGCCCUUCGGGCUCAAAAACACCGGCGCAACAUAUCAGCGCAUGAUUCAGACAUGUCUGGCAAACCAGAUCGGCAAAAUAGUAGAAGCGUACAUAGACGACGUGGUCAUCAAAACCAAGCAUGUCGAAACUCUAGUAGAUGACUUGAGGCUCACAUUCGAUAACCUCCGAACAUAUGACAUCAAGCUCAACCCGGAAAAAUACGUUUUCGGCGUACCAGCCAGAAAGCUCUUGGGCUUCAUUGUAUCCGGUAGAGGAAUUGAAGCAAACCCAGCCAAGAUCCGAGCUCUGUCACAAUUGGAUAUUCCAAAGGACCUCAAACAAAUACAAAAAUUGACUGGAUGCGUGGCGGCUCUAAGCCGCUUUAUCUCCCGCUUGGGAGAAAAGGCAUUACCCCUUUAUUGCCUCCUCUGGUGCACCGAACACGACGGAUGCCGCCACGGUCGGACUCGAAGAAAUAAAAGCCACAUUGGAAACAAACCCGGUCCUGGCCGCGCCCAACAUCGGCGAUCCAAUGCUAUUAUACAUUGCGGCAACUUAUCAAGUUGUAAGCGCAGUACUCGUCGUCGAACGAGAAACGGACGGACACAAAUUCCCCCUUCAAAAACCAGUUUACUACGUGUCCACUGUCCUCACUCCAUGCAAUUCACGGUACCCACAUUAUAAGAAGAUAGCGUACGCGGUGUUUAUGGCAUCCUGGAAGCUGCGACUACUUUCAAGAGUGUUUGAUAACAGUAGCCUCCGAAGUACCUCUUAACGAUAUUAUAAACAACCGUGAAGCGACGAGCCGGAUUGCCAAAUGGGCCAUUGAGCUCCUCCCGUUCGACAUAACCUAUAAGCCACGGCGAGCUAUCAAGUCGCAAGGUUUGGCCGACUUCAUCGCCGAAUGGACUGAAGCCGAACUCCCUAAAGAGUACGACACAUAUUCCAACUAGAUCAUGCACUUCGACGGCUCCAAAAUCUUAGCUGGUUUGGGGGCUGGCGUCGUUCUGACGUCCCCAAUAGGAGAUACAGUUCAAUAUGUACUCCAGAUAAUGUAUAUGGACUCCAACAACGCAGCCGAAUACGAGGCCCUUCUACAUGGUCUCCGGAUGGCAGUCUCCAUGGGCAUCCAACGCCUAGAGGUGCGUGGGGAUUUGAACCUCCGAAAAUGGUAGCUUAUCGCAAACAUUUUCUUGGAAAGGCUAUUCAAGCCAUCCGUACUAUGGGAAGGGGAAUCCGGAAAUAACAGCCCAGACCCAACCGCACCGCCCGACACCGAACAUUCUGACACAACGGGAGGCUAUGCCAACGAAGUAACAUCCUUAGCCCAUGUAAUAAUGGCAGUCAUUGCCCCGUGGAUAGAACCAUUCCUAGCGUACCUAACUAGGCAGGAACUUCCCGAGGACCAAAACGAGGCACGCUGCAUAGUGCGACGAUCUAAAGCCUAUAAAGUCCAUGAAGGAAAGCUUUAUAAGAAAAGCACUACCGGAGUCCUUCAAAGGUGUAUCUCCGAAGAGGAAGGGCGGAAUCUUCUGGCUGAAAUUCAUGCUGGGCUCGGCGGGCACCACGCCGUAGCCCGGGCCCUUGUAAGCAAGGCCUUUCGUACAAGAUUUUAUUAGCCGACGGCCCGGGCAGAUGCUCAGGACUUAGUCCAACGAUGCGUCGGUUGCCAACUCUUUGCUAACCAAAGCCAUAUGCCACCCACCGCCCUCGAAACUAUACCCAUCACCUGGCCCUUUGUGGUCUGGGGGCUUGACAUGGUUGGACCCCUUAAAGGAGGAACCCACAAACAAAAAUACCUACUGGUCAUGGUGGACAAAUUCACCAAAUGGAUAGAGGCCAAGCCUGUUAAGAUGGCCAAAUCCGGACCAGUGAUAGACUUCAUAUCAGGGGUCGUACACUGUUACGGUGUCCCCAACAGCAUCAUCACUGAUAAUGGCACGAACUUUACGACCGACGAGGUCAAACUCUGGUGCAAAAACAUGGGCAUCAAGCUCGACUACGCUUCAGUCUAUCACCCACAAACUAACGGUCAAGUCGAGCAAGCAAAUGGUCUAAUAAUGAGUGGCAUCAAACCUAGAUUAGUGCGGUCCCUCAAGGAAUCUAACACGCACUGGGUAGAGGAGCUCGACUCCGUACUCUGGGGGCUGUGGACCACUCUGAAUCGCACAACCGGAUUCACACCAUUCUUUAUGGUAUACGAUACAGAGGCAGUUCUGCCCUGCGACAUAAUUCAUGACUCACCUCACGUGCGCAUGUACGAAGAAAGAGAAGCCGAACUCGAUCGGCAGGACAACUUGGACGCCUUGGAGGAGGAGCGUGACAUGGCAAAAGCCUGUUCAGCAUUCUAUCAACAGCAGGCUCGAAGAUAUCAAAGCAGAGAAGUACGGGCCAAAACUUAUAAUGUUGGUGAGUUAGUUAUAUGCCUGCUGGACAAGAAAAAGGACAAACUCAAGCCCAAAUGGGAAGGUCCCUUCAUUAUUGACCAAGUCCUCACUUGUGGAGCGUACUGUCUGCGAGAUGCAUCGGAUAACCGACUCGAGCCGAGCCCAUGGAACGCAGCCCGUCUCCGAAGAUUCUACGCCUAGCCCCGGACUCUGUGUUCGUCUCCUUCCUCUGUCCAUUUAUUAUACAUUAGUUGUCUUAUAUUUCUCUACUUCUCCCUCCUUUUCUCUUACAGCCUUUAAGGGCUUGUUCGUGCCUUGUUCGCACACAAUUGACGCGCUAUCCGCGCUCAUCAUACCUGGGGGCUUCUUUAACAAAAGCUUGUUUAUACAGGGCCUCAUGCCCAACACAUGUGUCACACUUCCGCAUGUACCUUUUUUCUCACCAUUAUAUGCAUCCAUAUGACUUAAGUUUUGGCCAAGCUGGGUUGCCUGGCUCAUGUGCUUACCCCUACGUUCCCGAUUGUUCGGCUAGGCGGUAAAGGGAGCACCUCUGCGAUUGUUACUGCCGGGUCAGCCGGAUGUGUACCUCAGACUGGGUGAAGUCGAAAGCUAGUGUUCUUAAGGGAAUAUUCGGUCGGUGAACUAAAGAUGAUUUCCAACUCGUUUAUCUAUCCGCCCCCAGAUGCUUUUCUUCUCUUUUCGCAGUCCGGACAUGCACUUUAGGGCAUGCCUCCCCAGGGAAAGGAACCCCUAACGGAACUAUUCUCCCUGGAAGAUGUUUCUUACUAACCAUGUAAUAUAACAUAACUAGUUGGGCACUUGUCUGUUCAAGCACUAAUGACCCCUACGCCUGGUCUCCACGCAUGCCCUAGUUCUUACAUAACCGAGAGGGUAUUCGGACACACUCCGGACUAUCGGGUCCCGAGGUUGAAGCGAGAAGGUCCGCCAUGACAAACGAUCUACAAUCCGGCUAGAAGGCAUUUUAUAUGUCAUUUUAAAUUACAUAGUCAAUUUGACUAGGUAUAUUCCUCUUCAAUACCAUCCAACAGGUUGUCUAGUUUACAGUCCUGUUGGGAAUAUUUGGCGGCCAACUCUACCUGGCUGUACACUAAACUCACAGGGAUCUCCUUCCCAUCGGGCCCCACAGGUCCGACCUCGGCCAUGUGGUUUGGGUCGGACUUCGUGUACCGCGUCUUCACCAUGGCCCAGGCUUCCCUGGCGCCUUGACGGCAGGCCGAUAUCUUCCAUAAUCGGAAGCGCCGCCACGCUCCCUUCAGCUUCUUUGCAAGCUCUCCAAGGCCUUCGGGCAUGGAGACGGAUGGCCACAAGGCCUGGAUGACACCUUGCAUUACCUGCCGAACUCGUUCGUGCAGUUGUAAGAGCUCAGGAAGAAGGUCACCCAUAGAACCGGGCAUUUCCUCGGCACGCCGACCUGUCAGCAUACCUACAGACAUAACUCUGUCAAUCGACUUCCUCGCCGAACUCUUUUUCGAAGUUCGUUCAAGCACUUACUAAAAAUGUCACGUCGAAGCCGCCGAUUCUCCUUCACGGAGUCCGACAGCUGAGCACGAACAUCCUUUAGUUCCUCGCCCAGCUGGGUGUUGGCAUCUUGGAGCUUAUUCUUCUCUUGCCUCACCCUUGUAAGCUAUCUCGCCGGCCUUUAACCGGCGCAAGAGUUGUUGCUUGUCCGGAUCCACUCCGGCGCCAUCUGCAAUGUUAUCGUCAAAUUUGCACACAUGCCGCCCUUCACAACAUACUUAUCUUUCGAAGCAUAUAUUACCAGAGGGGGUCUCCUUGGUCUCCCCCGCUGCGGCUAGUGUGGCCUCAAGUUGGGCUUUGCACUUUUCCAGCUCCUGGGACAGUUGGGUAUUCUUUUCUGUAAGAUCCUGCAUAACAAAUGAUCCUUAAAUCAGUUAUUCUAACUGUUUCAAGUCUUGGGGGCUACUGACAUAUAUAACCAUCAAUUUUUCUCACCCGUAUGUCUUUUACAUACUACUCUGUGGCUCCGGCUAGACCAUUUUGAGCGGCACGGAGGUAUGCAUAUCCCGUAUUAAAGGCAUCCAAUGCCUCCUGGGAUAAACAAGCGUCACGAAGAACUGUCCGGCGACGCCUGUGGUUCAUGGCACUCUCCACCUCGGAAUUGGUGGCAGACAGCCCGUCCGCAUCCUCUGUCGGAGGAGCGCCCGAUGCGCGCCUCGUGUUCGCCUCCGCUUCCGGACCCGGCCUUGGAGCCUGGCCGGUGGAGGCGCGAUUGGCAACCUCUCCGGAUAUAGUCCGGCGAGUGCUCUUUUUCCUGAAGAGAGCACGAGCGUUAGUAUACCUUGAGGGAAUAAAACCUGGGAAUAAAAUCGCGCGCCAUACCACUGCACCGGCGUCUCAAUCCGGACCGCACUUCUUUUCAGCCUGCCAGGCCUUGAUGCCCCUUGUUGGCUAGCCACCGCAGGCUCGGCCCUCCGCCUCAAGGACUUCCCCUGCAAAAACACCAUUGGUAUACGGUGGUCAAAAAUAAGCACGGGUGCAUCAUCUUAAAAGUACGGGGACUUCAGUCUCGGUUACUUGUGAGGCUAGAAGUAGUCCGGGAUAAUCGGUCGUAAUGGCCACUAAGGUGUUGUCCUUGCUCAAUUGAUGAAACACCCCAUCGAUCAGCUCCACAGAUAAGUCCGGGUCCUCUUGGGAGUCUGGAUUGAAGGACCGUUCCGGGUCCUCGGGUUGUGUAGGAGGGCUGUUUAUCUCCUUUACAGCCUAGCGUAGCUCCUGCAUUGAAAUUGCUAGGCUGAAUACUUAACUAUGGGAAUAUGAAACAGAUGGGCGAGUGAAAGUGCCUGCUUACCCAGCUUGGAGGAUUUUACAUAGAAAAUCCGCCCGUGGGUUGGCACGGAGGAAUUCCUCCUCUUCUCCCUUGUACAAAGUGGACAAGAUCUUUAUUAGAGCGGCAGCCGAUUCCGGCCCCUUACGGCCGCACCGGGUGUCGUCGUCCUCCCCGUUGAAAUCCCACAUGGGGUGGCCUCUAUACUGAAGCGGCUGCACCCCCCGCAUAGUGCAUGUGGCCAUGACCUCGAUCAUGGUCAGUCCGGAAUGAGCUAACAACCUUAUCCAGCUCAUCAGGUAAAGGACGUCCUUGUCAUUUUCCUUCUGAGGGCUCCGUGGACGCCAGCUUAGGCGCUUCUUCAAAGGAGCAUUAUUAAACUCAGGGAGGCCGAUCCGAAUAGGGUCCGGCAGGGGGACAUCUUCUAUAUAAAAUCAUUCUGAGGGACAGUCUUCGGACGCCUUCUUUGGGGUUCCGGAUAGAUAUCCGGUCCAGGCGAUGCGCCAUAGUUUGGCUCCGCCCACUUGAUAUAUCGACCCCUCCUGAGAAUGGGGCACAAGGCAGAACAACUUCUUCCACAGCGCGAAAUGGGCCUCGACGCCCAGAAACAGCUCGCAAAGGGCUAUGAAGCCCGCAAUAUGCAAUAUGGAGGCAGGCGUAAGGUUGUGCAACUGGAGGCCGUAGAACUCCAGGAGCCCCCGGAGAAACAGAUGAAUUGGAAAUCCGAGCCCUCUUAUCAAAUAAGAGACAAGGCAUACCCGCUCUCCUUUGGAGGGAUUGGGGACGCUCUCCGCUUGCUCUCCACCAUUAUAGGUGGCAAGCCCGGCUCGAACCGGGACCAUGUAGGCUGGGGGGAGAAACCCCUUGGUUUGGAGCACCACUAGCUCAUUGUGCGGGACGGAGCAUCUCUCCCAAUCUCCAGGCUGAGGGAUGUGGGGGCGAGAGGAGGAGCUGCAUCGACUGGCCAUGAUGGAAUGGAUCUCUGUCGAAUGCACUCCGAUGAAUGCUCGCGGAGGGAAGAUGGUGUGAUUCUGAUCUAAAUCCCCGUCUCUUUUAUAGGCGGCUCAUUUGCACAGCUAGGGGGGUAAAUGAAAAAACACCCUAGCUUUUCGCAUUCUCUUCACACGUGGAAGAUGGCCAUUAUUGGGCGCAGAAGCCAAGGAGCGCAACAUUCAUCAUAAGCUGGACACUAUUCAACAGGUAUAUGGAAUUUGGAGAAGAACCCGCCUUGCAAUGCCGAAGACAAAUCUGCGCGCCGGACUCAUCGUCAUUGAAGCCCUGUUCGGGGGCUACUGAGGGAGUCCCGGAUUAGGGGGUGUCCGGAUUGCCGGACUAUGACCUUUGGCCGGACUCCUGGACUAUGAAGAUACAAGAUUGAAGACUUCGUCCCGUGUCCGGAUGGGACUUUCCUUGGCGUGGAAGGCAAGCUUGGCGAUAUGGAUAUGUAGAUCUCCUCCCAUUGUAACCGACUCUAUGUAACCCUAACCCUCUCCGGUGUCUAUAUAAACCGGAGGGUUUUAGUCCGUGGGAUGAACAACAAUCAUACCAUAGGCUAGCUUCUAGGGUUUAGCCUCUCCGAUCUCGUGGUAGAUCUACUCUUGUACUACCCAUAUCAUCAAUAUUAAUCAAGCAGGAGUAGGGUUUUACCUCCACCGAGAGUGCCCAAACCUGGGUAAAAACAUCGUGUCCCUUGUCUCCUGUUACCAUCCACCUAGACGCACAGUUCGGGACCCCCUACCCGAGAUCCGCCGGUUUUGACACCGACAGUGUCCUUUCCCAGUGACAGCAGGGGCAGCAAGGCACGUAUUGUAUUGUUGCCAUCGAGGAUAAAAAGAUGGGGUUUAUAUCAUAUUGCUUGAGUUUAUCCCUCUACAUCAUGUCAUCUUGCUUAAUGUGUUACUCUGUUCUUAUGAACUUAAUACUCUAGAUGCAGGCAGGAGUCGGUCGAUGUGUGGAGUAACAGUAGUAGAUGCAACAGGAGUCGAUCUACUUGUUGCGGAUGUGAUGGAUGCCUAUAUACAUGAUAAUGCCUAGAUAUUCUAAUAACUAUGCACUUUUCUAUCAAUUGCUCAACAGUAAUUUGUUCAUGCACCAUAAUACUUAUGCUAUCUUGAGAGAAGCCACUAGUGAAACCUAUGGCCCCCGGGUCUAUUCUCUAUCAUAUAAGUUUCCAAUCGACUUUAUUUUGCAAUCUUUAAUUUUCAAUCUAUAUCAUAAAAAUACCAAAAAUAUUUAUCUUAUCAUAUUAUCUCUAUCAGAUCUCACUUUCGCAAGUGGCCGUGAAUGGAUUGACAACCCCUUUAUCGCGUUGGUGGCGAGGUUCUUGUUUGUUUUUAUAGGUAUGAGGGACUUGCGUGGAGUCUCCUACUGGAUUGAUACCUUGGUUCUCAAAACCUGAGGGAAAUACUUACCCUACUUUGCUGCAUCACCCUUUCCUCUUCAAGGGAAAAACCAACACAUGCUCAAGAGGUAGCAUCGCGCCGGUGAUGAUGGAGAUCAUGACGAUGCUUUGGUGAUGGAGAUCAUGAGCGCAAGAUGAUGAUGGCCAUAUCAUGUCACAUAUUUUGAUUGCAUGUGAUGUUUAUCCUUUAUGCAUCUUAUUUUUCUUAGAACGUCAGUAGCAUUAUAAGAUGAUCCCUUACUAAAAAUUUCAAGGUACAAGUGUUCUCCCCGAGUAUGCACCAUUGCUAUAGUUCGUUGUGCGGAGACACCAUGUGAUGAUCUAGUGUGAUAAGCUCUACGUUCACAUACAACGGGUGCAAGCCAGUUUUGCACACACAGAAUACUCAGGUUAAACUUGAUGAGCCUAGUAUAUGCAGAUAUGGCCUCGGAACAUUAAGACCGAAAGGUCGAGCAUGAAUCAUAUAGUAGAUAUGAUCAACAUAGUGAUGUUCACCAUUGAAAACUACUCCAUCUCACAUGAUGAUUGGACAUGGUUUAGUUGAUUUGGAUCACGUGAUCACUUGGAUAAUUAGAGGGAUGUCUAUCUAAGUGGGAGUUCUUAAGUAAUAUGAUUAAUUGAACUUUAAUUUAUCAUGAACUUAGUACCUGAUAGUAUUUUGCAUGUCUAUGUUGUAGUUGAUCAAUGGCUCGUGCUACUGUUCCAUUGAAUUUUAAUGCGUUCCUAGAGAAAGCUAAGUUGAAAGAUGAUGGCAGCAACUACACAGACUGGGUCCAUAACUUGAGGAUUAUCCUCAUUGCUGCACAAAAGAAUUACGUCCUGGAAGCACCGUUAGGUGUACCACCCGCGCCCGCAACUGCAGACAUUGUGAAUGCCUGGCAGGCGCGUGUUGAUGACUACUUGAUAGUUCAGUGUGCCAUGCUUUACGGCUUAGAAUCGGGACUUUAACGACGUUUUGAACGUCAUGGAGCAUAUGAGAAAUUCCAGGAGUUGAAGUUAAUAUUCCAAGCAAAUGCUCGAAUUGAGAGAUUUGAAGUCCCCAAUAAGUUCUACAGCUGUAAAAUGGAGGAGAAUAGUUCCGUCAAUGAACACAUACUCAGAAUGUCUGGGUACCACAACCACUUGACUCAACUGGGAAUUAAUCUUCCUGAUGAUAGUGUCAUUGAUAGAGUUCUUCAAUCACUGCCACCAAGCUACAAAAGCUGCGUAAUGAACUAUAAUAUGCAAGGGAUGAACAAGACUAUUCCCGAGCUCUUCUCAAUGCUAAAGGCUGUGGAGGUAGAAAUCAAAAAGGAGCAUCAAGUGUUGAUGGUCAACAAGACCACUAGUUUCAAGAAAAAGGGCAAAUGGAAGAAGGGGAACUUCAAGAAGAAUGGCAAAAAGGUUGUUGCUCAAGAGAAGAAACCCAAGUCUGGACCUAAGCCUAAAACUGAGUGCUUCUACUGCAAAGGGACUGGUCACUGGAAGCGGAACUGCCCCAAGUAUUUGGCGGAUAAGAAGGAUGGCAAAGUGAAAGGUAUAUUUGAUAUACAUGUUAUUGAUGUGUACUUAACUAAUGCUCGCAGUAGCGCCUGGGUAUUCGAUACUGGUUUUGUUUCUCAUAUUUGCAAGUCGAAACAGGGGCUACGGAUUAAGCGAAGAUUGACUAAGGAUGAGGUGACGAUGCGCGUGGGAAAUGGUUCCAAAGUCGAUGUGAUCGCGGUCGGCACACUACCUCUACAUCUACCAUCAGGAUUAGUUUUAGACCUGAAUAAUUGUUAUUUGGUGCCAGCGUUGAGCAUGGACAUUAUAUCUGAAUCUUGUAUAAUGUGAGACGGUUGUUCAUUUAAAUCAGAGAAUAAUGGUUGUUCUAUUUAUAUGAGUAAUAUCUUUUAUGGUCAUGCACCCCUACUGAGUGGUCUAUUUUUGUUGAAUCUCGAUAGUAGUGAUACACAUAUUCAUAGUGUUGAAGCCAAAAGAUAUAAGUUUAAUAAUGAUAGUGCAACUUAUUUAUGGCACUGCCGUUUGGGUCAUAUUGGUGUAAAGCGCAUGAAGAAACUCCAUGCUGAUGGAAUUUUGGAAUCACUUGAUUAUGAAUCACUUGGUGCUUGCGAACCGUUCCUUAUGGGUAAGAUGACUAAAACUCCGUUCUCCGGAACAAUGGAACGAGCUACUGACUUAUUGGAAAUAAUACAUACUGAUGUAUGCGGUCCAAUGAGUAUUGAAGCUCAUGGCGGGUAUCGUUAUUUUCUUACCUUCACAAAUGAUUUAAGCAGAUAUGGUUAUGUCUACUUAAUGAAGCAUAAGUCUGAAACAUUUGAAAAGUUCAAAGAAUUUCAGAGUGAAGUGGAAAAUCAUCGUAACAAGAAAAUAAAGUUUCUACGAUCUGAUCGUGGAGGAGAAUAUUUGAGUUAUGAGUUUGGUCUUCAUUUGAAACAACAUGGGAUAGUUUCACAAUUAACGCCACCUAGAACACCAUAGUGAAAUGGUGUGUCCGAACGUCGUAACCGUACUUUAUUAUAUAUGGUGCGAUCUAUGAUGUCUCUUACUGAUUUAUCGAUAUCAUUUUGGGGUUAUGCUUUAGAGACGGCUGCAUUCACUUUAAAUAGGGCACCACAAAAUCCGUUGAGACGACGCCUUAUGAACUGUGGUUUGGUAAGAAACCAAAGUUAUCGUUUCUUAAAGUUUGGGGCUGCGAUGCUUAUGUGAAAAAGCUUCAACCUGAUAAGCUCGAACCCAAAUCGGAGAAGUGUGUCUUCAUAGGAUACCCAAAGGAAACUGUUGGGUACACCUUCUAUCACAGAUCCGAAGGCAAAAUCUUUGUUGCUAAGAAUGGAUCCUUUUUAGAGAAGGAUUUUCUCUCGAAAGAAGUGAGUGGGAGGAAAGUAGAACUUGAUGAGGUAGUUGUGCCUUCUCCCUUAUUGGAAAGUAAUUCAUCACAGAAAUCAGUUUCUGUGAUUCCUACACAAUUAGUGAGGAAGCUAAUGAUGAUGAUCAUGAAGCUUCAGAUCAAGUUACUACCGAACCUCAUAGGUCUUCUAGAGUGAGAUCCGCACCAGAGUGGUGCAGUAAUCCUGUUCUGGAAGUCAUGUUACUAGAUCAUGAUGAACCUACGAACUAUGAGGAAGCGAUGAUGAGCCCAGAUUCCGCAAAAUGGAUUGAAGCCAUGAAAUCUGAGAUGGGAUCCAUGUAUGAGAACAAAGUGUGGACUUUGGUGGACUUGCCCGAUGAUCGGCAAGCCAUAGAAAAUAAAUGGAUCUUUAAGAAGAAGACCAACGUAGACGGUAAUGUUACUGUUUAAAAAGCUCAACUUGUUGCGAAAGGUUUUCGACAAGUUCAAGGAGUUGACUAUGAUGAGACUUUCUCACCCGUAGCGGUGCUUAAGUCUGUCUGAAUCAUGUUAGCAAUUGCUGCAUUUUAUGAUUAUGAAAUUUGGCAAAUGGAUGUCAAAACUGCAUUCCUGAAUGAUUUCUGGAAGAAGAAUUGUAUAUGAUGCAACCAGAAGGUUUUGUCGAUCCAAAGGGUUCUAACAAAGUGUGCAAGCUCCAUCGAUCCAUUUAUAGACUGGUGCAAGCCUCUCGGAGUUGGAAUAAACGCUUUGAUAGUGUGAUCAAAGCAUAUGGUUUUAUACAGACUUUUGGAGAAGCCUGUAUUUACAAGAAAGUGAGUGGGAGCUCUGUAGCAUUUCUGAUACUAUAUGUGGAUGACAUAUUGUUGAUUGGAAAUGAUAUAGAAUUUCUGGAUAGCAUAAAGGGAUACCUGAAUAAGAGUUUUUCCAUGAAAGUCCUCGGUGAAGCUGCUUACAUGUUGGGCAUCAAGAUCUAUAGAGAUAGAUCAAGACGCCUAAUUGGACUUUCACAAAGCACAUACCUUGAUAAAGUUUUAAAGAAGUUUAAAAUGGAUCAGUCAAAGAGAGGGUUCUUGCCUGUGUUACAAGGUGUGAAGUUGAGUCAUACUCAAUGCCCGACCACUACCGAAGAUAGAGAGAAAAUGAAAGUCAUUCCCUAUGCUUCAGCCAUAGGUUCUAUCAUGUAUGCAAUGUUGUGUACCAUACCUGAUGUAUGUCUUGCUAUAAGCAUAGCAGGGAGGUACCAAAGUAAUCUCGGAGUGGAGCACUGAACAACGGUCAAGAACAUCCUGAAAUACCUGAAAAGGGACUAAGGAUAUGUUUCUGGUUUAUGGAGGUGAAAAAGAGCUCGUCGUAAACGGUUACGUCGAUGCAAGCUUUGACACUAAUCCGGAUGACUCUAAGUCGCAAAUUGGAUAUGUAUUUUUAUUGAAUGGAGGAGCUGUCAGUUGGUCCAGUUCCAAAGAGAGCGUCGUGGUAGGAUCUACGUGUGAAGUGGAGUACAUUGCUGCUUCGGAAGCAGCGAAUGAAGGAGUUUGGAUGAAGGAGUUCAUAUCCGAUCUAGGUGUCAUACCUAGUGCAUCGGGUCCAAUGAAAAUCUUCUGUGACAAUACUGGUGCAAUUGCCUUGGCAAAGGAAUCCAGAUUUCACAAGAGAACCAAGCACAUCAAGAGACACUUCAAUUCCACCCGUCAUCAAGUGUCGGAGGGGGGCAUAGAGAUUUGCAAGAUACACAUGGAUCUGAAUAUUGCAGACCCGUUGACUAAGCCUCUUCCACGAGCAAAACAUGAUCAGCACCAAAGCUCCAAGGGUGUUAGAAUCAUUACAAUGUAAUCUAGAUUAUUGACUCUAGUGCAAGGUGGGAGACUGAAGGAAAUAUGCCCUAGAGGCAAUAAUAAAAAUAUUAUUUAUUUCCUGAAUUCAUGAAGAAUGUUUAUUAUUCAUGCUAUAAUUGUAUUAACCGGAAACUUAGUACAUGUAUGAAUACAUACACAAAACAUAUAGUCCCUAGUAUGCCUCUACUUGACUAGCUCGUUAAUCAAAGAUGGUUAUGUUUCCUAACCAUAGACAUGUGUUGUCAUUUGAUGAACGGGAUCACAUCAUUAGGAGAAUGAUGUGAUGGACAUGACCCAUCCGUUAGCUUAGCAUUAUGAUCGUGUUAGUUUCAUUGCUACUGCUUUCUUCAUGACUUAUACAAGUUCCUCAGACUAUGAGAUUAUGAAACUCCCUAAUACCGGAGGAACAGUUUGUGUGCUACCAAACAUCACAACGUAAAUGGGUGAUUAUAAAUAUGCUCUACAGGUGUCUCCGAAGGUGUUUGUUGGGUUGGCAUAGAUCGAGAUUAGGAUUUUUCACUCUGUGUUUCGGAGAGGUAUCUCUGGGCCCAUUCGGUAAUACUCAUCACUAUAAGCCUUGCAAACAUUGUGUCUAAUGAGUUAGUUGCAGGAUGAAGUAUUAUGUAAUGAGUAAAGAGACUUGCCGGUAACGAUAUUGAACUAGGUAUUGAGAUACCAACGAUCAAAUCUCGGGCAAGUAACAUAUCGAUGACAAAGGGAACAAUGUAUGUUGUUAUGCGGCUUGACCGAUAAAGAUCUUCAUAGAAUAUGUAGGAACCAAUAUGAGCAUCCAGGUUCCACUAUUGGUUAUUGACCGGAGAUGUGUCUCGGUCAUGUCUACAUAGUUCUCGAACCCGUAGGGUCCGCACGCUUAACGUUUGAUGACGAUUGGUAUUAUGAGUUUAUGUGUUUUGAUGUACCGAAGGUAGUUCGGAGUCCUGGAUGUGAUCACGGACAUGACGAGGAGUCUCGAAAUGGUUGAGACAUAAAGAUCGAUAUAUUGGAAGGCUAUGUUUGGACACCGGAAAGGUUCCUAGAGGUUCGGGCAUUUUUCCGGAGUAUCGGGACAUUACCGGAACCCCCCGGGGAGUCAAUGGGCCUUAAUGGGCCAUAGUGGAAGAGAGGAGGAGGCGGCCAAGGUGGGGCGCCCUCCCCCAAGCCCAAUCCGAAUUGAGAGGGGGGCCGGCCCCCCUUUCGUUCUCUUCCUAUCCCUCUUCCUUCUUCUCCUACUCCAACUAGGGAAGGGGGAGACCUACUCCUACUGGGAGUAGGACUCCCCCUCUUGGGCACGCCAUAGAGGUCCAGCCCUCCCCCUCCUCCACUCCUUUAUAUACGGGGGAGGGGGCACCCCAAAGAAACACAAGUUGACAAUUGUUUUAGCCGCGUGCGGUGCCCCCUCCACAGAUUUUCACCUUGGUCAUAUUAUCGUAGUGCUUAGGCGAAGCCCUGCGCCGGUAACUUCAUCAUCACCGUCACCACGCCAUCGUGCUGACGAAACUCUCCCUCGACCUCAGCUGGAUCUAGAGUUUGUGGGACGUCACCGAGCUGAACGUGUGCAAAUCGUGGAGGUGCCGUACCUUCAGUGCUAGGAUCGGUCGGAUCAUGAAGACGUACGACUACAUCAACUGCGUUGUCAUAACGCUUCCGCUUUUGGUCUACGAGGGUGCGUGAUACGUCUCCAACGUAUCUAUAAUUUUUGAUUGUUCCAUGCUAUUAUAUUACCCCUUUUGGAUGAUUAUGGGCUUUAUUUUACACAUUUAUAUCAUUUUUGGGACUAACCUACUAACUGGAGGCCCAGCCCGUAUUGCUGUUUUUUUGCCUAUUUCAGUAUUUCGAAGAAAAGGAAUAUCAAACGGAGUCCAAACGGAAUGAAACCUUUGGGAGCGUGAUUUUUGGAACGAAGGUGAUUCGGAGAACUUGGAGUGCAAGCCAAGAAGCAGCCGAGGCGGCCACGAGGGUGGAGGGCGCGCCCACCCCUCCUGGGCGCGCCCCCUGUCUCGUGGGCCCCUCAAGCGGCCACCGACGUACUUCUUCCUCCUAUAUAGGCCUACAUACCCCGAAAACAUCCAGGGAGGCAUCGAAGAAAUAUUUCUACCACCGUAACCUUCUGUAUCCACGAGAUCCCAUCUUGGAGCCGUCGCCGGCGUUCUGCCGGAGGGCGAAUCCACCAUGGAGGGCUUCUACAUCAACACCAUAGCCCUUCCGAUGAGUUGUGAGUAGUUUACCACAGACCUUCGGGUCCAUAGUUAUUAGCUAGAUGGCUUCUUCUCUCUUUUUGGAUCUCAAUACAAUGUUCUCCCCCUCUCUUGUGGAGAUCUAUUCGAUGUAAACUCUUUUUGCGGUGUGUUUGUCGAGAUCCGAUGAAUUGUGGGUUUAUGAUCAAGUUUAUCUAUGAAUAAUAUUUGAAUCUUCUCUGAAUUCUUUUAUGUAUGAUUGAGUUAUCUUUGCAAGUCUCUUCGAAUUAUCGGUUUGGUUUGGCCUACUAGAUUGAUCUUUCUUGCCAUGGGAUAAGUGCUUAGCUUUGGGUUCAAUCUUGCGGUGUCCUUACCCAGUGACAGAAAGGGUUGCAAGGCACGUAUUGUAUUGUUGCCAUCAAGGAUAAAAAGAUGGGGUUUAUAUCAUAUUGCAUGAGUUUAUCCCUCUACAUCAUGUCAUCUUUCUUAAUGCGUUACUCUGUUCUUAUGAACUUAAUACUCCAGAUGCAUGCUGGAUAGCGGUCGAUGUGUGGAGUAAUAGUAGUAGAUGCAGGCAGGAGUCGGUCUACUUGUCACGGAUGUGAUGUCUAUAUACAUGAUCAUGCCUAGAUAAUCUCAUAAUUAUUCGCUUUUCUAUCAAUUGCUCGACAGUAAUUUGUUCACGCACCAUAAUACUUAUGCUAUCUUGAGAGAAGCCUCUAGUGAAACCUAUGGCCCCCGGGUCUAUACUUUAUCAUAUAAGCUUUCAAUCUACUUAUAUUUUCAUCUUUAUUUUCUGCAUCUAUAUUAUAAAAUACCAAAAAUAUAUUUAUCUUAUCAUAUUAUCUCUAUCAGAUAUCACGUUCGCAAGUGGCCGUGAAGGGAUUGACAACCCCUUUAUCGCGUUGGUUGCGAGUUCUUUGUUUGUUUGUGUAGGUUCGUGGGACUUGUGAGGAGCCUCCUACUGGAUUGAUACCUUGGUUCUCAAAAACUAAGGGAAAUACUUACGCUACUGUGUUGCAUCAUCCUUUCUCUUCAAGGAAAACCAACGCAAGCUCAAGACGUAGAAGUACAUAGACAACACUCUCCCUCUCAUUGCUAUGCAUCACCUAGAGAUAGAUCUUGCGUGAUCGUAGGAUUUUUUUGAAAUUACCGCGUUCCCCAACACUUAUGAUGGAUGAAGGAAUAAGGAUUAACAAAAGGCUAAGCUUGGGGAUGCCUGAGGCACCCCAAGAUAAUAUUCAAUAAGUAGAAAGCAACUAAGCUUGGGGAUGCCCCCGAGUGGCAUCCCCUCUUUCUUUUAACAACCAUCGGUAUUUUACUUGGAGCUAUAUUUUUAUUUGUCACAUAUUAUGAGUUUUUCUUGCACCAUCUUAUAUGAUAUGAGUCUUUGCUUGUUUUGCUUUGUGUUUCAAGUCCUUAAUCCUUGCUGGACACACCUUUUUGAGAGAACAAAAAAUUAUGCUAUGCUUGCUCCUAUGCUUCACUCAAAUGUUUAGUGCCAUGUAACUUCUCUAUUGCUUCAAUUAUAUUUUUUAGCACGGUGUGCUUUGUUAUUUUGAAUAAAUGCUCUCAUGCUUCACUUAGAUUUAUUUGGGAGUUAGUAAAAAAAUUAAAAAAUUCUCUCUUGCUUCACUUAGAUUAUUUUGAGAGAAAGAAAAAUUAUGCUCAUGUUCUUCACUUAAAUCUGUUUGAGCUUAUUAAAAGCAACAUAUGAAAAUAGUCCCAAAGUGAUAGAUAUCCAAGGAGGAUAUAAUAAAAACUUUCAUGAAGAUCAUUGGACAAAAUAAACUUGGUUCUUAGUAAUGGUUUUGAGAUAUGACGAUGUGAUAUCUGAGUCAUGUUGAUGAGUAAUUAUGCAUUAGUAAGAAUAUUCGUGUUAAGGCUUGUGAUUCCCUAUGGAAGCACGAAAAUGAAGGAAAUAUGCCCUAAAGGCAAUAAUAAAGUUAUUAUUUAUUUCCUUAUUUCGUGAUAAAUGUUUAUUAUGUUGGGAACGCGGUAAUUUCAAAAAAAGUCCUACGAUCACGCAAGAUCUAUCUAGGUCAUGCAUAGCAACGAGGGGGAGAGUGUGUCCACGUACCCUUGUAGACCGAUAGCGGAAGCGUUAAGUAACACGGUUGAUGUAGUCGAACGUCUUCGUGACCCAACCGAUCAAGUACCGAAUGCAAGGCACCUCCAUGAUCUGCACACGUUCAGCUCGGUGACGUCCCUCGAACUCUAGAUCCAGCUGAGGUCGAGGGAGAGUUCCGGCAGCACGAUGGUGUGGUGACAGUGAUGAUGAAGUUACUGGCGUAGGGCUUCGCCUAAGCACUACGACGAUAUGACCGAGGUGGAGAACUAUGGAGGGGGCACCGCACACGGCUAAAGAUCAACUUGCGUGUCUAUGGGGUGCCCCCUGGCCACCUAUAUAAAGGAGGGGAGGGAAGAGGUGGCCGGCCCAAGGGGGGCGUGCCUGAUGUGGGAAUCCUACAAGGACUCCCCAGUCCAAGUAGGAUUCCCCUCCUCUUUCCUAUUCCUAGUAGGAGAAGGAGGGAAGGAGGAAGAGGGGAGAAGGAAGGAGGGGGGCCCCGCCCCCUCCUAGUCCAAUUCGGACCAGCCCAUGGGGGGGGCGGCCACCCCUUGAGGCCCUUCUCUCCUUUCCCGUACGGCCCAUUAAGGCCCAUUACUUCCCCCGGCGAAUUCCCGUAACUCUCCGGUACUCCAAAAAAUACCCGAAUCACUCGAAAUCUUUCCGAUGUCCGAAUAUAGCCUUCCAAUUUAUCAAUUUUUACGUCUCGACCAUUUCGAGACUCCUCGUCACGUCCGUGAUCUCAUCCGGGACUCCGAAUAAACUUUGGUCAUCAAAUCACAUAACACAUAAUACAAAUCGUUAUCAAACGUUAAGCGUGCGGACCCUACGGGUUCGAGAACUAUGUAGACAUGACCGAGACACAUCUCCAGUCAAUAAGCAAUAGCGGAUCCUGGAUGCUCAUAUUGGCUCCUACAUAUUCUACGAAGAUCUUUAUCGGACAAACCACAUAACAACAUACGUUGUUCCCUUUGUCAUUGGUAUGUUACUUGCCCGAGAUUCGAUCGUCGAUAUCAUCAUAACUAGUUCAAUAUCGUUACCGGCAAGUCUCUUUACUCGUUCCGUAAUGCUUCAUCCUAUAACUAACUCACUAGUCACAAUGCUUGCCAGGCCUAUAGUGAUGAGUAGUACCGAGAGGGCCCAGGGAUACCUCUCCAAAACACGGAGUGACAAAUCCUAAUCUCGAUCUAUGCCAACCCAACAAACACCUUUGGAGACACAUGUAGAGCACCUUUAUAAUCACCCAUUUACGUUGUGACGUUUGGUAGCACACAAAGUGUUCCUCCGGUAUUCGGGAGUUGCAUAAUCUCAUAGUCUGAGGAACAUGUAUAAGUCAUGAAGAGAGCAGUAGCAAUGAAACUGUAACGAUCAUAAUACUAAGCUAUUAGAUGGGUCAUGUCCAUCACAUAAUUCUCCUAAUGAUGUGAUCCCGUUCAUAAAAUGACAACACAUGUCUAUGGUUAGGAAACAUAACCUUCUUUGAUUAACAAGCUAUUCAAGUAGAGGCAUACUAGGGACACUAUGUUUUAUAUAUGUAUUCACACAUGUACUAAGUUUCCGGUUAAUACAAUUCUAGCAUGAAUAAUAAACAUUUAUCAUGAAAUAAGGAAAUAAAUAAUAACUUUAUUAUUGCCUCUAGGGCAUAUUUCCUUCAGCCUCCCACUUGCACUAGAGUCAAUAAUCUAGUUCACAUCACCAUGUGAUUUAACAUCAAUAGUUCACAUCUGUAUGUGAUUAACACCCAUAAUUCACAUCGCCAUGUGACCAACAACCGAAGGGUUUACUAGAUUCAAUAAUCUAGUUCACAUUGCUAUGUGAUUAACACCCAAAGAUUACUAAGGUGUGAUCAAGUUUUGCUUAUGAGAGAAGUUUAGUCAACGGGUCUGUCCAUUCAGAGCCAUAUGUAUUUUGCAAAUAUUCUAUGUCUACAUUGCUAUAUGUGGAGCUACUCUAGCUAAUUGCUCCCAGUUUUAAUAUGUAUCCAGAUUGAGAGUUAGAGUCAUCUGGAUUGGUGUAAAAGCUUGCAUCGACAUAACUCUUUUAUACGACGAACUCUUUAUCACCCCCGUCACCGAGAAACAUUCCCUUAGUCCUUACUAAGGAUAGUUUUGACCGUUGUCCAGUGAUCUACUCUUAGAUCACUAUUGUACCCCCUUGCCAAACUCAUGGCAAGGUACACAAUAGGUCUGGUACACAACAUACUUUAUAGAACCUAUGACUGUGGCAUAGGGAAUGACUGUCAUUAUCUUUCUAUCUUCUGCCGUGGUCGGGCUUUGAGUCUUACUCAACUUUACACCUUGUAAUAUAGACAAGAAAUCCUUGUUUGACUGAUCCAUUUUGAACUCUUUCAAAAACUUGUCAAGGUAUUUACUCAGUGAAAAAUCUUAUCAAGCGUCGUGAUCUAUCUAUAGAUCUUGAUGCCCAAUAUGUAAGCAGCUUCACCGAGGUCUUUCAUUGAAAAACUCUUAUUCAAGUAUCCCUUUAUGCUAUCCAAAAAAUCAAUAUCAUUUCCAAUCAACAAUAUGUCAUCCACAUAUAAUAUUAGAAAUGCUAUAGAGCUCCCACUCACUUUCUUGUAAAUACAGGCUUCACCGCAGGUUUGUAUAAAACUAUAUGCUUUGAUCAACUCAUCAAAGCGUAUAUUCCAACUCCGAGAUGCUUGCACCAGUCCAUAGAUGGAUCACUGGAGCUUGCACACCUUGUUAGUACCUUUAGGAUUGACAAAACCUUCUGGUUCCAUCAUAUACAACUUCCAGAAAUCCAUUCAGGAAUGCUGUUUUUACAUCCAUCUGCCAAAUUUCAUAAUCAUAAAAUGCAGCAAUUUCUAACAUGAUUCGGACAGACUUGAGCAUCCCUACGGGUGAGAAAGUCUCAUCAUAGUCAACUCCUUGAACUUGUCGAAAACCUUUUUGCGACAAGUCAAGCUUUGUAGAUAGUAACACUAUUAUCAAUGUCCAUCUUCCUCUUGAAGAUCCAUUUAUUCUUAAUGACUUGCCGAUCAUCGGACAAGUCCACCAAAGUCCACACUUUGUCCUCAUACAUGGAUCCCAUCUCAGAUUUCAUGGCCUUAAGCCACUUCGCGGAAUUUGGGCUCAUCAUCGCUUCCUCAUAGUCCGUAGGUUCAUCAUGGUCUAAUAACAUGACUUCUAGAAUAGGAUUACGAUACCACUCUGGUGCAGAUCGUACUCUGGUUGACCUACGAGGUUCGGUAGUAACUUGAUCUGAAGUUUCAAGAUCAUCAUCAUUAGCUUCCUCACUAAUUGGUGUUGGAAUCACUAGAACUGAUUUAUGUGAUGAAUUACUUUCCAAUUCGGGAGAAGAUACAAUUACCUCAUCAAGCUCUACUUUCCUCCCACUCACUUCUUUUGAGAGAAACUCCUUUUCUAGAAAGGAUCCAUUCUUAGCAACGAAUAUCUUGCCUUCGGAUCUGUGAUAGAAGGUGCACCCAAUAGUUUCCUUUGGGUAUCCUAUGAAGAUGCACUUCUCCGAUUUGAGUUCGAGCUUAUCAGGUUGAAGGUUUUUCACAUAAGCAUCGCAACCCUAAACUUUAAGAAACGACAACUUUGGUUUCUUGCCAAACCACAGUUCAUAAGGCGUCGUCUCAACGGAUUUUGAUGGUGCCCUGUUUAAUGUGAAUGCUACUGUCUCUAUUGCAUAACCCCAAAAUGAUAGUGGUAAAUCGGUAAGAGACAUCAUAGAUCGCACCAUAUCUAAUAAAGUGUGGUUAUGACGUUCGGAGACACCAUUACACUGUGGUGUUCCAGGUGGCGUGAGCUGUGAAACUAUUCCACAUUGUUUUAAUGAAGGCCAAACUCGUAACUCAAAUAUUCGCCUCUGCGAUCAAGUAAUAGAAACUUUAUUUUCUUGUUACGAUGAUUCUCCACUUCUCUCUGAAAUUCUUUGAACUUUUCAAAUGUUUCAGACUUGUGUUUCAUUUAAGUAGAUAUACCCAUAUCUGCUCAAAUCAUCUGUGAAGGUCAGAAAAUAACUAUACUCGCCACAAGCAUCUACACUCAUUGGACUGGAUACAUCAGUAUGUAUUAUUUCCAGUAAGUCAGUAACUCGUUCCAUUGUUCGGAUAACAUAGUUUUAGUCAUCAUGCCUAUAAGGCAUGGUUCACAAGUUUCAAAGGAUUCAUAAUCAAGUGAUUCCAAAAGUCCAUCUUUAUGGAGUUUCUUCAUGCGCUUUACACCAAUAUGACCCAAACGACAGUUCCACAAAUAAGUUGCACUAUCAUUAUCAACUUUGCAUCUUUUGGCAUCAAUAUUAUGAAUAUGUGUAUCACUACGAUUGAGAUCCAACAAACUAUUUUCAUUGGGUGUAUGACCAUCAGAGGUUUUAUUCAUGUAAACAAAACAAUAAUUACUCUCUGACUUUAAAUGAAUAACCUUAUUGCAAUAAACAUGAUCAAAUCAUAUUCAUGCUCAACUCAAAUGCCAAAUAACAUUUAUUUAGGUUCAACACUAAUCUCGGAAGUAUAGGGAGUGUGCGAUGAUGAUCAUAUCAAUCUUGGAACCACUUCCAACACACAUCGUCACUUCACCCUUAACUAGUCUCUGUUCAUUCUGCAACUCCCGUUUCGAGUUACUAAUUUUAGCAACUGAACCGGUAUCAAAUACCCAUGGGUUGCUAUGAACACUAGUAAAGUACACAUCAAUAAUCUAUAUAUGAAAUAUACCUUUGUUCACUUUGCCAUCCUUCUUAUCCGCCAAAUAUUUGGGGUAGUACCACUUCCAGUGACCAUUUCCUUUGCAGUAGAAGCACUUAGUUUCAGGCUUAGGUCCAGCUUUGGGCUUCUUCACGGGAGUGACAACUUGCUUGCCAUUCUACUUGAAGUUCCCUUUCUUUCCCUUUGCCCUUUUCUUUAAACUAGUGGUCUUGUCAAUCAUCAACACUCGAUGCUCUUUCUUUAUUUCUACCUUCAUCGAUUUUCAGCAUCACGAAGAGCUCAGGAAUUUCUUUCGUCAUCCCUUGCAUACUAUAGUUCAUCACAAAGUUCCAGUAACUUGGUGGUGGUGACUAGAGAACUCUGUUAAUCACUAUCUUAUCGGGAAGAUUAACUCCCAUUUGAUUCAAGCGAUUGUAGUACCCAGACAAUCUAAGCAUAUGCUCCCUACUUGAGCUAUUCUCCUUCAUCUUUUAGCUAUAGAACUUGUUAUAGACUUCAUAUCUCUCAACUCGGGUAUUCGCUUGAAAUAUUAACUUCAAAUCCUGGAACAUCUCAUAUAUUCCAUGACGUUCAAAACGUAUUUGAAGUCCUGAUUCUAAGCCGUAAAGCAUGGUAGACUAAACUAUCAAGUAGUCAUCUUACUGAGCUAGCCAAACGUUCAUAACAUCUGCAUCUGCUCCUGCAAUAGGUCUGUCACCUAGCGGUGCAUCAAGGACAUAAUUCUUCUAUGCAGCAAUGAGGAUAAACCUCAGAUCACAGACCCAGUCCACAUCAUUGCUACUAUCAUCUUUCAACUUAGUUUUCUCUAGGAACAUAUAAGAAACAUAGGGAAGCUACAAUGUGAGGUAUUGAUCUACAACAUAAUUUGCAAAAUACUACCAGGACUAAGUUCAUGAUAAAUUAAAGUUCAAUUAAUCAUAUUAAUUAAGGACUCCCACUUAGAUAGACAUCCCUCUAGUCAUCUAAAUGAUCACGUGAUCCAUAUCAACUAAACCAUGUCCGAUCAUCACGUGAGAUGGAGUAAUUUUCAAUGGUGAACAUCACUAUGUUGAUCAUAUCUACUAUAUGAUUCACGCUCGACCUUUAGGUCUUAGUGUUCCGAGGCCAUAUCUGCAUAUGCUAGGCUCAUCAAGUUUAACCCGAGUAUUCUGUGUGUGCAAAAAAUGGAUUGCACCCGUUGUAUUUGAACAUAGAGCUUAUCACACCCGAUCAUCACGUGGUGUCUCGGUAUGACGAACUGUCGCAACGGUGCAUGCUCAAGGAGAACACUUGUACCUUGAAAUUUAGUAAGGGAUCAUCUUAUAAUGCUACCGACGUUCUAAGAAAAAUAAGAUGCAUAAAGGAUGAACAUCACAUGCAAUCAAAAUAUGUGACAUGAUAUGACCAUCAUCAUCUUGCGCUCAUGAUCUCCAUCACCGAAGCAUCGUCAUGAUCUCCAUCAUCACCGGCGCGACACCUUGAUCUCCAUCGUAGCAUUGUUCUCGUCUCGCCAACUAUUGUUACUACGACUAUCACUACCACUUAGUGAUAAAGUAAAACAAUUACAUGGCGAUUGCAUUGCAUACAAUAAAGCGACAACCAUAUGGCUCCUGCCAGUUGCCGAUAACUUUGUUAUAGAACAUGAUCAUUUCAUACAAUAAAUUAUAUCACAUCAUGUCUUGACCAUGUCACAUCACAGCAAGCCCUGCAAAAACAAGUUAUACGUCCUCUACUUUGUUGUUGCAAGUUUUACGUGGCUGCUACGGGCUUCUAGCAAGAACCGUUCUUACCUACGCAUCAAAAACACAACGAUUUUUCGUCAAGUGUGUUGUUUUAACUUUCAACAAGGACCGGGCGUCACCACACUCGAUUCAACUAAAGUUGGAGAAACAGACACCCGCUAGCCACCUAUGUGCAUAAGCACGUCGGUAGAACCAGUCUCAUGAACGCGUUCAUGUAAUGUCGGUUCGCGCCGCUUCAUCCAACAAUACCAUCGAAUCAAAGUAUGACCCGUCGGUAAGCAGUAUGACUAUUAUCACCCACAACUCUUUGUGUUCUACUCAUGCAUAUAACAUCUACGCAUAGACCUGGCUCAGAUGCCACUGUUGGGGAACGCGGUAAUUUCAAAAAAAAUCCUACGAUCACGCAAGAUCUAUCUAGGUGAUGCAUAGCAACGAGGGAGAGAGUGUGUCCACUUACCCUCAUAGACCGAAACAGAAGCAUUAUGUAACGUGGUUGAUGUAGUCAAACGUCUUCGAGACCCAACUGAUCAAGUACCGAACACACAGAACCUCCGUGAUCUGCACACAUUCAGAUCGGUGAUGUCCCUCGAACUCUAGAUCCAGCUGAGGCUGAGGGAGAGUUCCAUCAGCAUGACGGUGUGGUGACGGUGAUGAAGUUACCAGCGCAGGGCUUCCCCUAAGCACUACGACGAUAUGACCGAGGUGGAAAACUGUGGAGGGGGCACCGCACACGGCUAAAGAUCAACUUGUGUGUCUAUGGGGUGCCCCCUGGCCACAUAUAUAAAGGAGGGGAGGUGAAAGGACAUGUGGUGCCCCCAUGUGUGGUUUUGGUAAUUGAUGACACUCUCUAUGGACUAAUGGUUGCAUUGAGUUAUAUUUGAAGGAUUUGUCCAUAGGCUCUUCUUGAAGUCCAUGUGUUGCUUUCAAGGAGUUUAUGUGUUGACCAAGGUGCUAUUAAGGAAGUAUCCAAAGAUUGGUUAUGUGAGUGUUGUGCUUAUUGCAAGCAUGUCUUGAAGAAGAAGAUUGUGUGAUCAUUCAUGCUUACCUUCAAGACAUCAUCCAAAUGAAGAGAGUUGGAAAGAUUCAAGGUUGAUCAAUACUAAGUCAAGAGUGAAUCAAGUUGAUCAACUCACAUAGCGUAGAAGAUGUACCGAGAGGGAUCAGUGAUCCCAUGGUAUGGUAAGCAUUGUCCACUGUGCUUUGUGUACUAGCCCAUGGUCUAUGUGAGAGUUCUAUGUGGGGUUAGGUAUGUGUUCAUGGGCUUGCGUCAAGAGGAAGAUAUCACUCAACCCAUGGAGAAGAAACAUCAAGUGGUGAUCAUCAUCAAGAUUGCCGUGUGAAAGUUUAAGUGGAGCAUCACGAAGAGACCAAAUGCUUGAAGCUUGCCAUCCAUUUUGGUGUCAAUGGACUUGUGAAGAUGUGCCGAAGAGUGGCUCGCCCAUAGUGGAGUAUGGGGGGGCAAUCAUCUAGUCUUCAUCGACCCAACGCAAUCAAGAAAGGUUGUAUUAACAGGAAACUUAGUACAUGUGUGAACACACAGACAAAACAUAGUGUCCCUAGUAUGCCUCUACUUGACUAGAUCAUUAAUCAAAGAUGGUUAUGUUUCCUAACCAUAGACAUGUGUUGUCAUUUGAUGAAUGAGUUCACAUCAUUAGGAGAAUGAUGUGAUGGACAUGACCCAUCUGUUAGCUUAGCAUUAUGAUCGUAUCAGUUUCAUUGCUACUGCUUUCUUCAUGACUUAUACAUGUACCUCAGACUAUGAGAUUAUGCAACUCCCGAAUACCGAAGGAACACAGUGUGUUCUAUCAAACAUGACAACGUAAAUGGGUGAUUAUAAAGAUGCUCUACACGUGUCUCUGAAGGUGUUUGUUGGGUUGGCAUAGAUCGAGAUUAGGAUUUGUCACUCCGUGUUUCAGAGAGGUAGGGCCCUCUCGGUAAUGCUUAUCACUAUAAGCCUUGCAAGCAAUGUGAUUAAUGAGUUAGUUGCAGGAUGAAGCAUUACGGAACGGGUAAAGAGACUUGCCAGUAAUGAGAUUGAGCUAGGUAUGAUGAUACUGACGAUCUAAUCUCGGGAAAGUAACAUACCGAUGACAAAGGGAACAAAGUAUGUUGUUAUGCGGUUUGACUGAUAAAGAUCUUCGAAGAAUAUGUGGGAACCAAUAUGAGCAUCCAGGUUCCGCUAUUGGUUAUUUAACGGAGAUGUGUCUCGGUCAUGUCUACAUAGUUCUCGAACCCGUAGGGUCCGCAGGCUUAAUGUUCGAUGACGAUUUGUAUUAUGAGUUAUGUGAUUUGAUGAACUGAAGUUUGUUUGGAGUCCCGGAUGAGAUCAUGGAUAUGACAAGGAGUCUCAAAAUGGUCGAGACAUAAAGAUUGAUAUAUUGGAAGGCUAUAUUCGGAGAUCGGAAUGGUUCCGGAGAAGUUCGGGUAUUUUCCGGAGUACCAGGAGGUUACCGGAACCACCCCGGGAGAAGUUAUGGACCUUAUGGGCCAUAAGAGGUAAGCACACUAGCCCACAAGGGGCUGGUGCACCCCCCCCCUUGGGCAGGAGGCCGAUUAGGACUAGGAGAAGGGGACGACCCCCCUUCCUUCUCCUUCUCCCUUCCCCCUUUCCUACUCCAUGUGGGAGGUGGAAUCCUACUAGGACUAGGGAGUCCUAGUAGGACUCCACACCUUGGCGCGCCCCCCUAGGGUCGGCUGCCUCUCCCUCUCCCUCCUUUAUAUAUGGGGACAGGGGGCACCCUAGAACACACAAGUUGAUCUUUUAGCCGUGUGCGGUGCCCCCGUCCACAGUUACACACCUCGGUCAUAUCGUCGUAGUGCUUAGGCGAAGCCCUGCGCUGGUAACUUUAUCAUCACUGUCGCCACGCCGGCGUGCUAAAGAAACUCUCCCUUGGCCUCAACUGGAUCAAGAGUACGAGGGACGUCAUCGAUCUGAACGUGUGCUGAACACGGAGGUGCCGUAUGUUCGGUACUUGGACCGGUUGGAUCACGAAGAAGUUCGACUACAUCAACCGCAUUAACUAACGCUUUUGCUUUCGGUCUACGAGGGUACGUGGACACACUCUCCCCUCACAUAGAUAGAUCUUGCGUGAUCGUAGGAAAAAUUGAAAUUACCACGUUCCCCAACAGUGGCAUCCGAGCCAGGUCUAUGUGUAGAUGUUAUAUGCAUGAGUAGAACACAAAGAGUUGUGGGCGAUAAUAGUCAUACUGCUUACCACCAACACCUUACUUUGAUUCAGCGGUAUUGUUGGAUGAAGCGGCCCGAACCGACAUUACAUGACCAGGUUCAUGAGACUGGUUCUACCAACAUGCUUUUGCACAUAGGUGGUUGGCGGGUGUCUGUUUCUCCAACUUUAGUUGAAUCGAGUUUGAAUAGGGCCGGUCCUUGUUGAAGGUUAAAAAAGCACACUUGACGAAAAAUCAUUGUGGUUUUGAUGUGUAGGUAAGAAUGAUUUUUGCUAGAAGCCCGUAGCAGCCAAGUAAAAUUUGCAACAACAAAGUAGAGGACGUCUAACUGGUUUUUGCAGGGCUUGCUGUGAUGUGAUAUGGUCAAGACAUGAUGUGAUAUAAUUUGUUGUAUGAGAUGAUCAUGUUUUGUAACAGAAUUAUCGGCAACUGGCAGGAGCCAUAUGGUUGUCGCUUUAUUGUAUGCAAUGCAAUCGCCAUGUAAUUGUUUUACUUUAUCACUAAGCGUUAGCGAUAGUCGUAGUAACAAUAGUUGGCGAGACGACAAUGAUGCUACGAUGGAGAUCAAGGUGUCACGCUGGUGACAUGGAGAUCAUGACGAUGCUUCGGUGAUGGAGAUCAUGAGCACAAGAUGAUGAUGGCCAUAUCACAUAUUAUGAUUGCAUGUGAUGUUUAUCUUUUAUGCAUCUUAUUUUGCUUAGUACGGCGGUAGCAUUGUAAGCUGACCCCGUACUAAAUUUCAAGGUAUAAGUGUUCUCCCUGAGUAUGCAACAUUGCUACAGUUCGUCGUGUCGAGACACCACGUGAUGAUCGGGUGUGAUAAGCUCUACAUUCACAUACAACAGGUGCAAGCCAGUUUUCCACACGUAGAAUACUCGGGUUAAACUUGACGAGCCUAGCAUAUGCAGAUAUGGCCUCGGAACACUGAGACCGAAAGGUCGAGCGUGAAUCAUAUAGUAGAUAUGAUGAACAUAGUGAUGUUCACCAUUGGAAACUACUUCAUCUCACGUGAUGAUCGGACAUGGUUUAGUUGAUUUGGAUCACGUGAUCAUUUAGAUGACUAGAGGGAUGUCUAUCUAAGUGGGAGUUCUUAAGUAAUAUGAUUAAUUGAACUUUAAUUUAUCAUGAACUUGGUCAUGAUAGUAUUUCGCAAAUUAUGUUGUAGAUCAAUAGCUUGCGUUGUUGCUUCCCUAUGUUUUUAUAUGUGUUCCUAGAUAAAACUAAGUUGAAAGAUGAUAGUAGUAAUGAUGUGGUCUGGGUCCGUGAUCUGAGGUUUAUUCUCAUUGCUGCACAGAAGAAUUAUGUCCUUGAUGCACCUCUAGGUGACAGACCUAUUAAGGGAGUCCUGGAUUAGGGGGUAUCCGGACAGCCGGACUGUAUACAUCGUCCGGACUAUUGAAGCGUGAAGAUACAAGACUCAAGACUUCGGCCCGUGUCCGGAUGGGACUCUCCUUUGCGUGGAAGGCAAGCUUGGCGAUCCGGAUAUUGUGUUUCCUUCCUUGUAACCGACUCCGUGUAAACCCUAGCCCUCUUCGGUGUCUAUAUAAACCGGAGAGGUUGGUCCUUAGAAGGCCGAUCACGAUUACAAUCAUACCAUCAUAGGCUAGCUCUUAGGGUUUCGCCUCUACGAUCUCGUGGUAGAUCUACUCUUGUACUACUCAUAUCUUCGAUAUUAAUCAAGAAGGAAGUAGGGUUUUACCUCCAUCGAGAGGGCUCGAACCUGGGUAAACAUUGUGUCCCUCGCUUCCUGUUACUAUCAGCCUAAGACGCACAGAUCGGGACCCCCUACCCGAGAUCCGCCGGUUUUGACACCGACAUUGGUGCUUUCAUUGAGAGUUCCUCUGUGUCGUCGCUGCAGGGUCUGAUGGCGCCUUCAAUUGUCAACAACACGUUCCAGGGGGAGACUUUUUCCCGGAUAGAUCUUCGUGUUUGGCGGCUUUGCACUGCGGGCCAAUUCGCUUGGCCAUCUGGAGCAGAUCGAUAGCUACGCCCCUGGCCACCAGGUCAGGUUCGGAAACUUGAACUACACAGUGGAUAUUCACGGAGACUUGAUCUUCGACGGAUUUGGGCCUGCGCCAGGAGCACCGAAUAGUCACGAUGAGCACGGCUUAGACCUGCUGUCGGACGAAGCUCGGGAUAUCACCCCCGCAGUAGCCUCGGAUCUAAAUCUGGAGCAGGUUGCAUUGCCUAAGGACGGAGGGGUGGACCCCACCCCGCAGGACGCACACUCAUCGGCGGAGGAGCCGAACACAGGUCCCACCUCUGUGGAGGCCUGUAACCCUGGGCCCCCGAACUCGUAUCCGGUUGUUGGUUCCGGUCCGCACAUCCUCGAACCAGUCGAGCCAGGUUGGGCUCUGGUAAUGGAGUUUACCGCUGUGGACAUCUUCCAUCACUCGCCCUUUGGCGACAUGCUGAACUCAUUAAAGUCUCUCUCUUUGUCAGGAGGCUCUGGGCCGAACUAUGUCCAGCUUGAGUGGGAAGCAAGCGACGAAGGAAUUCGCUGCCCACCCAUCACCCACUUCAUUGCCACGAUCAAUGAUUUAACUGACGUGCUUGACUUCGACUCCGAAGACAUCGACGGUAUGGACGACGAUGCAGGAGAAGUACAGGAGCCACCGCUCGUUGGGCGGUGGACGGCCACCUCGUCACACGAUAUAUACAUGGUGGAUACGCCCAAGGAGGACGACGGCGGCAAUUCGGAAGAUAAAACCCCCGGGCAAAAGCCAAAACGGCAGCACAGACGCCGCUCAAAGUCCAGCAACAGUAAAAAUAGCGACAAGAGCGCAAGAAGGAUCGACAUACCAGCAAACUCCGAAGGCAAUAAUGACCACAUGGACCCAGCGAUGGAGCAGGAUAAGCCAUGUCACGCCGAACUGAGUUUGGAGCAGACGCCCGACCACAGUGAUCCAGAGGGACGAGUCCAUCAAACCGCCGCAGGACAAGAACACAGUUCGGACGAUGAUGCAUUCAUCAUUCUGGAAGAACACGUGGAACGAGAUAACCUCCACAGAAAGCUUAUGGCCAUAGCGAGAAGUCUAAAGAAGCAGAAGCAACGGCUCAAAGCCGCACAGGAAACGCUCAAUCGCAGAUGGAAUAAAGUGCUAGACACCGAAGAAAGAUAUGGCGAUGAUCGCCAUACAAAGAGCUAUCCCAAACGCAAGCUACUGCCAGAAUUCGACGACGAGGCCGUUCCACCAAAGAAUAAUACGACCAGGAGACCAGACGUACCACUUCACAACCGCAACAGAACGGCUACUGACGUCGCACACGAUCUACAUGAGCAUCUGGAUAAGCAAGCCGGUGCGGCCAGGUCCAUCUACGGAUCUAAAGGACAAAAGGCGGCGUCGGACUAUGGUCACCAGAAUGAUCAUACAAACCAAAUACCAAUUCGAAAUAAGCUCCGAGCACAUCAACAGCCAGCUGCAUGCCACAGCGCGUCCAGAUACAGAGGGGCUGCUCACCCCCUGUGCUUCACCGAAGAAGUACUGGACCAUGAAUUCCCACAAGGUUUCAAACCUGUGAACAUAGAGGCAUACGACGGAACGACAGACCCAGGGGUCUGGAUCGAGGAUUUUAUCCUGCAUAUUCACAUGGCUCGUGCGGAUGACCUCCACGCCAUCAAAUACCUUCCCCUCAAGUUGAAGGGACCAGCUCGACACUGGUUGAAAAGCCUCCCCGAAAAUCCAAUUGGGAGUUGGGAGGAACUCGAGGACGCUUUCAGGGCCAAUUUUCAAGGGACUUAUGUCUGGCCUCCGGAUGCGGACAAUCUAAGUCACAUAAUCCAACAGCCUGGAGAGUCCGCCCGCAAGCUUUGGAACAGAUUCCUCACUAAGAAGAAUCAAAUUGUCGAUUGUCCGGAUGCCGAAGCCUUAGCGGCAUUCAAACACAGCAUCCGCGACGAAUGGCUCGCCAGACGCCUCAGCCAAGAAAAGCCAAGGACAAUGGCAACCUUAACAAGCCUUAUGACCCGCUUUUGCGCGGGUGAAGAUAGCUGGCUAGCCCGUAAAGGCACCAGCGACCCCAGCACAUCCGAAAUAAGGGAUGGCAAUGGGAAGCCACGGCGUAAUAAACACAGACGCCAAAACAAGGAAGAGAGCAUGGACAAUACAACGGUCAAUGCCAGAUUUAGGGGCUCUCGACCUGAUCAGCAAAAUAAGUCAUUUAAAGGCAGUAGAGAGGGACCGUUCGGUCUGAACAGAGUCCUGGACAGACUGUGCCAAAUUCAUGGCACCCCGGAGAAACCUGCGAACCACACGCAUAGAGAAUUUUGGGUCUUCAAGCAGGCCGGCAAAUUAAAAGCCAAACACAAGGGGAGGGAAACUCCAAGUGAAGACGAGGAUGAACCUCGCCAGCCGAACACUGGGGGACGGAAAAAAUUCCCGCCAGAGGUUAAAACAGUAAACAUGAUCCACGCGACUCACAAAUCCACGAUAGGGCACGAACGCGCGCUCGGAGACGCGCACGAUAUAGAGCUCAUUGUACCCACAUCUAACUACUGGACGUCUUAUCCGAUCACCUUCGAUCACACGGACGGUUGAACUAGUAUUCGGCGCGGAGGAUCAGAGGCCUUGGUGCUUGACCCAAUAAUCGAUGGAUACCGUCUCACCUGUGUCCUCAUGGACGGCGGAAGUAGUCUCAAUCUAAUAUACGAGGACACUGUCUGCAGGAUGAGGAUAAACCCAUCCAGGAUUAGCCAAAGCAACACCACCUUUGAAGGGGUGAUACCAGGCAUUGAAGCCUACGGCAGGGGCUCCGUCGUACUGGAGGUAACAUUUGGCUCCUCAGGCAACUCCAGAAGCAAAGAACUACUCUUCACCAUUGCACCCUUCCAAAGCGGCUAUCAUGCACUGCUUGGAAGAACGACCUUCGCCCGCUUCAACGCAUUGCCGCACUAUGGCUACCUUACACUCAAGAUGCCUGGUCCACGUGGCGUCAUCACCAUUAGCGGAAUCAUAGAGUGCUCUUCACGCGCAGAGGAACACAAGACGGCCCUGGCGGCCGGACUAUAAGCGGCCUCCAAUAUCAGAAAACAUGACUGGUCAUUAAGACCACAGACACGGUUAGACGACUCCGAUAGCCCGGAUAAAAUUAAACCAGGGCACCGUAUAUGUAAUCCCAUAGCGGACACCAGGGGCUAUAAAUAUUUAAUACAGCCCCAUACUUGGCUCAACCUUAUUGGCAGGCCAACAUCUUACACUUUUACUAUCCAUCGCAUAUUUACGUUGUACUCUCCUACGAGUUUUCCUUUUUCCACAGACAACGUUCGCGCGAUACCCUUCUAGGAUACGGCACAACAGAGACAAAGGCGCAGACGUGCAGCAGGGCCCCGUUCAACAGGUUUCUUUUUAGAUUAAGCCCCUGUGUAAACCUUUUCUAUUGCCUCUUGUUGUUUAACCAUCCCAUGGGUUCCAUACCCACAGAGGAUACUACCAUUAUUGGCAUUUCGCCACGACAGAUUACCGCACGUACCUGGAACACAGGGUUCAUAAUGAAUGGGCAUUCUUGAGCCCAUCUUCUGUUAUAAAGCCCGAAUACCUUCGGGAGUGUUCGGCGUCACGAGUUUGGCCUUAUAUGCAUCAGCUCCGAAUCAUAUCUUUGGUCAAAUAUUGGGUUUGCCCGACUCCUGGGUUUGCCGCCUUACGUUCCGUUAUUAUCAGCUAAGGCGGCCAAAGGAGAACUACUGCGAUUGUGCCCUGGUUAUUCUGGAUGAGCACCUCAGUAGAGAAAACCGAAAACUGACUGUCAUGAUGCAGCGAGAGACUGUUUAACCACUCGAAGACUCACCGGAAUCUUUAGGAUUCCUCCGCAUUAACGAAGGGCCGUUUCCGGGCCAUGUACAUACGUGCCCGUAUUCGGAUGCACGCGAAGGUACGAGGGGCUACAUAGUAGCCCCACCUUUAGACUUCCACGGCUAAGCGAAAGUGUUACAGCUAUAUAGUCCGGUUGCCUAGUUCGACGUGCGAUCACCUCCUUAAUGGACCAAGACGUUGGAUCAAGUGUGAUUAAGCAUAUUUUUCACGAACACCCCCGCAUUGUAUGCGUGGGGGCUGAAGCCAACGACUGCUAACUUUCGGAUUACUUAUAUACAUAUAUAAAAACGGACGCACAGGGGACACAAUCAUCUUUUCAGGAAAAAAGUAUAAAUAUAGCCUCAUAGUCAAAAUAAACAUUGUUUUACAAUGAUUCGAUUUAUCACUCGAACAAGACAUUCUUCGAGCACUGCGCCUCUAUUAGCCGGGCACCUUCCGUGACCUGCGCCAAGUAGUGCUCGGCCGGAUAUUGGCCUCCCGCCGGAUCCUGGGUCGCUACAAUGGUGGCCUUCAUAUCCGUCCAAUAGGCUUUAACACGGGCAAGAGCCAUUCGUGCACCCUCUAUGCACGCCGACCUCCUCAUGGCAUUGAUCCGAGGCACGACCCCAAGGAAUUGUUGCACCAAACCAAAGUAGUUGUCCGGCUUAGGCCCCUUCGACCAAAGAUGGUCUAUUACAGACCGCAUUGCAAGCCCGGACAGCCUGUGAAGCUCCGCCACAGCAGCCAUCUUCUCAUUUAACGGUAGAGGGCGAGUGGGAGCAUUGAAUUGCGAACAUAAAAGCUUCUCCACUUCCUUAUCACCUUGAUCCUUGAAGAACUUGGCAGCGUCAGCCGUGCUAUUCGCCAAGUCCGCAUAUGCGUCGGCCGGACUCCAGCGUCCAUCCAGGGGAGCAUCCUUCGGAUCCAAAAACUUCGUUCGUAGUAAGUAGGAGCCCCCAGCCACGAUUUUGUUGGCCUGUUGGAGCUCCUCCCGCAUACCCCGGAUCUCAGUCCGCAUCUCCUUGGUGGCAUUAAGUGCCUUGUCCAGCUCGGCCGAGCUAGCCUUAUUCUCCUUUUCAAGGAGUACAUACCGGUCGGCGGCAUUUUUUUAACUCCACAGCCAUUUCGGCUAUCUUUUCCUCGCUUCGGCGAUGAGCAGCCUGUUCGGCUCUCAAUUCUUCGGCCGCCUUUAGGGCAGCCGCAUUGCUAGCCCGAGCUUGUUCCUUGGCCUGAGCAAGUUCCUCCCCCAGGGCCUCCACAGCAGCAGCAGCAUCUGCAGUACAAACACAUUGCAUUAAUAUUAUGCCCCUCUCACAUUUUCCUAUACAACAUAAUAAGGGAAGCAGAGCGCAUACCCUGUGACUCGUCCAGCCGUUUGUUCACCAGCAUGAUAUCGGCAUCGAUAGAUCUGAUCUGCCUUCUUAGUUCGGCAACUUCAACAGACUGGUCGGCUGCCGGAUCAUUAGAUACCUGCGCACAUGUACAACACAGCCAUUACUAUAUGAUCCCCCGUUUGCCGCCUAUGGUGGGCAACCAGAGUCUCAGGGGCUACUAUCCAUAUGGAGCACACCUAGCGCAUGCCACACAGCCAAAAAAUAGUGCAUUUUUACUAAAUACCUCAAAGCCUCUGAGCAGGCUCGUAAAUGCCUCAUUCAAACCGCUUGUAGAGGAUGAAAUCUUCUUAAGCACCGCACUCAUUAAUGAGCGGUGCUCCGCCGAGAGCGCAGCUCGCUCCAGAAGACCUGUCAGUACGUCCGGCCGGGCAUCGAACUGUGUCGGACCCUUCUCAUCGCCCCCCGUGGGAGCCAAACGCUCCGGGCUCAGGGCGACUGACGUAAUGGCCUCCGGCUUCGGUAGAUCCGAACUCCUCCGUGACGACACCUCAGUGUCGCCCGCUUCAUGAGGCGGAGAGGUGGGUGGGGUCUCGCUCUCCAUCAUCUCCGGAGGAAGAUCCCCCGAAGACGAAUUCUGUUGAGGAGAGCUGCUAGCCGGACUGCAAAAGACGAAUCCUGGUUAUUGAUCUUGGAGAAACGCAGUACCCUCGGAAUAGUGAUUAACUUACAGCUUGGUCGAGGGCUGGCCCGUUGGCGGGCGUGACAUGGUGAGAACGCCCAUCGAGAUAGAGCCCCCCGGGGACACUUUCUUCCCCUGUUUGGGCAUCUCCGUCUCCAAGUCUUCGGAGGCGGCCCUUUUCUUCCCGCGCGGGGAGGUGGCCUCAGAUUCCCCUCCCCGACUAUCCUCCUUUGGGGAGAAAUCAAUUCCCUCGGUCUGAAUGCGUAGUGUGUGAAGUCCGGCUUCGCUGCCCUUUCCUUUGCCUUUCCCUGAGGGAAUUUUGCUAAGCACCCGGCCAAGCAUCUUGGCAACGGUUGGACUCGGCGAGCCUUCAGGAAGUGGCGCCGGACACCUGAUUCUCUUCGCCUUGUUGAGCCAUUCCUGGCCACGGAGGGUUUUUCAGAACAAUGGUUAUGGCAAAUAUAAACAGAGUGUUCGGCUUUAAGGUUACUUACUUGGGUAUCUAGGCGAUUGCAGCUUAGGCCUGCAUCCUCGGUGGUGUCCAGACACUUUACUUGUGGUCCAAAGAAUAAUUUACACAUCCCUUUGAGCUUCAGGCCGAAGAAGUGCUUAAUAGUCUGUGGACCCUCCAGAUUGAACUCCCACAUCCGGAGAGGCCGACGUUUGCACGGCAACAUCCGUCGGAUUAGAAUUACUUGAAUUAUGCUGACAAGAUUUAUGCCCCUCUCGAUAAGCUCCCGGAUAUGGCUCUGCAGUAUUGGAACAUCACUGGCGGGCCCCCAAUUCCGUCCUACGUCGGUCCAUGACGCCAACUGUGACGGAGGGCCCGAACGGAACUCGUGGGCGGCUACCCACUUUGUGCCUCUGGGAGCUAUAACAUACAACCACCUCCGUUGCCACACAUCAGAUACUUCCGGGAAAGAACCCUCCGGCCAUGGGGCAUCGGCGUUCCUGCUUAUUAUGGCCCCUCCGCACUCUGCAUGUCGCCCCUCGAUCAUCUUCGGCUUCACAUUGAAGGUCUUGAGCCAUAAGCCAAAGUGUGGGGUGACGUGGAGAAAAGCCUCGCACACAAUAAUGAACUACGAGAUAUGGAGGAUAGCGUCCGGAGCCAGAUCAUGAAAAUCCAACCCAUAGUAGAACACGAGCCCCCUCACAAAGGGGUCGAGGGUGAGGCCCAGGCCGCGGAGGAAGUGAGGGACAAACACAACGCUCUCUUUGGGCUCCGGUGUAGGGAUAACCUGCCCUGGAACAGGAAGCCUGUGCUGGAUAUCGACGGUCAGGUAUCCGACCUCCCUAAGCCUCGUAAUGUCCUCCUCUUGGAUCGAGGAGGCCACCCAUUGGCCUUUAGGGUUGGAUCCAGACAUAUUGGAGGAUCUGGGGUGUUGGAGCUUAGGUCUUGGGUGUUGAGCUUGAGGUGCGAGAAGGUGCAGGGGAGGUGGAAAAGAGGCAUAGGCCUUGAUCCCUUUAUAAAGGGGGUGAAUAUCAAGAGUCCUCAGCGUGACCACUUGAGACUUAUCCAAAAAUACACAGAGUCAUACCAACGGUCGUCGUGGGGUCACGCACGCCCAUAUUGAUGGAAAAUCCCGUAAUAAGAGGAACACAAUCUCUGCUUUGGCAGGACGUGCCAAUAAAACCGCCUCGCUGCGCGAGUCGAGGUGGGGAGAGAAAUGCCGGUUCGUGUUGGACCAGGCCAUGAUGCAAGGGCACGGUGUACGAAGAUCGCCAGUAGAUCAGAUUUACGCUAUGUUCCCUACAAUGAAAUGUGAAAAUCAUCUUGUGGAUCCGGACACGGUCUACGUGUUCGAUAAUUACUUUGGAGUAUUCGGAGAAGGAACCCGCCUUGCAAUGCUGAAGACAAGACUGCGUGCCGGACUCAUCGUCAUUGAAGCCUGGUUCAGGGGCUACUGAGGGAGUCCUGGAUUAGGGGGUAUCCAGACAGCCGGACUAUAUACAUCGUCCGGACUAUUUAAGCGUGAAGAUACAAGACUCAAGACCUCGUCCCGUGUCCGGAUGGGACUCUCCUUUGCGUGGAAGGCAAGCUUGGCGAUCCGGAUAUUGUGUUUCCUUCCUUGUAACCGACUCCGCGUAAACCCUAGCCCUCUCCCGUGUCUAUAUAAACCGGAGAGGUUGGUCCUUAGAAGGCCGAUCACGAUUACAAUCAUACCAUCAUAGGCUAGCUCUUAGGGUUUAGCCUCUACGAUCUCGUGGUAGAUCUACUCUUGUACUACUCAUAUCUUCGAUAUUAAUCAAGCAGGAAGUAGGGUUUUACCUCCAUCGAGAGGGCCCGAACCUGGGUAAACAUUGUGUCCCUUGCUUCCUGUUACCAUCAGCCUAAGAUGCACAGAUCGGGACCCCCUACCCGAGAUCCGCCGGUUUUGAUACCAACACCUAUUGCAGGAGCAGAUGCAGACGUUAUGAACGUUUGGCUAGCUCAAUAUGAUGACUACUUGAUAGUUUAGUGCACCAUGCUUUACGGCUUAGAACCAGGACUUCAAAAAUGUUUUGAACGCUGCGGAGCAUAUGAGAUGUUCCAAAAGCUGAAAUUGGUAUUUCAGACUCAUGCCCGUGUCAAGAGGUAUGAGACCUCUGACAAAUACUUCGCCUAAAAGAUGGAGGAGAAUUGCUCAGCUAGUGAGCAUGUGCUCAUAAUGUCUGGGUACUACAAUUGCUUGAAUCAAGUGGGAGUUAAUCUUCCAGAGAAGAUAGUGAUUGACAAAGUUCUCUAGUCACCAUCACCAAGUUACUGGAACUUCAUGAUGAACUAUAGUAUGCAAGGGAUGACGAAAACAAUUCCCGAGCUCUUCAUGAUGCGGAAAUCGACGAAGGUAGAACUCAAGAAAGAGCAUCAAGUGUUGAUGAUUGACAAGACCACUAGUUUCAAGAAAAGGGCAAAGGGAAGAAGGAGAACUUCAAAAAGAAUGGCAAUCAAGUUGUCACUCCCGUGAAGAAGCCCAAAGCUGGACCUAAACCUGAAACUAAGUGCUUCUACUGCAAAGUAAAUGGUCACUGGAAGCGGAAGUACCCCAAAUAUUUGGCGAAUAAGAGGGAUGGCAAAGUGAACAAAGGUAUAUUUGAUAUACAGUUUAUUGAUGUGUACCUUACUAGUGUUCAUAGUAGCCCCUGGGUAUUUGAUAUUUGUUCGGUUGCUAAGAUUAGUAACUCAAAACAAGAGUUACGGAAUAAAUAGAGACUAGUUGAGGGUGAAGUGACGAUGUGUGUUGGAAGUGGUUCCAAGAUUGAUAUGAUCAUCAUCGCACACUCCCUAUACUUUCGAGAUUACUGUUGAACCUAAAUAAAUGUUAUUUGGUGUUUGCAUUGAGCAUAAAUAUGAUUAGAUCAUGUUUAUUGCGAUACGAUUAUUCAUCUAAGACAGAGAAUAAUUGUUAUUCUGUUUACAUGAAUAAACCUUCUAUGGUCAUACACCCAAUGUUGAUGGUUUAUUGAAUCUUGAUCGUAGUGAUACACAUAUUCAUAAUAUUGAUGCCAAAAGAUGCAAAGUUGAUAAUGAUAGUGCAACAUAUUUGUGGCACUACUGUUUAGGUCAUAUUGGUGUAAAGCGCAUGAAGAAACUCCAUGAUGAUGGGCUUUUGGAAUCACUUAAUUAUGAAUCAUUUGAUACUUGCAAACCGUGCUUUAUGGGCAAGAUGACUAAAACUCUGUUCUACGGAACAAAGGAACAAGCUAAUAACUUAUUGGAAAUAAUACAUACCGAUGUAUAUGGUCCAAUGAGUGUUGAGGCUCGUGGCAGGUAUCGUUAUUUUCUGACCUUCACAGUUGAUUUGAGCAGAUAUGGGUAUAUCUACUUAAUGAAACACAAGUCUGAAACAUUUAAAAAGUUCAAAGAAUUUCAGAGUGAAGUGGAGAAUCAUCGUAACAAGAAAAUAAAAGUUUCUACGAUCUAAUCGUGAGGAGAAUAUUUGAGUUACGAGUUAUGCCUUCAUUUAAAACAAUGUGGAAUAGUUUCACAUCCCACGCCACCUCGAACACCACAGCGUACCGAACAUCGUAACCGCACUUUAUUGGAUAUGGUGCAAUCUAUGAUGUCUCUUACCGAUUUACCACUAUUGUUUUGGGGUUAUGCAUUAGAGAUACCUGCAUUCACUUUAAACAUGGCACCAUCAAAAUCCGUUGAGACGACUCCGAACUAUGGUUUAACAAGAACCUAAGUUGUCAUUUCUUAAAGUUUGGGGCUGCGAUGCUUAUGUGAAAAAGCUUCAACCUGAUAAGUUCGAACCCAAACCACAGAAAUGUAUCUUCAUAGGAUACCCAAAAGAAACUUUUGGGUACACCUUCUAUCACAGAUCUGAAGGCAAGUUAUUCAUUGCUAAGAAUGGAUCCUUUCUAGAGAAGGAGUUUUCUCUCGAAAGAAGUGAGUGGGAGGAAAAUAGAACUUGAUGAGGUAAUUCUACCUUCUUCCAAAUUGGAAAGUAGUUCAUCACAGAAAUCAGUUCCAGUGAUUCCUACACCAAUUAGUGAGGAAGCUAAUGAUGAUGAUCAUUAAACUUCUGAUCAAGUUACUACCAAACCUCGUAGGUCAACCAAAGUACGAUCCGCACCAGAGUGGUACAGUAAUCCUAUUCUGGAAGUCAUGUUACUAGACCAUGAUGAACCUACAAACUAUGAGGAAGCGAUGAUGAUCCUAGAUUCUGCGAAAUGGCUUGAGGCCAUGAAAUCUGAGAUGGGAUCCAUGUAUGAGGACAAAGUGUGGACUUUGGUGGACUUGCCCGAUGAUCGACAAGCCAUUAAGAAUAAAUGGAUCUUCAAGAGGAAGACGGACGGUGGUAGUAGUGUUACUAUCUACAAAGCUCAAUUUGUCGCAAAAGGUUUUCGACAAGUUCAAGGAGUUGAGUAUGAUGAGACUUUCUCAGUCAUAGUGAUGCUUAAGUCUGUCCGAAUCAUGUUAGAAAUUGCUGCAUUUUAUGAUUAUGAAAUUUGGCAAAUGGAUGUCAAAAAUGCAUUCUUGAAUGGAUUUCUGGAAGAAGAGUUGUAUAUGAUGCAACCAGAAGGUUUUGUCGAUCCAAAGGGUGCUAACAAAGUGUGCAAGCUCCGGCGAUCCAUUUAUGGACUCGUGCAAGCCUCUCGGAGUUGGAAUAAAUGCUUUGAUAGUGUGAUCAAAGCAUAUGGUUUUAUACAGAUUUUUCGAGAAGCCUGUAUUUACAAGAAAGUGAGUGGGAGCUCUGUAGCAUUUCUAAUAUUAUAUGUGGAUGACAUAUUGUUGAUUGGAAAUGAUAAAGAAUUUCUGGCUAGCAUAAAGGGAUGCUUUAUAAGAGUUUUUCAAUGAAAGACCUCGGUGAAGUUGCUUACAUAUUGGGCAUCAAGAUCUAUAGAGAUAUAUCAAGACGCUUGAUAAGAUUUUUCAAUGAGUAAAUACCUUGACAAGUUUUUGAAAGAGUUCAAAAUGGAUCAGUCAAAGAAGGAGUUCUUGUCUGUUUUACAAGGUGUAAAGUUGAGUAAGACUCAAAGCCCGACCAUGGCAGAAGAUUGAAAGAGAAUGAAAGUCAUUCCCUAUGCCACAGUCAUAGGUUCUAUAAAGUAUGUUCUGCUGUGUACCAGACCUAUUGUGCACCUUGUCAUGAGUUUGGCAAGGGGGUACAAUAGUGAUCUAAGAGUAGAUCACUGGACAGCGGUCAAAAUUAUCCUUAGUGAGGACUAAGGAAAUGUUUCUUGGUGAUGGGGGUGAUAAAGAGUUCGUCAUAAAGAGUUACGUCGAUGCAAGCUUUUUCAGCGAUCCAGAUGACUCUGAGUCUCAAUCUGGAUACAUAUUGAAAGUGGGAGCAAUUAGCUAGAGUAUCUCCAUGCAGAGCAUUGUAGACAUAGAAUAUUUGCAAAAUACAUACGGCUCGGAAUGUGUCAGAGCUAUUGACUAAACUUCUCUCACGAGCAAAACAUGAUCACACCUUAGUACUCUUUGGGUGUUAAUCACAUAGCGAUGUGAACUAUAUUAUUGACACUAGUAAACCCUUUGGGUGUUGGUCACAUGGCGAUGUGAACUAUGAGUGUUAAUCACAUACAGAUAUGAACUAUUUAUGUCAAAUCACAUGGCGAUGUGAACUAGAUUAUUGACUCUAGUGCAAGUGGGAGACUGAAGGAAAUAUGCCCUAAAGGCAAUAAUAAAGUUAUUAUUUAUUUCCUUAUUUCAUGAUAAAUGUUUAUUAUUCAUGCUAGAAUUGUAAACCAGAAACUUAGUACAUGUAUGAAUACAUAGACAAAACAUAGUGUCCCUAGUAUGCCUCUACUUGACUAGCUCAUUAAUCAAAGAUGGUUAUGUUUCCUAACCAUAGACAUGUGUUGUCAUUUGAUGAACAAGAUCACAUCAUUAGGAGAAUUAUGUGAUGGACAUGACCCAUCCGUUAGCUUAGCAUUAUAAUUGUAUCAGUUUCAUUGCUACUGCUUUCUUCAUGACUUAUACAUGUUCCUCAGACUAUGAAAUUAUGCAACUCCUGAAUACCGGAGAAACACUUUGUGUGCUAUAAAACAUCACAACGUAAAUGGGUGAUUAUAAAGAUGCUCUACAGGUGUCUCCAAAGGUGUUUAUUGGGUUGGCAUAGAUCGAAAUUAGGAUUUUUCACUCCGUGUUUCGGAGAGGUAUCUCUGGGCCCUCUCGGUAAUGCUUAUCACUAUAGGUCUUGCAAGCAAUAUGACUAAUGAGUUAGUUGCGGGAUGAAGUUUUACGGAACGAGUAAAGAGACUUGCUGUUAACGAGAUUGAACUAGGUAUGAUGAUACCGACGAUCUAAUCUCGGGCAAGUAACAUACCAGUGACAUAGGGAACAACGUAUGAUGUUAUGCGGUUUGCCGAUAAAGAUCUUCAAAGAAUAUGUGGGAACCAAUAUGAGCAUCCUGGUUCCGCUAUUGGUUAUUGACCGGAGAUGUGUCUCGGUCAUGUCUACAUAGUUCUCGAACCCGUAGGGUUCGCACGCUUAAUGUUCGAUGACGAUUUGUAUUAUGAGUUAUGUGAUUUGAUGAACCAAAGUUUGUUCGGAGUACCGGAUGAGAUCGCGGACAUGACGAGGAGUCUUGAAAUGGUCGAGACAUAAAAAUUGAUAUAUUGGAAGGCUAUAUUCGGACAUCGGAAUGGUUCCGGAGAAGUUCGGGUAUUUUCGGGAANNNNNNNNNNNNNNNNNNNNNNNNNNNNNNNNNNNNNNNNNNNNNNNNNNNNNNNNNNNNNNNNNNNNNNNNNNNNNNNNNNNNNNNNNNNNNNNNNNNNNNNNNNNNNNNNNNNNNNNNNNNNNNNNNNNNNNNNNNNNNNNNNNNNNNNNNNNNNNNNNNNNNNNNNNNNNNNNNNNNNNNNNNNNNNNNNNNNNNNNNNNNNNNNNNNNNNNNNNNNNNNNNNNNNNNNNNNNNNNNNNNNNNNNNNNNNNNNNNNNNNNNNNNNNNNNNNNNNNNNNNNNNNNNNNNNNNNNNNNNNNCACAAGGUGCUGAUGCGCCCCCCUUGGGCAGGAGGCUGAUUAGGACUAGGAGAAGGCCCACCCCUUUCCUUCUCCUUCUCCCUUCCCCCUUUCCUACUCCGUGUGGGAGGUGGAAUCCUACUAGGACUAGGGAGUCCUAGUAGGACUCCACACCUUGGCACGCCCUCCCUAGGUCCAGCUUACUCUCCCUCUCCCUCCUUUAUAUACGGGGGCAGGGGGCACCCUAGAACACACAAAUUGAUCUUUUAGCCGUGUGCGGUGCCCCCCUCCACAGUUACACACCUCAGUCAUAUCGUCGUAGUGCUUAGGCGAAGCCCUGCACUGGUAACUUCAUCAUCACCAUCGCCACGCCGUCGUGCUGACAAAACUCUCCCUCGGCCUCAACUGGAUCAAGAGUGUGAGGGACGUCGUCGAGAUGAACGUGUGCUGAACACGGAGGUGUCGUACGUCCGGUACUUGGAUCGGUUUGAUCGCGAAGACGUUCGACUACAUCAACCGUGUUAACUAGCGCUUCCGCUUUCGGUCUACGAGGGUACAUGGACACACUCUCCCCUCUCGUUGCUAUGCAUCAUAUAGAUAGAUCUUGCGUGAUCGUAGGAAAUUUUUGAAAUUACCGCGUUCCCCAACAGAAAGUCAAUAGUUCUGCAAUGAAAUUACAUCCUACUUAUGGUGCAUUAUUCGUUGUUACUUAUGCUUAAUGCUUGGGUAUGAGAUUUUUUGUUUCUUGGUUGGGCGCCUCUCAAUCUUUUUGCUAGCCUUCAUUUUGCACUAAGUAUGAUCACUACUUGUGCAUCCAAAACCAUUUAAACAAGUUUUGCCAUAUGAGUCCACUAUAUCUACCUAUAUGUGGUAUUUCCGUGCCGUUCUAAGCAAAUUUGCAUGUGCCAUCUCAAAUUUUCAAAAUAAAUUUCUCUUUUGUGUGCUCGUACCGCUCGCGAGGCGGUGAGGGGUGGCCGAUAUUUUCAAAUGUGUUAUUCUCACGAUGAGUGUUUAUUCACUUGCCAUUGCACGAGAGUACGACAAAGGUAUUAGGGAUGCCCAGUCCCGAAAUGAAAAAAAUGAAUUUACUUUAUGUUGUCAAAUAAUAAAUUCCUUGAAAAGUGUUGGUAUGGAGGGCACCCGUGGAUACUGACAAGCCUUGGAAAGUGAAAGUAUGGUGGAAAAAGUAAUAAACUUUAUUUUCUGUUUGGGAACCACCUAUGAUGUAUCUAGCAUGGAAAGUGUUGGGAGCUCUAAGUCGUUUUGUGGCACCAUUACCUGAAAGGGAUGACAACCCCUUUAACACGUCGGGUUGCGAGUAUUUGUUAUUUGUGUGCAGGGGUUGUUUGCGUUGUGUUUCUUGGUUCUCCUACUGGUUCGAUAACCUUGGUCUCAUCACUGAGGGAAAUACCUACCGUCGUUGUGCUGCAUCAUCCCUUCCUCUUUGGGUAAAUACCGACGUAGUUCAAGUAGACAUCAGUUGGUAUGCAUUUUCAUAUUCCUUUCUCCGAUAGAAAUCUUGGGAUACUUUUGAAGUUCUUUGUGUUGGAUUGAAUAUUAUGAAUCUGAAGUUGUUUGAUGCAUAUCGUAUAAUUGACACACGAAUACUAUUGGUUAUAUUGGAGUAUCUAGGUGACAUUAGGGUUGAUUGAUGUGUGUCAUAUGGUGUUAUUUUAGUACGAACUCUAGGGUUGUUUGUGACACUUAUAGGAAUAGCCCAAUAGAUCGAUCAGAAAGAAUAACUUUGAGGUGGUUUCGUACCCUACAAGCAAUUUCAUCUUAUGUUCUGCGCGAUAGGAACUUUGGAGUGAUUCUUCGUUGCACGUUGAGGAAUUGACAUAUGAUCUAAUUAUGUUAUCAUUGUUGAGAGAACUUGCACUAGUCAAAGUAUGAACCCUAGUCCUUGUUUCCAAGAAUUGCAAUACCAUUUUUGCUCACUUUUAUUACUAGUUACCUUGCUGUUUUUAUAUUUUCAGAUUACAAAAACCUAUAUCUACCAUCCAUAUUGCACUUGUAUCACCAUCUCUUCGUCGAACUAGUGGACCUAUGCAAUUUACCAUUAUAUUGGGUGUGUUGGGGACACGAGAGACUCUUUGUUAUUUGGUUGGAGGGUUGUUUGAGAGAGACCAUCUUCAUCCUACGCCUCCCACAGAUUGAUAAACCUUAGGUCAUCCACUUGAGAGAAAUUUUCUACUGUCCUACAGAACUCUGCACUUGGAGGCCCAACACGAGUCUACAAGAAGAAGGUUGCGUAGUAGACAUCAGCCACCGGCCCCUCCUCCUUCGCCCCUUCCCUCGCCGCCGCCGGUAGUCCCUACUGGACGAAGCCCUGACGUGUGUUGGCAGCGACGAGGACGCCCCACUCCUCCUUCCCCUUCCUCGCUCCCCGUGCCGCUCCUCCCGAACCCCAGCGCCUCAGAUGCACCGUCAUCGGUUAUCCUUGCUCUCCGUCAUCCAGCUUGGGUGGCCGGCCUGGAGUUCGCUGUCAGCGGCGAGGUAGGCCCACAUCUAGCCAUGCCCGUGGUGCGGGGCUACCAUCCCUCGAGCUCGUCUCUACCCAUAUCCAACUGGAGGUCGGUUCGUUGAUCCAAAGAGGCUACGACUAGGGGGUUGGCCGGUACUGCCCGUCCAGGGGGGAUGGGCCUGGUUUUCGGGGGGAUCUCAUGUCUCCUAAGAUAAAUCGGCCACGUGGUGGCCCUCGUGCUCUUCGCGUGAAGUCCCUGUUCUACAUGUGAUCAAUGCUCUUUGAUCUGGCCAUCAGUGAGUUCCGAACAUCUCCUUCGAAGGAAAACAAGGACUAGUAUAUAUGACGCUUUUUUGGACACCUUGAUUGCAUAAGGGCACAUCGUGACAUGUUUUUUUCUCUCUUAUUAUUUUAUUUUUUGGCCGUGCGCAUCCUGGAUGUUCUUACGAGUCUUGUUGGUGCAUAGGCUGAGCGUAAUUGGUAUCUACUUGAUAUUAAUAUAUUCCCCAUUAAAAAAAUCUUUAUCCAUUAGGCUUAAUAAGCUAUAAUAACAUAUACAAGCAAAAUUAGUAACAACUAGGCACUAGUUGGGAGAUUAGCACAUCUGGAAUUGUACAACUAGGAAGAAAUAGGCAAAGUGCCACAAUAUGGAAGUAAUGCAAAUGUUACUUUAAUUCGUGCUUAUGUUUAAGAAAACAUACAUGUCCUUUCGGUGCAUGUUACAGGGCAAAAAUAGGAACAAAAAUACGAUUUCUUGCACCUGCCAUCUAAACACUUACAUCCAAUACAAGAUCCUCAACUUUAAUUAAUUGGUCUCCUUGAUAAUAGUAUGUGUAGAGCCUUAGCUUCUUCACAAGGAUUAGUGUUAUUACUCGUUUGUUUAUCUCCUGAAAUAAAUGCACCAGUCUCUGUUUGACCCGCACACUUUGUAUUUUGAACAACAAAAACUAGUUGUUCAUCAUUGUAGCUUGGCCGCACGUACUCUAAUAUAUAUGCAGCAUAUUUUCGGACAACACCAACUUUAGGCGAAACAUCGACGAUCCCGGUAUUUAUAUUACAUGGGGUCAUAUCACAAUGAGAAGGCCAUGCCACUCUAGAAAAGUAUAAAUGACUCCUUUAACUUGAUGACUGCCAUCCUCAUGUGAAGUCAAUUAAAAAGAUUCCUUCCAUUUUUUCAGCCCAUAUGUAUUUUAUGUAAAUAAUAAUUCCAUGUAGAAUCAAACUUAUUUAAUUCUGGAUGGGCAAACUAUUUUCAAUAGCACUGCCAAUGAAUUAACAUAUCUGAAUAGUCUGAUCUAUCUUAGUUAACUGCUCAAAAUUCCGUGCAUACCCUGACCAAACUGCAUGCAAGGGUGAACUGAUUGUUAUCUUUAGCGGAGCAUCCAGCAUCUUCACAAAUGCAAUGGAGAAACAAAAACAACAUAAGAGAUAAUUACUCCCUCCGUUCCUAAAUAAUUGUCUUUCUAGUGAUUUCAACAAGUGACUACAUACAAAGCAAAAUAAAUAAAUCUACACUCUAAGACAUGUCUACAUACAUCCGUAUGUUGUAGUCCAUUUGAGAUGGCUAGAAAGACAAUUAUUCGGGAACGGAGGGAGUAAUUAACAAUCCGACAACUAACUAGCAAUACUUUUGUUGAAUAGCCGUUGCGCGUGAGUAAACAUGGCACAAGAGAUAGAAACACCUCGUUAUUUGUGGUUUGUACCAAUCAAAUAUUGAAGAAACUGUCGUGUCAGGAAAGACUUGCAAGCCGAGCGCAACUAAUCAAUUCGUUGAGAGAGCAAGGUAGUGGCAAAUUAUAUAUUUAAAGUUCAGGAUAUUUAAUGAGUGAUUACAAAAGAUCCACAUUUGCCACAACCAGAAUCACCAUCAGGAUUCAAGAGGACGCGGCAUCAGGAAUUGACCAAGACUUAAUCAAACCUUCGCAAUUGCUCACCUACUUUGAUCGUUGCCUCAUCUUUUGGCACUUCCUCUUGAGCCUCGUCAUUCUCUUGUUCUUCCACUGCACAUUAUUUCAAACGCAAUGUACAAUAUAAUUUGCAUGUAAAUAGUGCAAGGCAGGACACCAAAUGCAAUGUACUUUAUUUGUUGGAAACAAGAGUAUUGGGUGUUCGGAUUUAAUUCUCAUUGUGUGUGGUCAGUUUUGUUAAAUGAACAAACAAAAAGCAAUAAUAAAGAAAAAUAAUAAGGACAUGUCCUGCAAUCUAGUAUUUGGCAAAUGACAAGAUUGUAACAAUGUGAUGAAUCUUUGCAACAAAAGGGAGUACUUAUAUAUGCAUUUGACAUUCAAGAACAUGAGUUAUUAAACCAAAAAUGGAAUAGUAAAGUUAAAAGACUAAGGGCUAGUUCUUUUGGAGCUUAUGGCUGGCUGUGGAAAUAAGUUGCCCCUCCUUACUUAUAGCAGGCUUAUAAAAUGAAAUUUUAGGUUGAGCUUCUAGGGGCAGCUUAUUUCCACACCCAGCCAUAGGCCAAAAAAAAAACUAGACCUAAGCAUGUUCCCUGAGAAAUGCUUCAAUCGUCCACAUGGUGUAAUAGAAUGGAUUAAAUCAGACUCAUCGUCUGUGAAAUAGCAGUAAAUACAGAGAAGCUGAAAGUGACAAUAAGUGGUAGAACGAAUACAUUGUUGCCAUCAGUUCUUGGAGCCAUGAUGUUCAUCAGUUGGUAUUUUAUUCAAACUGACCACCAUUGUUAAUCUCAACCAAUUCAUUCCCAUGUCUAAGAUCAAAUUACCGCAUGGUGCUUAAGCAAUAAAUCAAGUUCAGUUGUUCAACUGAGGCUCCAAUUCACUGGCAGCUACCAAUGCUGGAAGUGUCACUGGUUCAACUUUUGUUUCCCUUGUGAGGUAAAAAGAAAAUUAAUGAACCUGCAAAUAUCUGCAAUGUUCCUGGUAUUUGUUCAUCUCGGAGCAAAGAAAAGGACCUGUCACACCGCAAAAAGAUAAAAUAACUGACACAACAAAUGCAGGGCCAAAAGGCACAUUUCAGAGUACCUCAAGGAUAAUAGGUGCAUAAAAUUCAGUCACAAACACAUAUAAUCCUCACAUUACAUAAAACUCAGUACUGGAACAUAGCCAGACUAGUAUUAAACAACUAAAUUUGACCAAACACAGGUAAAAGCAACUUCCACAGCCAAAACAACAGAACAAAUCAAGAAUCACUAGACAAUGCCAUCACCCCUCAGAGUUCCGCUGCCUGGAUGCAAGAUGAUGCUUACGGCCUACUUGGAUCGCUGCCUCAUCUUUCGGCGCUUCCUCUUGAGCCUCCUCAUCCUCUUCUUCUUCCACUGCAAAUUACAGCAACAAUGCCUAGCAUCAGCAUAAAUUGCAUGGGUGCUAUAGAAGAUGCUUAGGAACAUAACAAGUUUUCCAGAUGAAAAGGAACAGAAAGUACAACUUGUUUUGGAAUCAGAAGAUUGAGUGUUUCAUUGGAUAUCAUCACGUGAUUUUCAGAAACACGGACCAAUUGUUCUUCAUCAUUUCCCAGACUAAAGUCGAUUUCAAAGGCAAAUAGGAAUCAAUUAUGCUAAGAUAUCCAAAGAACUAGCUAAGCAAAGUAUAGAUCUGCAGUCGGUUUGACAUUCAGAAUGAGUAGGAGGAUUUUAUCAUCAAAUAGAUCGGACAACAAUUGUCUUCCUCAUCAUGCCAACGACGCAAUUAUACCCAAAAAAACAGUGGAAAAAUGAGCUAAACAAUCAGAGUUCUCUCAGACAAAUGCCUCGAUUGUCCACAUGGUGUAAUAGAAUGGAUUACAUCAGACUCGUAAUCUGUUUUAAUCAUCACAGAGACUAUGGACAAACUAAAACAGCCAAAAAAACACAUAAAUCUGGCUAACAUAACUAGAGGCAGUAAUUAGAUCUAAUAGAGGGAGCAAAUCUGGUCGAAAUAGCAGCGGUUCCCUCAGACAAAUGCCUCAUUUUUGUCCCCACGGUUGGAUGGCAUGGAUUGGAUCUGACAUCUAAUCAGUGUUGAUCAUCACAGAAAACCACUAAUCACGCAAGCAACAGCGAGAACGAACACUCUAUAAACACUAGCACAUGUCCAGAUCUAACGCGGUCGCGAAGCAGCUAACAGGAGAGAAAGGUAGACGAAGGGCAGUAAGAACCUUGGCCCUCAUCGCGGCGGCGGUGUCGGCCUCGCUCUCCGGUUCGCGGCGGUGGUGGCGGCGGGAGUGUGUGGACGAACCCGAUCUCCGUAGAUUGUUGGCGGCGGGGCUCUCGCCUCGUACUUAUACGGGCUGGGUGCUGAAGAGGGGAAAACCCUAGCGGGAUCGGACGCGUGGACGGCUCGGAUCAGCCAGUGAACGGCGUUCUGAUCCGAUUAGUUCCUCUGGUUUCUGGGCCUGUUGGGCCUCCAAACAACGCAUAGGCCCACGCUAACAUUUGACUGGACUUGAUUUCCUGAAUGGGGAAAAAAGAAACUUGACCAGUCUUUACUUUUAUUCUCUUUUUUUUUACUUAAAAAAAAGAGUAGCGUUCCUUUUUCUGCCAGACGGAGUGAUUCGUCCAACAUUUUUUUAUAACCAUUCCUUGGGAACCGCCUUAAUCAUCUCAUCUUUUUGGUUCAAAAAUAUCGUCUCAUCUUUUAUUGACUUAUCAAAUAAAUUAUAUUUUCUUUCAUAAGUCAAAAUAAGUGAUUACAAAAUAAAAUCAUGAGCAAGAUUUGUUAAGUAUUUAUUUACACAAUCACGUAACAUAAAGUUGUAAAUUAUGGGAUAAUGAUGGCGCUGGUGCGCAACUGUUGGUGCAGCACAUUCACCAUUAAUUAUACUAUUUUUAACACAGUAUAAACGUAAGCGCUCGUAUAUAUAUGCGCAUAUAUUCAUCCAUAUGAACACACACACGCACACCCUAUCCCUAUGAGCAUCUCUGAAAGACUGAGUCAGCAUAUUAUCUAAAUUUUACAAAGUCAUCAUAGGCGUUUAUCCAGAAUAAAUGCAAGCACCAGGACUUGAAUACUAAUAGGCUGAGAAUACUAUUGUCCUUCUAACCAUUCAACCACAUAUUGUUUCGCCAGGACUAAUCAUACUGAUGUAGCCAAGUCUUGUUUAAAAACUAGGGACCAAACUUCGUCCCAUAUAGUUGAACAACCCGUUGCUGCGGUCUGAUGUAGUUGCUACUCGUUUGCUUCUAAAGUAACUUGUAAUCAACUACUUCUGAUGAGAACAAAUCGAUAAAGUACCUUGUAACAAACUACUGAGAUAAUUUGUACCUUCUCUCCGUACCCAUGUAUUAUCAAGUAGCCUCUUAAUGUACUUUCCCUUUUUUCUUCUUUGAAGCAAGUUUAUGAAAAAAAUGAUGUAUUCCGAUCUCCAUGAAGCAACCAAUUAGCUCGUCCUCUCUAUAACCAAAUCAAUUCUUGUUGAUACAGAAGAUUCUCAAUAUCUAGCCUAACAAAAAGAAGAUUCUCAAUAUUUGAAGAUCUUUUUUAUCCCUAAUCUCCCCGUCAGAUCACUUUGUCUCCAUUUCUGAAGGUAUUUACUUAGCUUCGAUAUCCUCUUAUUUGGGCCUUUCAGAACCUCCAGAUCCCUCUUGUGUAGAUCUUUAUGAUCAGGCAAGGGUGGCCUAGCUUGCUCGCUCCCAAGCCAAUUGGACUACCGCAUUAACGGUUUCUUCACACAACCAACGGGCUUCAAACUUUUUUCGGGCCUUCGGUUGUUGAGACAAAACAUAUUUUUUUAAAAUAUGAAGGAGAAUAGAUCAAUGGUCUGAAUGGACAUGGUGCUCAUGAACCAACCCAACGCAUAUGGCAAUUUAUCCGCACACGCCUCAUUACUUAGUGAUGCCUUGGCUCUAGGUAAACUGAUCACCAAUAACCGUGGUCUAUUGAAGUCCACACAACCUGUGAAAUUAUGCAUCAACUGUUGAGGUCGAACAUCACCACCCUCCUUCUCACUUUCCACCAAUCUCUCAUUAAAAUCACAAAAACUAACCAUGGACCAGCCGCAUUACGUUGCACGAGUAUGUCCAGGACAGGUGCUUCCUAUCCCAAGUAGGUUGUCCGUAAUAUCCCGUCAAGCACCAUGAAGCAUUAUUUUCACCAUAACAAUUCCACCAAUAAAGUUUGGAGAAGAAUAAUUCAACACCACUUCAUUAGACUGGUUAUAAAAAAGGACAAGGCUCCCCGAGCGACCAUCACUCUCAACAAUAUGACUAAAUCAACCCUAGCUUAACUCUCAACUCAAUUGCACUCGCUUUGUUCAUAUAAGAAAAUCACAUCUCCUCUCACACUCCCUUGGAGGUCCAAGGGCUCACUGUCGUGGAUGAAAGCAUCCCACGUCAGUUCCAAUCUAAGAUUUCCAUUGUGCCCGGCUGUCCUUCUCGUCUGAGGCCACCAAUCCAUCAUUAGCAUUGCAGUCAAUUUCCGUCCAUCACUUCCCUUUAGUUUAAUUUGCUUUGCAUUUUUCCGAGGCCCACAAACCUUUUGUCUAGUAUGUUUGAACCAAAAAGGAGUUAAUAUACAUGGUUUGGUCCACACUACGAGAAAGUGGCCCAACCAAAAUAAGCUACCUAAUUUUGAAAUUUCUCCAAGUGCUUUAGGGUGACUUUUGUGUCCUUACAACACCAUCCUUCGUGCCGUCUUGUCCAUGUAUCUUGCUUCCAUGAUGUACAUAUCCUCUUCUCCAAUCUCCACAACCUUCAGUUCUGUGGAUUUAAUUGUUGAUUGAUCCUUGUGGGAUUACGGUUGUAUGUGUAGCAGGGGCUGUAAUGGUAGAAGAGGUGCCCCCAUCACUUGAUUUUGGGGCAGGUGCUGGUGCUUUUUUUAACACAGUACACAUGCAUGCGCUCAUAUAUAUGUGCAUACAUUCAUCCCUAUAAUAAACACAUACACGCAUACUCACUAGUAGAAAACCGGGUUUCAGUCCAGCCACAUAAGCCCAUUAAUCCCGGGUCAGUCACGAACCGGGACCCAUGGGGGCAUAGGUCUCGGUUCGUGAGGCCAGGAGGCCGGCCGAGCCUCGUGGGGCAUUGGUCCCGGUUCGUCUCGCCCCUUUGGUACCGGUUCCAAACACGAACCAGGAUCAAAGGGCCUCGUUCCUGGCCCACAACCUUUAGUCCCGGUUUGUGGCUGGAAUCGGGAUUAAAGGACCACCUUUUGUCCUGGUUCCAGCCACGAACCGAGACCAAUAAGAUGCCUAUAUAUACCUCCUUGCCCGCGAGCAGAGCAAUGGAGUGCUCUGGUUUUUUUGGCCGGUCGUGGGAGAGAGCUUUGUGGUGCUCUAGCUCACCUCCUAUGCACACGAGGUGUUCGAUAAAAUGUUGAGCCGCACUUAAGCUUUCUCCUCUCGAAGUACUUGUCCAAAGUCCAUUUUCCUCUAGAUUUGUUUAGGUUUAGCGGUAUGUCAUGUCACGUCCCCAUCCUCCCAGCCGUCGAUUGCCCGCGCCGAUCUCGUCGCCGGCACCAUCAUGGUGAGCCUCUUGAUCUUAUCUUCUUUCUCAAAGAAAAAAGUUCUUACUUGUAUGAUUUAGAUAGAUACUUGUGUAAUUUUCUUACUUUUAUUAUUGUUUGUUAUUAUAUAGUGCGAUGGUUUUGGUAUCCGUCUCCAUCGGCCCUCGUCCUGUUUAUGAUUCGGAUGUGGUAUAUAUUAUCUUUUAUAACUAUUUGGUCCAUUUAGUGUUUAUGACAAUUAUGCCGACCAACGUGACAUAGAUUUUUUUAUCUAGGAGGUAUGUGAACCGGAAAUCCCAACCGACCCUAUUGUCGAGAGGUUAAAUUUAGUUGAAGAAGAAAACAAUUACUUGAAGGAAAAAAUGGAAAAAAUUGAGGAGGAGAAGAUGAUAUUGGAGUUGCAUGUUGCAGAUGUCGUCGAUGAUCACAAGAUCAAGAUGGAUGCAAUGCGCUUGAAGAUUAGAAAGAUUAGAAAAUAUGUCAUUCAUACUGAGGCUUAAUAUCAUUAUGCCGUUGGAUCAAUUGUUAUCUUAGUUGCGAUUAUGAUCGCAUUUGUUGUUGCAUUGAAAUGUUUUACAUAGUUUCAAUGUAUGUUUAAUUAGAUGCUGUGGAGAGCUAUAUGUUGUUCAAUGAGAACUAUUUAUGUACUUUGGCUUUAAUGUGAUGAUGAACUUCUAUUAAUUUGGUCACUUAUUUAUUCAUGAUGCAUGCAGAUGAACCGGCAAUGGAUGUACGGUAACAGACGCACCUCCGAGUACAUUAAGGGCGUGAAUAAUUUUCUCGUAGUGGCUGAGGCAAACAAGCAGAAUAGUUUUAUGUGUUGUCCAUGCCCUAUAUGUGGGAAUAUGAGGUCUUACUCUGACUCGAAAACCCUUCACACCCACCUGCUUUAUAAGGGUUUCAUGCCACACUAUAAUGUUUGGACCAAGCACGAGAAAGAGGGGUUAUGAUGGAAGACAACGAAGAAGAAGAGGAUGA
This 94969-nucleotide long non-coding RNA is filed under the name Triticum aestivum (bread wheat). RNAcentral describes it as "long non-coding RNA (TAES_LNC007909)". Lineage: Eukaryota; Viridiplantae; Streptophyta; Magnoliopsida; Poales; Poaceae. The record is from RNAcentral.